GGAGGUGAGGGGGUACGUGCCCCGGGUCGUCAGCAAGCUCGUCCGCGGCCUGGAGACGAUCGUCAGGAGCGGCGCCGUCGACGUGGUGGUGCCGGGGGUCCUGCCCAUCGGCUGCUUCCCCAUCUACCUCACCCUCUACGGCACCUCCAACGCCGCCGACUAUGACCGCGACGGCUGCCUCCGGAGCUACAACGGCCUCUCCUACUACCACAACGCGCUGCUGAAGCGCAGCCUUGCCAGCCUGCAGCGGACGUACCCGCACGCCCGGAUCAUGUACGCCGACUUCUACACCCAGGUCACCCACAUGAUCCGGGCACCUCACAACUUCGGUGAGUAACCUUUCGCUUUUGUGUCCUUGCUAGAAUAUAUCCCAGUGUUGGCGUGCGGGAGUUGAAGUCUCAGUUAUCACGGAAUGUGUAGUGUAGUGUAGUGUAGUGUAGUAGGCAGCACUGGGAUGGAAAGGGAUAGAUCCAAAGCAUGGAUUUUGAUAGAUGUAGAUGUAAAGAGAGCUAUCUACGUGCAUGCAUAGUGAGCAUGUUUAAUUUUUUUUUCUCUUGGAUUCUUAGCCCACCAAUGACUCAUCCGGGUCAAUUAUGCCCUGGGGACCAUGCAUGAAUGACCGUUGUCCAAACAAUUUGGGAAUCAAUACCCUCCUAAUUGAUCCAGUUGGCAUGCGUAUUAUUUAUGCAUCAUACAACCAAUAAUUAUGAUGAAACAUGGAUGAAAGCCUGUCAUCGACACCGUGGUGGCAUGCAUGCAUACAUAUCAUCUUAUAAAGCACUGUGUAGUAUAUAUACUAGUCACAAAAGCCGCCACCUGCUGUAAUUGACAAAGAUACUCCCACAUGUAACAUAACAAUUCUUUCCAUGCAUGGACUGUUUUAUCUUAAAAAUGUUUUCAAGGCUCAUUACUGACUUAGUUCACGUGACUGGGAGCACGCUAGCUAGUGCGCAUUCCAAGGCGGUUUUCUUUAUGAACUGUAAUGUAAUCCAUCAGCCUAGCUAAUGAGGGCAGCCACAACGCAGCUACUACAAUCGUAUGCCUCGAGAAAAAAAUCACAUGCCAUGUAUUCCAAGAGGUAAUGAAGCUAACAAUCUCUCAACGCAGGUCUCUUCUCUUAUCAUAAACGUCACUUUCACCUUUUUCUCUUUAUCCUGACAGACAGAAAUAAAGUUGUAUAGAGUUUGGUUUCAUCCACCUUCAACGCGUGUUAUUUGGGAGCUUCUGCAAAUUGUCAGCUGAAGCCUACGGUACCUCUGCAGGCAGCACUGACACACUGCGGGGCUGCUGUUUUGCGUGAUCUGUACAUAGCCUGUAUACGUGGACGUCGGGGCUACAAGACAGCGUGUAGCGAUGGGGAGGCCUGAUAGCGAGUGUGAUCAUCGACACUCUUUUGCAGGGCUCAAGUACGGGCUGAAGGUCUGCUGCGGCGCCGGUGGGCAGGGCAAGUACAACUACAACAACAAGGCGCGGUGUGGCAUGUCCGGGGCCAGUGCCUGCGCCGACCCGGGCAACUACCUCAUCUGGGACGGCAUCCACCUCACGGAGGCGGCCUACCGCUCCAUCGCCGAUGGCUGGCUCAAGGGCACCUACUGCAACCCUCCCAUUCAGCACUGAUGGAGCUAGCUAGCUAGCAGCAUUCAUGCGUGAGUUGAUCGUGUGUUGUUUGUUUAGGGCUAAUUGCCAUGUGCAUCAUCAUCCUCUAGGUUCGUAUACACAGUGAUGAGUAGUGAUGGGUUUGUUAUUUGGUUGUCAAUUAUUCAUGGGAGGUAGGUGGUUUCGGUGUGCUGGGGACAAUGAAUAAAUGUGUAAUGGACAGCUGUUUGCAAUUUUCUUAACGCAAAAAUACUGUAGGGGAGAUCCCCACAGUGAUUUAUAUUGAUUAGAUUUAAGAAUUACAUAAAGUUACGAACUUGUCUUAACUGAAAGCAUCAAGCCAAAAACAAAAUGAGGACCUAAGGUCCGUCUUGAAACAAAAGGACUGAGCAAUACAUUGAUUCGUAAAAAAUGUGCUAGCGCGCCAAAGCGAGUUUACGGAUCCCUUUGUUAGAAAAUCUUGUCAUUCUGCAGCUUCCAAAGUUCCCAAGCUGCAAUAAGCACGACUUUAGUAAAGAAAGGCAGCCCCUGCAUAUCCUUUUCUUUUACAAACCUUUCUUGAAGCAGGAUCGACGCAUCCUAGUUGAAGUUGAUGGUAGACCAGCAUUGUUGUGAAAGGGGCAGAAGAAGAAUAGAUGUUCAAUAAUCUCAUCCAUCUCAGUGUUGCACAUAAAAAAGAACGUGUCAUCUUGGAUGCUCAGAUGUCUUCUCCUUAUCAUGACCUUUGUAUUCAGGCGAUCUACUAGGACUAGCAAAGAAAAAAAAAUGAUACACGGGGCACAACGAGAUAUCUAGAUCAUUUUAUAUAUCAGAUGCACUUCCACUGCGCUAAAGACAUAUGCAUAGAACUUUCUUGACGUAUAUUGAGGCCCCAGGUUGGCUCCCAUGAAUCUACUGCAUCAUCAUCAUAUGAAAUUCCUUGGAGGUGGUCUUGCAAGAGCUGCAGUAGGCCUGUACCGCCAGCGGUAGGAAGAAAGUAUCAUCUAGAUUUUUUUGUUUCCAUGACUUCUUGGACUGACAUUCCUUCAUUCGUAGUAAAGGAAUACAACCUGAGAAUUUCUAUGGACAACACUUUGUUCGACCAACAAUCUUCCUAGAAACAAAAACCGUUGAGCUGUUACCGACUGUGCAUUUGGCUAUACCGUGGUAAAUGUUGUUGAGUCGCAAUAUGUCAUGCCACCAGAAUGACCCAACCUCUAGAGAUGCAUGGGGCACCUAGUCUGUAUAAUAUCUGUCCUAGAUUAGGCGAACCCAAGGCACAUCUGCUAUGUUAUAGAAUUUUUGUAGAUGCUUCAUGAGUACUGCAUCAUUUUGGAGCCAUAGGUUUAUGACUCCCAGGCCCCUUUUGUCAUUCGGUUUCAUCACAUUUGGCCAAGCAACCAAAUUUCCCUGUUUUGUUGUUGGAUCAUUGCAUCUCGGUAGACAUUGUUUCCUGGCCUGAUCAAUGUUGUCUAGGGCUCCUUUAGGGAUCUUGAUGGUACUUAGGGUGUACGUGGUUAUAGGUGUGAUAGUUGAGUUGAUCAUUUCUAGCCUUUCGGAGAUGGAUAACUAGGUAGAGCAAGUCGAGAGCCUCCUCUCACUUCUAUCCAUCAUCAGUGAUAGAUCAUUAAUUCAAGGCUUUGUGGUGCCCAUUGGAAGCCUAGAUAGGUGAAUGGCAUAGAGCCAAUUUGGCAACCUAAAGUGCUUGCUAAGAUCUAAACUUUGUCUUGAUCAACAUUGAUUGGUAUCAUUUGGAACAUCUGAUAAUUGAUCUUGAGUCCUUAGGACUAUUCAAAACUACAUAGAAUAGCCUUUAGAAAGAAAAGCUGGGUAGCAUCAGCAUGCAUGAUGAGCAACGUGUGAUUGGUGUACUAGACUAUGGGGAAAUCGCCGGUAGCUUGUGGAAUUGGCGCCUUGAGAAGAUUUCUUUUUGAUGCUUUGUUGACGAGAAGUUGCAAAAGCUCAGUGGCGAGCACAAAUAGAAGAGGGGAUAGUGGGUCGCUCUGUUGGACACCAAGCUUGCACUUAAAACUUUUUUCGGUACACCAUUGAGGAGUACCACUGACGAGCCGAGGAUACACUAGGUCCACAACAUCCAUCCGCUCAAAAAACCCAUGUACUGCAUCAUCAGGAUGAUGGCUACGUGCUUGGGAGUGUCAAACGCCUUUUCAAAUCUAGCUUUAGGAUGAUGGUUUCACAAUGACAGUGGCAUUGGUGUAUGUAUUUGAACGACCAUACCAAACAAUCCUAGAUAGAGCGAGAACGAAUGAAGUCAUAUUGGUUCUUAUGUAUAAGACUGAGAAUCACCUCUUGUAAUCUAUCAGCAAGGAUCUUAGCCAGGACUUUGAGACUUCUAUUCAAUAAGAAAAUCAGCCUGAAGUCUGGACUUCGGCACAAGGUCUUGAUGCAUUCCAGAUUAGCCAUGCCACUAUAAAACUCAUCACAAAGAUUGUAGAAGCUGCCUUUGAUAAUGUGCCAACAUUUUUUAGGAAAAAAGACCAUUGAAAUCAUCUAGGCCUAGUGAACUACCGAGCAUCUUUAGUCGAUAGUUGGCAUGUCAAGUAGUGAUGUGUGCUUGAUCCUCAAGCGAGCUUGAUGGCGAUCUUUAAUACCUACUCGACCAGGUGAGUCAUUCUUAGCUGUGUUGUCGAUUAGUGCUCUUUGAAUAUCUAAUACAGAAUAUUUUUCUAGCAUGCAGCGACUUGUCUCCCUUGUUCGUAAUCUACUUCACCUUUGUUGUGGUUAUGAGGAUCAAACUCAUUGUGCUCAGCAUCGAACACGGCCACUACGUGAAAAGGAUUUAUAAGUGCUAGGGGCUUGGGAUAGUAGGGGCGGUUGGUGAUUGAGCCGCCCCUACUGUGGGCUUCCCAGGUACCAGUAAACUAGCGCCCCUACAAAUGCUUCAAUAAGGGUGACUGGUGUUACCAGCCGCCCCUACAAAUCAACCCAUUUGUAGGGGCGGCUAGAUCACCAGCCGCCCUUACUAAGCAUUUGUUGGGGUGGCUGGAUCACCAGCCACCCCAACAAAUGACGGUUGUAUAAGUGGCAGCCACCACUUUCUUUCUCCUCGGGUCACUCACUCCAACCCGAGGAAAAAAGGUUGGGAGGUCUUGGGCUCCUCCCAAAAAUUGUUCUAGUAAGGGGGGAGGUUUUGGUCUCAAAUCCUUUGGUAGAAAGCUUGUAUAAGGUAAGAAAAUGCUAUUUCAAGCCUUUAAUUGAAGUUAUAAUGGUUGGCUAGUGUGUAAUUUGAGUUUUGCUUUUCUCUCACUUCCAUGGUGGUUGAGCUUUGUAUGGAGCAAAUUAAACCCUAGUUUUGAAGCUAUUAGUUUAAAUUAGAUAGAGAAAUGAGCUUGCACCCAUUAUUAGUCGAUUUUGCUUGAUUUUAGUGGAGAUUACACCUUAGUUUCAUGUAUGCUUCAUCUAGUUCUAUAUAUAGGGCUUGUUUUUUAAUUUUUUAAUUUGUGUUUCAUGAAAUUGGAAUGGGGUUGGUAUGAAAGGUAGUGGGUAAAAUAAUAAUUGUUGCUAAUUUGUGUCAAUGAAAUUUUAUAUUUUAGCCAUUUAAUAUAUAAUGUUGAAUAUUUAUAUGCAUUAAUAGGCAAUUAGUUAAUUAGUUAAUUAAUCAUUGAUUCGAUUCAUUUGAUGUAUCUUCUUUUGUUGUUUUGUUUUUAAAAGAUGGAGUACAUGAACUCUUGGAUGUAUGGUUGGUCAAGGAUCGAUGAAGGUUUUCGCGAAGAGGUGGACAAAUUUAUUGUAGCCGCUGAUAAGCAUGCAUCAACAUUGACAUAUAACAAAAAUACAACUAUUUGUCCCUGCAAAGAUUGCAAAAAUAUGGCAUUUGCAGAUGUGGAUACCAUCAAAUCACACUUGGUUAUGCGAGGAUUUGUUCCGGAGUACACAAUGUGGAUUCAACAUGGUGAGACAAUAGUUGUUGAUGACAACAACAAUGAUCAAGAACUUGAUGCCGAAACCCUGAAGUAUCUGCACCAAUACGACAACAAUGAAGACAUGGGCUAUAACUUUGGCAAUGAACAAGGUGGUGACUUUGGCAAUAAACAUGGUGCUAAUGAUGUUGGUGGUGCCGGCACAAAUGGUGGAGCACAUGAGGGGGAUAAAGAUGACAGUGACAAUUUGGAGGACAUGCUUCGGGCCAUUGGACCAGAAAUAUUACUACAAAAGAAAGGUCUAGAAAAUUUAGAGUAGGUGAAAACAGCGUCGAAGGAGACUGUUUAUGGUGUUGAGAAGGGUUGUCGGACACACUAGACAUUGCUCCAUUUUGUGCUUGAGCUACUCAUCCUUAAGGCUAAGUACGGUUGGUCCGACUGCAGUUUUGAUGAUCUGUUGCAUCUCCUAUCAUGGGUGCUGCCACAACCAAACUUAGUUCCUGUCAACACAUACCAUGCGAAGAAGGUUAUAAGUCCACUCGCAAUGGAUGUUGAAAAAAUUCAUGCAUGCCCCAACCAUUGUAUCCUUUUUUGUGGUGAUAUGUUCAAAGGUUUGGACAAAUGUCCUCGGUGUGGGACCAGUCGGUACAAGGAAAAUGACUUUUAUAGUGGGGAAGAAGCCUCCACGGGGAACAAGAGGAAUAAGAAGGGUGUGGAAAAAGACGGUACAAGAAUCUCAACCACUAGAGGACACUCCAUUAGGCAACGAUGAAAAUAAGAGAGAAGUUCCAGCCUUGGUAAUGUGGUACUUGCCAGUGACUGACAGCUUGAGACAUAUUUUCUUGAACCCUAUGGAAGCCAUGCUCAUGACAUGGUGGGGUGAUGAGCGCAAGGUCGAUGACGAUGUGAUUGCACACCCAGCUGAUGGUAGUCAGUGGAAAGACUUCAAUAAGAACAACAAACUAUUUAGUUCAGACCCAAGGAAUGUAUGGUUUGCCUUGAGCACCAAUGGAAUGAAUCCCUUCAAUGAGAGGAUGACUGACCACAACACUUCUCCAAUGAUCCUAACCAUGUACAACAUCCCAACGUACUUGUGUUAGAAGAUAAAGCACCUUUUCCUCACCGUUCUUGUUUCUGGCCCUAAACAACCAGGAAUUGAUAUAGACGUGUUCCUUGAGCCUAUCAUGCAAGAAUUUGAGAGAAUAUGGAGGUUUGGGGAGCCAAUGUAUGAUGCAUUCCGACAUGAGGACAUCGCACUAAGAGCAAUAAUAUUUGUGACUAUCAAUGAUCACCCCAUGUUGUUUGCUAUGUCUGGACAAAUCAAAGGCAAGAUGGGAUGCUAAGUCUAUUUGGAUGAUACUAAAUGGGUAUACCUAGAUGGAUCCAAGAAGAUUGUUUACCUAAGGAAUCAUAGCUUCUUAAAGGUAGGUCACAAGUACCAAAACAAUUUAUACUUAAGAUACUAUGCAACAUCUAGGAGGAUGAACCCCCUCCGGAGAGAUGUCAUAAUGGACAACAUGUGUACAAAAUGGUGAAAACCAUAUGCAUCAUAUAUGGAAAGAAGAAUCUAGAUGGAACAAUCAAAGAUAGAAGCAGACCUCCUAUCAAAGGCGUACCUUUUAAGAAACAAUCGAUCUUCUUUUGGUAUCUGCCUUAUUGGCUAGAAUUGGCGGUCCCCAUGCCAUUGAUGCUAUACAUGUGGAGAAGAAUGUCUUCGAGAGUCUCAUCGAUACCUUGAUGGACACAACCAAGUCAAAGGAUGGUCUGAAAGCAUGAAGGGACAUGGAGCAACUAAAGGUGAUGCCAGAGCUUCACCUGGUACUUGAAGAUAAUGGAAAAUACACUCUGCCAACGGCUACCUACAACCUAGACAUAGAAGAGAAGAGAUCUGUACUCACAUCCAUGAGGGGGAUCAAAGUCCCAACUAGGUUUUUGGCUAACCCGAAGAAGCUAGUGUCAAUGAAGGACCUCUCAUUUCACUACUGCAAGGCUCACGAUUGUCACAUGAUGCUGACAGUGUACCUACCAAUUGUCAUCGGGACUGUAAAGUCAGAGUUCUUGAAGAUGUCCAUCACCCACAUGUGCUACUUCUCUUCAAAUAUCUCUAGAGGAUGUUUCGUAGGACAGAGCUGAGAGACCUACAUGAUUUCAUGGUGGAGACCCAGAACCAACUUGAGAUGUGUUUACCUCCUACUUUUUUUUGAUAUAAUGGUACAUCUCAUUAUUCACAUGGUUCAUUAGAUAGAGGCGUUGAGCCCUUGCUACUUGCAUAAAAUGUGGUCCUCCAAGUGGUCCAUGUUGGUCCUAAGCCGAUACGUGCAUAAUCGAGCAUACCUAGAGGGUUCCAUGAUAGAGGAUUAUAGUACUGAAGAAUUCAUCGAAUGCUAUCAAGAGUACUUGAAAGUACAAAGAGGGAUUGGCAAUCCCGAUUCUCGUCACAUGGGUAGGCUAGCUAGAAAGCGCACAGUGGUAGAAAAACAUUCAUCAACUAUGAAUAUGAAGAAGUAAGUCAGGCGCAUUGUUGUGUUUUGUAGAGCACAAAACUGAUGCAAUGGUAUAUUGAUGAACACGUGGCUCUCAUUAUGGAGGAGAGGAAUGGUCAUUCAGAUGAUUGGGUCAUAAGACAGCAUAGGCGACGCCUGACUCAAUGGUUGAGGGACCAGAACAUACCGCUUAGAGAAAGUGAAGAUUCUACUACCAUCAGUAGAUUGGCAAAGGGCCCAUCGAGACAAGUAACAUCUUGGAAUUCUUAUGACAGUAAUGGGUACUCAUACUAUACCCACACAAAGGAUAGUAAAAGUGUAAACCAAAACAACAACGUUCGAGUAGAGGCUCUCGAUGGACUGGGGCGAAAGGUCCCAUUUUUUGGCAUAAUUGAAGAUAUAUGGGAGCUUGACUAUGGAAGGAAUCUAAAGGUGGCCCUAUUUUGAUGCUGCUAGAUCAAGCAACAUGAAGUCAAUGAGAUUGGGUUGAGAGUCGUGGACCUCCAGAAUGUAGGCUACCAUGAUGACCCUUGGGUGCUCGCUUCAUGUGUUGCACAAGUUUUCUAUAUGUCUGACCCACUAAGUAACCUCCCCCCAAAGAAGAGGACUGAGCACAUGGUUGCCUCCAGGAAACAACACAUUAUCAGAGUUGAUGGCGUGGAUGAUGUUGGAGCUUACAAUGACUAUGAUGAGAUGCCACUAUUCACAUACUUUAGUAGCAAGAUCAGUGCAGUGGAAAGGAACCUAUCCAAAGACAUACUGCCAUGGGAAUGAAAAGGUGGCAAGGGGAAACUUGUUACGGUGGGGCCUAGCUAGUUUGUGUAAGUGUGUGUCUGAGACUAUAUUUAUGUAUGUGUGUGAGACUAUGUUUAUGUAUGUGUGCGAGACUACAUUUAUGUAUGUGUGUGAGACUAUAUUUCAUGUAUGUGUCUAAUGUUUAUGUAUUUAUGACUUUUUUAUGUGUCAUGUGUAAGUGUUUAUGAGAGACUUAUCAAUUUACAACCAAACUUUUCUAACACUAUCUCAAAUGCCAAAAUGACCAAAACAACAGAUGUAUAUCUUGAUGAGUUUAAUAAACUUGGUAUUCAUGACUUUUCUAGGUGAAACCAUUUAGGGUUUGAAAAAAUGGUUUGAAGUCGUUAUUUUUUGAAAUUCAAAAUUUGAAUCAUUCAAACUUUGUCAAAUGAAAAGUGGACCAAAAUAACAAAUACAUCUUGAUGAGUUUAACAAACUUAGUACUCAUGUCUUUUCUAGUUGAAACCAUUUAGGGUUUGAAAAAGUAGUUUGAAGGUGUCAUUUUUUGAAAUUCACAAUUUAAAUUCUUUUAAGUUUACUCACAUGGAUAGAUGAACUGACUAAAAUAAUAGGUCUUGAUUUUAGAAACAUUUAGGAAAAAGAAUCAUCAGAUUUGAAGUUAGUAUGAGGGACAAAAACCUGUUACAAGUUCCAGCCAGAGAUUAAAAAACAAAUCACACUUGUUCAUAACCAAUUUAAAAUUUGAAUUUAUACAUCUUCGAACAAGAUUUCAAGGCACAAAGUUACUCUAGAUGAAAGACUUUUGAAUAGAAAAGUUUUAGAACUCAUCAAGAUCUACAAUUGUUAUAUAUAUCAUUUUUCAUUUGAGAAAUCUUAGUAAACACUAGUCAUAAAAUUAUGAAUCUCACAUAUAAUUUAUAAAACUAUAUGAGAGACUUGUCAAUUUACAACUAAACUUUUCUAACAAUAUCUCAAAUGCAAAAAUAACCAAAAUAACAAAUGUAUAUCUUCAUGAGUUUAACAAACUUGGUAUUUAUGACUUUUCUAGUUGAAACCACUUAGGGUUUGAAAAAUUGGUUUGAAGUUAUCAUUUUUUGAAAUUCAAUAUUUGAAUCAUUCAAACUUUGUCAAAUGAAAAGUGGACAAAAAUAACAAAGUACAUCUUGAUGAGUUUAACAAACCUGGUAUUCAUGACUUUUCUAGUUGAAACCAUUUAGAGCUUCAAAACCUGGUUUUAAGUUAUCAUUUUUGAAAAUUCAAAAUUUGAAUUAUUUAAACUUAGUCAAAUGACAAUUUGACCAAAAUAACAAAUGUAGAUCUUUAUGAGUGUAACAAAAUUGGUAUUCAUAACUUUUCUAGUUGAAACCAUUUAGGGUUUCAAAAACUAGUUUUAAGUUGAAGUUUUUUUGAAAUUCAAAUUUCCCUUAUCCAAACUUUCUCAAAUGCAAAACGGACCAAUAUAAUAAUUGUAGAUCUUGAUUAUCUUAACAAACAUUGUAUUCAUAUCAUUUUCAUUUGACCUCUUUUAUAGUGCCUCAAAAAUAUUAUCAAGCUUGUUGAUUGAUUUUCUAAAUUAAAAAAUCAAAUAAAAAAACAUUUGUAGGGGCGGCUUAAUCAUGAACCGCCCCUGCAAAUGGAACUAUAGGGGUGGCUCCCUUCUUCACCCGCCCUUACAAAUGCUCUAGGUAUAUAACAAGUCGAUCGUGGCUCCCUUCUCACGAGCGUGCGCCUCACUCCCUUCGAUGCUGGUAGGCUGCCGGAUUUUACCACCGUACCGUACAUCACCGCCAACUCCCCCUCCGGCACCCCUCCGCCGCUGCAACCUCCCUCUGCCCUCACCCAUCGCUCGCUGCCUCCUCCCACUCCUGACCCUGCCUACCCUGCCCCAUCUCUAGCGCAGGCCGCGUCACAGUUAGGGUUUGCGGUCGCCUAUGAAGGAAGUCAGACGCGUCACGGUGGAGGAAGUCGACGACCUGUGAAGGACACCACGCAGGGGCGCCGCGGUGAGGGUUGCUGCCCAUCUUCGUCUCACCUCCAUCUCUGGCACCGACCACGGUGGCUAGGGUUUCCCUGCCCUUCUCUCCUUCCUCAACAUUCGUGCUCCACCAUCGUUGGUCCUUCUCUUCAUCCUCGGCGGUUGUCCUGCAGCCGGAUCCCUACGCACCAUCGCCGGAUCCCUGCACACCACCGCCUGAGCCCUCUCUACUAGUUCCUCUACAAGUAUGCCCACCCCCUUCUCCCCCAGUUUUCUCCCCCAGUUGGAGCUUUGGACAUAUGGUUUGCUCUUGCGCUUGCACAUGAUGAUGCUUUGAUUUAUUACAAACUGAGCAAAGUGCCUAGGUUGAUGAUGUGAAUCUGUCUAAUCGUAGACACUCAAGGAGCACCCCUUUGAGUCUAGCAGCCGUGCCUUGUUUAUCUUGUGAUGGCUAAACUAUUGCUUGCAUUCUCUAAUCUGUACUGAUAAGUAGCAUUGCUGAAUUUGUGCAAUAAGCACUGAGACCAAUGGCACUUUGCAAUGAUAUGACAAUUAAUGUUGGUCCGUUUGCUUCAUUAUUCAUUUGUACUCUAUAUACCAAAAUUGAUGUUUUAGUCAGAUAUAUAUUUUUUAGAUAAUGGAUGAAACAUCCGGCUUCAUCUAUCCAAAGAUAGAAUCAGACCAAUUAUUACAAAACUUCCACAAAGGACAAAAGUAAAAGCUACGACUGAAUUGCAGCCCACCAGAAGGAAAAGGAAACAUUCGAAGUAAAGUUUGAAACUAAGCAUGACCAAUGUAACUUGACGAUAACCACCCAUUGGAACUAAAAAAUGCAAGGCCGACGUUUCUAGGACCUGCCCCACGAGAUUUAACUGCUCCCGUUGAUCGUCAUGCCGCUGCAAGUGUGCCCACUGUCGAAGCCGGUGUGUUCCCCUGAAGAGUACCUGCAAGAAAGAUUUUGGUCUGCAUCUGUCAAAAACCACCUCGUUUCGGGUUAUCCAAAUUGCCCAAUAGAGCGAUGCACCUGCCGUUAAUAACAAUGAAUUAUACUUUUUAGUGCCUAAUUUUGUCCAUCUUAAAAACAGAUCAUUUAUAUUUGUUGGCGGUGGCAAUGCAAAAAUUAUAUGAACAGCGCGCCAUAAGAAUUUGGCAUAAACACAAUAAAAAAGAGAUGAUUAAUUGUUUCCGGAAAGUGACAAAAACAACAACCUCUGUCACCAUUCGAGUUACAUCUAACUAAGUUAUCCUUAGUUAAAACCACUUUUUUUUUAAAUACAAAAGAAAAAUUUUAAUUUUCAUUGGUAACUUAGUUUGCCAGAUAUCUUGUGACACCCGAACCCCAUUGUUAAUCAACGCAGCAUACAUAGACUUGACUGUAAAGAUCCCACACGCAUUCAACCCCUAGACAAAUACAUCCUUCUGGUUUACCAAGUGAAGAUCCUGUACAGUCACUACAGUGCCAAGCCAAUAGAUUUGCACCCACUAGAUUUCGUCUAAAAGAAAUAUUAAAUGGAGUUGAACCGAGCACUUGUGCAACAGAAUCAUCCUUUCUCCGUACAAUAUUAAACAAUGAAGGAAAUUUAUCCUUAAGGGGUUUAUUUCCCAACCAAGUAUCACUCCAGAACCUGGUUUGAGAUCCAUCUUUAAUCUUAAAUGAGCCGAGUUCCAAAAAAGAAUCUUUGACAUUCAUUAGGCUUUUUCAAAAAUGCAAAUCCAAUGGUUUUUUAACAUAACUUCCUAAAGUCUUGUUUUUAAUAUACUUUUUUUAAUAAUUCCUACCACAUGCCGUCCUCGUUCAAGAAUUUGAAUAACCACUUACUUAAUAAACACUUAUUUUGCGUAUCCAGAUUUUGAAUGCCAACCCCACCUUGACUCUUUGGCUGACAUAACACCUCCCACUUUGCCAACCUAUAUUUUCUUUUAUGCUGAUCAUUUUGCCAAUAGAAUCGAGAUCUGAAGCAAUCUAUUUUUUCUAACACACCACAUGAAACUUCGAAAAACGACAUCAUAAACAUCGGUAAACUAGAAAGCACCGAGUUUAUAAGAACCAGUCGCCCUCCUACAGAUAACAUUUUCUCUUUCCAGCCACUCAGUCUCUUCUCAAUUCUAUCUUCGAUAAUCUUCCAAUCUUUAUUAUUUAACUUUCUAGUGUUCAUAGGAAGUCCCAGAUAAUGGAAUGGGUAAUUACCGACCACACAACCAAACAACUGCGAAUCGAACUCCUCGUAGUCUUUUGCUUCACCAAAGCAAAAGAUUUCACUUUUAUGAAAGUUUAUCUUUAGGCCCGAUAAUUGCUCAAAGGUUCUCAAUAACAGUUUCAUAUUGACUGCCUUCUCAAUAUCAUGGCUCAUAAAGAUGACUGUGUCAUCCGCAUACUGAAGGAUUGACAAACCAUCCUCGAGUAAAUCAAGAAUAACCCCCUCGACCAAACCUUCCUCUUUCGCUCUGGCAAUUAGAAUGGCUAACAUGUUGACUACUAUAUUAAAUAGUAUAGGCGACAUAGGAUCAUCUUGUCUAAGGCCUUUUUUGGUCUGGAAGUAAGAACCUAAUUGAUCAUUCACCUUAAUGUUAACAUUGCCCCCUUCAGUAAACCUCUGUACCCACUUACACCAUUUUUGUGAAAAACCUUUCAUUCUCAAAGUUUAUUGUAAAAAACUCCAUAAUCUUAUCAUAGGCUUUUUCAAAGUCUAUUUUGAAAAUCACGCCAUUCUUCUUUUUUGAGUGUAGCUCGUGUAUUGUUUCAUGCAAAAUUACCGCUCCCUCCAUAAUAUUCCUUCCUGGCAGAAAGGCUGUCUGAGUAGGUCUAAUUAUUUUCUGAGCUAUGGAAGUCAAUCUGUUGGUUGCGACUUUAGUGAAGAUUUUGAAAGAUACAUUCAGUAAACAAAUAGGUCUGUAUUGCUGAAUGACUCUUGCAUCCUUCUUUUUUGGCAACAAAAUUAUAGUUCCAAAAUUAAGGCGAUUCAAAUGCAAAUUACCUUGAUGGAAUUUCGAGAACAAAGCCAUCAGAUCAUCCUUUAUAACAGACCAGAAAACCUGAUAAAACUCUGGAGGAAAGCCAUCUGGGCCAGGCGCCUUAUUAUGUUCCAUCUGGAAAAUCGCAACCCGCACUUCUUCUUCCAAAAAAGGUUGGGUUAAAAACUCAUUUUCCAGUUCGGAGACUUGUGGAAUAUCACCGGUUUGAGUCUCAUCCAGCUCGAUCGGAGUGAUCUCUGGUGGACCAAACAAAUUCUUAUAAUAACUAGUAAUAUGCGCUUUUAGUUGUGCAUCACCAGUUAUUAAAUUAACCCCAUCCUCCAACCGAAAAAUUUGAGUUUUUCGAUGCCUGCCAUUAGCCAGUAAAUGAUAAUAUUUUGUGUUUGCAUCUCCUUCUAGAAGGUGUUUUAAUUUUGCUCUUUGGUACCACUUUAUCUCCUCUUCCCUCAACAGCUCAGACAAUCGUUCGUUGAGUACAUGUUUUAAAUCCACCUCCUGCUGAGUAAGGAGCAUUAUUUCCGCUUUUUUAUCGAGGGCAUCUAGUUUAUUCAGAAUUGUUUUUUUUUCCUUUUUAUACACGCCACUGACAUUUCUUUCCCAUCCUCUUAGAUAUUGACGAAGCCUGCUUAUUUUGGCUUGCCACCGUUCUAUAGGCGAGCCACUGACUAUUGUACUUUGCCACACAUCCUUAACCAUCUCACAAAAUCCUUCCCUCAGCAACCAACCCAAUUCUAAUUUGAAUUGAGGCUGAUAAUUUGAGGACGGAUUAUUUGUAGAAAAUAGCAGGGGUGUGUGAUCCGAAAUUUCCCUAGUCAGUGCUUGAACAGUGGUAUGCGGAAACUUAGAUUCAAAAUCUGUACAAACUAGAACUCUAUCUAUUCAAAAGUCUGAAUUGGUAAAUUAUUUGCCCAAGUGAAAUUACGCCCGGACAUCUCAAUCUCUCUCAAGUUUAAAGAGUCAAUCACCGCAUUGAAUAAAAAAGGCCACCUAUUAUUAAAAUUAGCAUUAUUUUUCUCUUGUGGUCGCCGUAUGAUAUUAGAGUCGCCUCCUAUAAUUAUAGGUAAAGCUUCUUUAGAACAUACAUUGACUAUUUCAGAUAAGAACAAAGAUUUAUGUUCUGCUUGCGCCGGGCCAUAAACUUAAAUCCAAUUAAACUUAAAGUCAUCCUCUCUCCGCCUGAUCUUAAAGCGAACAAAAAAAAUCUCCUUCCUCAAUCUCCCCUAUAUCAAAGUUAAGAAGAUUAAUACCUAGUAACAUACCCCCAGACCGUCCCCGCGGAGCCAUACAAUGCCAUAAAUAAUCUCUGCCAGCACAAAUAUUAUUUAAAGUGGAUUGUGGAAAAUUUGCUCUACCAGUUUCCGACAAGGCAAUGAAAUCUAGGUUCUUCUCUUUUGUUAACUCAUUAAAAAAUCUAUACUUUUUACAGCGCAAAUCCAUUACAAUUCCAAAAAAUACCCUUCAUUGCGACCGACUUUGUGAUUUGUGAUUCUUCUUCCUAGAGCCUUUUACAGAUGAUAAGGGGGUUUGAAGACCCUUAGGGUCACAACCUCCAUCACCUAAACCCUCUGCUAUCUCAGAGCAAAUUAAAUUAAGUGCAUCCAAAUCCAGAGAAUCUUCGAAAGAACAAGCUGAAGCAUCAUCCAAAAUUUCUUUAUUCGAAGUAUCAAUUGUUUUAAAUUCAGCUAUACGUUGUAAUUCUAAAUUUCUUAAAUUUUCUAAUGAAUUAUGAAUCUGAGCAGUAUCAUCCCCUAACCGAACCCCUAUAGAAUUGACUGAAUGUAAAAGACUAGUGUCAUCCCGGGAAAUAAAAGAAAGUGUAAGGAGAUUUUUACCUUUAUCAUUAGAGAUCUCUAGGUUGUGGCGCGCUUUCAACUUUGUUGCCUUCUCUACCGAGUCUUGAUCUGAUGUUGCGGCCGUCCUCUUACUUGAUCUCACAGGAGACACUGUCCCACCUUUCUGGCCUUUCAGCUUGUUAGUGAUCAUUUACUAUGAGUUUUAGAUUAUUGUAAUGAUAGUGAAUCAUAUUAUAUCUCUGGUCAAUGAAGUUGCUAGUAGAUGGGAAGUUCUUUGUGUUUUUGCUCACAAAUUAUAUGAGCAGCAGCUGCUUUUUAUUGCCAACCUCUCCUCUCAUCUUCGUUUGAGUGGAAUUGGUCAUUCUGCAGCAAUUUUGGCAAAUUUGAGAUUAUUUGGUAGGGUUGCUACCUAUUUCUCUACUUCAUCCACUCUAUGUCACUCCAAGCUCAAUAUCUAUUUUACUUACUGCUCAUAUUCUUAAAACUACUGCUGCUCAUAUAUUGCUGCUCAUAUAUCCUAAAACUAAAUCUGGGUCCUAAAACCGAGCUAUGAACUACUCUUGUACUACAUGGUCUCCACUCUGCUGCUCAUAUAUUGCUGCUCAUAUGUUGGUCUCUGCUACCUUCUAGUUAUAAGCAGCUGUUGCUUUUUUUUUCACCUUUCUAUCCUCUAUGUUUGGGAAGCAGCCGCUGCUUUUUUCGACCCCUCUCUAUAUAUGUUUUUAAGCAUCUACUGCUUUUUAUUGCCAACUCUCCCCUCUCCUCUUCGUUUGAGUGGAAUUGGUCACUCUGCAGCAAUUUUGGCAAAUUUGAGAUUAUUUGGUAGGGCUACUGCCUGUUUCUCUACUUCAUCCACUCUAUGUCACUCCAAGCUCAAUAUCUAUUUUACUUACUGCUCAUAUUCUUAAAACAGUUGCUGCUCAUAUAUCCUAAAACUAAAUCUAGGUCCUGAAACCAAGCUACUUUGAACUACUCCUAUACUACCUUCUAAGUUGGUCUCCACUCUGCUGCUCAUAUAUUGAUGUUCAUAUGUUGGUCUCUACUACCGUCUAGUUAUAAGCAACUGUUGCUUUUUUCACCACCUUUCUAUCCUCUAUGUUUGGGAAGCAGCCACUGCUUUUUUCGACCCCUCUCUAUAUAUGAUUGUUAAGCAGCUGGUGCUUUUUUGGCCAACUCUCCCUCUCCUCUCCUCUCUAUUUUUGCCGAUGAUCAUUUAUUAUAUGGAAAUAUGAGCUGAUGAUCAAAACUUGUGAGGAACCUGGCAUUGUUGUUUGCCAACUGUUGACGGCCAUUAAUGUCAACUUUUAUAAGAACUCUAGACAUGAAAAGAAACAUAAAUACCUGCUAGUCUAGGGUUUAUCUAACAAUUUCCAUGAGUUUUGGAGUUUAUGUAUUUUCUAGGGAGUGAUCCAGAAAAGGAGCAAAUGGAGGAUUAGAAUGCAAGAAAACCACGAAACUUAUCCACGACGAAAGCGACAACUAUCAGAUCGGGGGAAGCAUCUAGAAGCCACCAGAGAAGGCGGGCCUGAGGGCUGCUAGGUGGGGCAGCCUAGCCCCACCAUGGCGCCAGCCGGUGCCCCCCUAGGGAAAACGUCCUCCGCCUUCUAGAGUCUUCUACUACCAUCUAGAGGAUGCAUCUAAGCCGUGUGUUUAUGUCGGUUUGAUCCUCUGGCACACGUUCACCCCAUCGGACUAUAAAUAGAGAGGCAGACCCCCCUCCCUGGAGGCAUAACCAGUUCAUUCAGUCAUUCAUAAAGUCAUCAUCAAGAAGCCUUCAAGUUCAUCAAGAGCCUUCUAGUUCUUAGUUCUAGUCUAGUUAGAUUAGAAGUAGAGGAGAUCUAGUUCUUCAUCGGGAUCCAGAGCUUCUAGCGUCUGUCUGGAGCUUAGUCUAGGAAUAGAUGUAGUUCUUUCUUCUACAUUAUUGUAUUCAUCAUUAUGAUUAGGUAGACUUUAUUCUUAAUAGAUCAUAUGUUCUUAAUUGCAAUCUUUGUCUACUUUAAUUAUAUGUCUAGUUUAGUUGGUUUGAUCUUAUUGAAUUCGUGUAAUUGCUCAUAUAGAGUCUGCCCAAUCGAGAUUAUGGUCUUGAGCAGCUGUUGGGUAGAUGGUAGGCAAUAUGUAGACGUAGUCCACACUGAUAGCUGCAUUGGUUCCUUUGUAGUCCAUCCCCCGUACAUAGGCCAGCUGACACGGUCACGAAUGGGGCGGCCCUCGUGUCUUAAUAUCCCUGCUAGAUGAUGUCCUUUGCAUGUGAUGAUGAUGUAGGAACCAAGCUAACGAUGAUUGCUAGAUGUAAUUGCACUAAGAGUUAUUCAUUGAUGUAGUUAUAGAAUACCUUAGACAUUUAUUUUCUUAUCUUAAUAUUGGCUAGCUAGUAACAUGACUAGAAUGAUGCUUUGAUGUUUAUCUUUAAUGAUGAUUGGCUAUAGUUAUCACAUACAUUUAUCUAUCUUUAUCUAUUGUGACACCUGUCUGUUAAGAGUAGAAUAGAUUGCUUGUUUUAGUAUAUAGUUUCUAUCAAUAUAAUAUAAUAGACUGAAGUUUAGCUAGACCUUCCCAGUGGUAUAAAUAUAAAUCGACAACUUGGUAAUACUCUAGGUAAAAUGCUACAGUGGUAUAAUUAUCUUUCCACUUGCAGAAUUGAUCUUAUUUCAUAUUCAUCUUUAUUUAUUUCUGCCUACUGACAUGAAUUGAAUUAUAUAUAAUGUAUUGAUUCCAUAGCAUAUAGGGAUGACAACCUUGUUCAUGCUUAAGGAUAUUGGUAGAUGAGUGGCUAGUUGCUAAUGACAAGUAUUUUACAUACCUUACAUUUCUUUAGCCUCAUUAAUUAUAAUGUCGUUAAGAAGUGUCAACAACCAUUUUUGGCGCCGUUACUAGGGAAGGCACAUUAGACUUAUAAAAUAUUGAUAACCUAUAUAUUAUGAAUAAGAUUAUAUUUCAAAUUUGAUUUCUAUUCAAAUAGGCACACCCUUGUUUUUAUCAUUGUUUAUUUUAUGCAGUGUGAUGAAUGAAUUGUUUUUCUCUUCCGAAUAAUUUCACUGACGAUCUAGAGAAGAUCCUAAGAAGGAGGAAGUUUGUUGAGGUAAGGGAUAAUUUCGAGUCACCAUCAAGAACACCCAUUGCCGCUAGACCUUCCCAGUGGUAUAAAUAUAAAUCGACAGCCUAGUAAUACUCUAGAUAUAUAAAAUGCUACAAUGGUAUAAUUAUCUGUCUGCUUGAUCUAUUUCAUAUUCAUCUUUACUUAUUUCUGCCUAGUCACAUUAAUUGAAUUAUAUAUAAGCCUGUAUUGAUUCCAUAGCAUAUAGGGAUGGAUGACAAACUUGUUCAUGCUUAGGGAUAUUGGUAGAUGAGUGGCUAGUUGCUAAUGACAAGUAAUUUACAUACCUUACAUUUCUUUAGCCUCAUUAAUUAUAAUGUCGUUAAGAAGUGUCAACACCAACUCUCCUCUCUCCUCUCCUCUGUUAUAUAUUUUGAUGCCUUGAUGCUCCAAGUUCAUGAUCAAAUGAUGCUAGACAUGUUUUUGAGGCCACCACUACUUCUACUACUUGGUUUUUAGAGUAUAUUCUUAUGCUCCAAGUUCAUGAUCAAAUGAUGCCUAAACUUAACUUAGCAUUUUCCACUCUCACAUGUACUGAGUUUUGAAAAGAGAAAUGCCUCUAUAUAAGAAUUGGAGUAGAACUCUGAACUUAUGCUGAACUCUGAACUAUGAACUUUCUGCUCAUGCUUAUUGCUACUACUCCUGCUAGCUGCUUAUAUGUUGUACUCAUGCAUUGGGAUCCGUUUGAGAGGAAUUGGUCACUCUACAACAAUUUUGACAAAUUUGAGAUAAUUUGGUGGUGCUGCUGCCUAUUUCUCUACUUAAUGCACACUAUGUCACUCCAAGCUCAAUAUCUAUUUUACUUACUAAUGCUCUACUCCAUGGUCAAAUUCUUGUAUUUGUAUGGUUGUAUAUGCUUUUUGAUUCUGUCCAACACAUAUGCUCAUAUUCUAAACUACUCCUGUACUACUGCUACUGCUCAUAUAUUGCUGCUCAUAUUCUUCUACUACCUUCUUUUUAUGCUCAUAAUCAGUUUGAGAUUAAUUAACACUUAAAAUGCAUAUGACCUUGAUUCUGUCCCAUUCUGUUUAUACUACUAGUACCAUCUUUAUAUGCAACUACAUGUUUGCAGUUGUUGGUCUCUACUACCUUCUAGUUAUAAGAAGCUCUUGCUUUUGUGCCACCUUUCUAUCCUUUAUGUUUGGGAAGCAGCCGCUGCUUUUAUUGCACCUCUCUAUAUAUGAUUGUUAAGUAUCUGUUACUUUUUUUUGACAACUCUCCCCUCUCCUCUCCACUCUGUUUUUUUGCCGAUGAUGAAAUUGUCAAAGUCCCUUCACUAUACGGAAAUAUGACUUGAUGAUCAAAAACUUGUGAGGAACCUGGUGUUGACGGAAAUUAUAGCAUAAAAUGCACAUCCAAAACACCGUCAACAACCUCGGUUUCAAGGAAGAAUCACAUGACAUAGACAUAUUUUAUAAAUAAUUGGUUCCAGAUGUACCUUGAGCUUGUGAAUGCAGGACUUAGCAAAAUGGCACAAAAUAGAGCUGAAGUGGGCCCACAUGGGGGAUCGGCCGAUCCCCCUAUGCCACCUCCUCAAGGUGCCACGUAGGCAUGAUCCAGGGCAACCUCCUAGAAGCAAUUUUUUGCCUUCGUAUCAGAGUGUGCUUUCUCUCAACGGCUGAAAUCAAGAGCACAGGGAUUCAUGGGUCCACAUGUUAGAAGAACCGGUGACAACGUGCAACAAGUGGGUGAACUAGUGCCUAUGACCAGUGGGGACACCAACCAACUGACUCUGGCUGGCCCCACCAGUCAUAAGGGGAUCGGCCGAUCCCCCCUAGCGCCAGCCAGGUCGGUUGGCCCACCAUCGACUUCCCCACAUUGAGCACAUGUUAAUUUGAUACAAGACGUUGGAUUAAAGGCGGUUUCAAGGUUGGUUUGAUCCAAUGGCCAUAAAGCAACGUCACGUGGAUCGAUGACAUGGCGAUGGAGUAGCCCCUACUCCACCUCUCCUUAUAAAUACCUGCUGUAUUCACCCUCUCAAGGCAUGAUGUGAUAGUUUUCAAGACUACAAGUCUAGUUUCUUUAGUAGUUGUAGUCUUGUGUGGGAGUUAGAGUCGAGUCGAGCGAAGCUCCGGGUCUCUAGAGUCGUCUUGUGGAGAGUCUGAUAUUCCUCUUGUACUUUCCUUUUGCAAUACAUUAAUUUAUAUUUCUCUUCUACUUUCCUGAGUAUUUACUUAGUGCAAUAUUAUUCCUACAACAGUGUUGUUGUGUCUUAGCCUAGUUUGCUAGUAGUACAAGGUAGAUUGUGAUCCUAUUACCACUCCUUAGUUGUUACCAACAUCUUUACAAGUUGCUCUAGCUAGGACGUAUUCUUAGUCAGAGUAGUGAGAGUUAGUGUAGGCGCGGUGCCUAGACUAAGUCUCAUCGUUGGAGGCCACUAGUCUUCACAGAAGGUCUAUGGGCUCACUGGCUUGAAGUGAUAGUUUGGGCUUGGCAUUAGAUCCCACCACGUAGAGGGUAGUAAUUAAGACUGCAGGGCGUACAUAAGUUUGGUCUCGCUUGAGCAGGGGUUCUGUCUCCUUCUCUCUCAUUUCCUCCUAGCAACUAAGUUAGUGAGGUAGCAAUCCUAGCUUGUAUCUUCUAUCUAAUUACACUAGAACACAAAAGUAGAGGUAGAAUCCAUAGGAGUCCUUAACUCACUCGUUGUCCUCCCACCUAGCAGCUCUACGUUAGUUAUCUUUAGUUGUCUUAGGAUCAGCAUCAUCAACCUUCCAUCCAAAUCAUCAUCACCUUUCCUUGCUCUUGUUGCCAUUAGAUUAUGAUAGGGAUAUCUUUCCUCUUGAACCAUUUCUAUCUACUGCUUUCCUUUGGGAUAAAUAUAAAUUACGAUACCUUGGACUACUCCCGGGUGAAGUGCUACAAUGGUACAUUCUAUGCGCUUGCGAAAUCAUCCAACAGACAUUUGAAUUACCACAUACUUGGCAUCUCUAGUGACAUCGCUAUUUUUGCGGUGCUGCUAAGAAACACCAACAAGCAUUUCUGGCGCCGUUGCCGGCAAAAGCAUAGCCUAGAAAUUUUAAUUGGAAUGAAUUUAGAAAACUAUCUUAAUCUUUGUGUCAAAUAGUUUUAAGGAGGUUUACCCAUUGCCUUUGCUUCUCUAUAUUAGUGAAGCCAGGCAUUGAAUGAGUGAGAUCCAAUCCGAACCUACCACAUCUUACUCAGGAUCACUCAAGGAAGGAGGCUCAGCACCAACAGUCGAAAAGUUGAUGGCCACCUCAAUCUCUGACUACUAUACUCCCUCGGUCACUCGUAUAAUGAGAGGACCAAGAGUGGAUGUAGGGGAAGCCAUGUUUGAGAUUAAGCCAUCACUUAUCUCAAUGGUGCAAGCCAAUACAUUUGAAGGAAAGCCACACGAGGAUGUGAAUGCACAUCUCCAGCGGUUUCUGGAGGUGUGUGGCACCAUUGUCAUCAAAGGGAUCUGUUGGUGCAAAAACUGGUUUGCAAACACAAAGGGCUAAUACUCGAUUCAAACGUUAAGGUGUACAAGCCGAUUUGACCUUACAAUCGACAAUGGUGGUAACUCGAACACUUUGGUCCCGACAACAGCGAUGCGCCCGGAUGUCACGGCCAAGAGGUGCUCACGCAGAACUUGAGAACACGCCGAGCUCAAGUCGACGAAUUCCUAAGAACUCGUAGUAAAAAGGAAAAUAUGACGAAAUCGUCAAAAAGUAGAUGCUGGAAUAUGAGUAAAAACUUGUGUUUGAUUGAUUGAUAGAUGCCUCAUUACAUUGCCCUAGGGUCUACAUUUAUACCCUGUCCAAAGAGCUACAACCAGACACGACUAGGACUCAAAUUCCAAAUUAAACGGAAAUCGUAUACAAAACGAAUUCUAAUAACUAAGGAAAACAUUAAACUACCCCCCGUAACCGAACGGGACACCGCCACGAAUCAAUCGGCAACUUUCAUGCUUUCCUCAAGAGUCAUCGACAGACUACCUAUUACGGCCAUCGGCAAAUACUGGCACUGGUCAUCGGCACGAAUAUACCAUCACUUCUGGACAUGGUCAUAUUCGGUUGUCUCCCCAUCGGCAACCACCUUCAUCGGCAACCUCCCUGCAGACUGGUCACCACUGCUCCAUCUGCCGAUCUACAUCUCAUUAACUCCAGAUGCGUAUCAAACGAUACGUGUCCAAAAACGGUGUCAACACAUGCCCCCCAAUUUCGAAGUAUAAAUCAUUAAUGCUCCAAAAUUCUCUGCAGUAAUGAUGCCUUUCCGCAAUUAUUUCUCCCAACCUGGUAAUCAAUCGCUAAAUCUAAACAACCUCGGCCCGAUUCUCCUGCAGAUUCCUCGAAUCUCUCAACUUCUCAAUCAAAUCUCCCCACUUUAUGCGCCCAUCGGCAACAUUACCGUUAGAGAAAACUGCCGAUGGACCGACCAUGCGAUCUUGUACAGUGAAAUAUCUUCAAAAUCAUGACCGCUUGCUGUCAAAUCACCUGCACAAUCCCUUGAUUACCGUGCGAACAGUUACCAUAUCCACCUGAACACCCUCGGAUUUCACAGAUGCAGCAAAGAGAUAAGUCAGAUUUGCCCCUGCCCGUUUUGUCCUAUAAAUACUUCCUUCUCCGGUACUCCUCCAUCUUAUCAUUCUACAGCCCAAAAUCUACUUUCCUGGCAGCGGCAUUGCCCGAGAGCCCCAAGAACUUCAGCAAGAGUCUCCUUCAUCUAUCCUUCAAGUCCGCGUUCCUCUUCCUUGCGAAGAAAUGGCCAUCAACUUCGUCGUUCCUGAGGUCAGUCUAUCAUCCUUUUUCUUUUUGCACUUUUGCUAUACUCCUGUUCAUCUGCGAUUCCUUUUACUGAGUACCCUCUUUCUUCUUUUUUUUGUUCUUUCAUCCUCAAAACUUUUAGGAUUUGGCCGAUAAGAUUGUAAUCUCUACCGAUCAACCCCGCUUGCAAUGUCUCGGCCCGCUAGGAAAUCCAGAUCCCACCGAUCUAAUAAACGCAGAGACAAAUAGAAUCCCCUUCAGAGCCAAAAACUUUUCCUUAGAUCUGUGGAAAGAUGCCUUUCGUUCCUAGCCCAGUCCCACCAAGAGAUGGAAAGAUUGGUUCCUGAGAGUCAGCCAUUCAAAUGAGGUCCAGUGGGGUGAGUGGAAAUUAGACCAGUGCAUCAGAUUAUCUCUUGCCAAUAUGGAGAGAAAUGAGUCAUUGCUGAUAGCUGCCUCGUAUUUUUGGUCAGACACGCACAAUGCUUUUGUAUUGGGUCAUGACCCUACUUCACCCACUCUUGCCGAUGUACUCAUGCUCACCGGCUUAGACAUAUCCACUGCCGAUAGUAGUCACCUGUUUGAUACCAAGCCCAGUGCUAAAGUAGAAACUCGCGCUAUCGGCGGUUGGUCUGGAUAUAUUCAGAAGUACCGAAAGACAGGACCUGUCAGGGAGAGGGAGCAGACAAUUUUCCUAAACAUGUGGUUGGAUAAGUUUGUGUUCUGUGGCCGAUCGGCGGGACCAACCUCUGUCUAUUUAUCGGCAGCAGAGAAACUAGCCAAAGGUGGCUGAUUUCCUCUUGGCCGAUAUUUGCUCUGUGCUGUUUAUCACCUCCUUCAUCAGGUAGCUAAGAAACUCCUGCUGGGCCAGUCCAUCGGCAAUCUAGUGGGACCCUGGUGGUUUAUCAACAUGUGGCUCAGUGUCCAUAUGCACAAGCGCCUUGAAUUCAACCUCUUUGUACAGCGCUUCCCUAGAGACAUAGCCGAAGAUCACGAGUUGGAUGAAGAAGAAUCGGCAACUCGUCCCCCUCUGAACUACGGUGAAGCUGCGAUAGUUCUGCCUGGUACCGGUGGCAAUCAAGACCAGGUUAGUCGAUUCUUUCAGACUCUUUAUGAGGGUCUGACCAAAGAACAACAGGCAUGGAUGCCUUAUGAAGAUCCAGAUACCAGAUUUCCCCUGACUUUUCAUCCUUUUGAUAAUGCUCUCAACAAAGACCUUGAUCUGAUGAUGGCAAUCAUCACUUCGAGAGCUAUACUGGUGAAUUUUUUUGGCAGUGGGAAAACUUCCAACCUUACCUAUGAGUUCUACAAUCCAUUGGCAUUGGCCCGUCAAUUGGCUUUUGGACAGCUGCCGAUUGCACUCUGUUAUGCUGAUGUGGUGAAACCAAGGGAGAUCAUCACCAGUGGUCUUGAGUGGAUCAGAAUUGCCCAACUCCCACCAAAUGCCGACACGUCAGAUAUCGAUCUAUCGGCCUGGAUUCUAGCCCUCUUCAUCACCCAGGCGUACAAACAAUGGUGGGUAGAAUGGAAGGAGCAUUUGUUCUGCAGAUCGGCUCUCACAUACCGCGGUAUGAUCGACUCCGCGUACAAGGUCCCUGAUAACACUGUAAGUCUUCAACCGAUGCUUCAAUCUUAUUAUUUUUGCUUUCAUCGGCAACUUACUUCCUCUAUUUUACACAGGUCGAUGAUACACCACCGUCAGUCAGUAGAAGUGGUAGGUCGAUCGAACUUCUUCCAUCGGGCCUGAUUUCUUUGAUCGGCAAUAACGUUCCAAGUCUGAUGGCCCUAAUGCACCGGGGCGCGCGUUUUAAGAAAAUCACCACCAAGCGGACCAAGACAUCUCCAUCGGUCGCUGCUGCUGCUCUGGCGCAAGUUUUCAAGGAAGAAAGUUUUUAUCUCUUCAAUUUAUAUCGAUCCCACUCCAUACUUAUACGGCUUUUUCAGGAUACAUCGGCAGCCAUGGGCACCUCAUUGGUAACUUUCUCAACCAUCAUUCCAUUAAUACUCUGUUACACUUGUACUCAUGAAACCUUUAUUGUUGUAUCAGCAAACUGGCAAAUCGGCAAAGACCAGAAGUGCCAAGGCAAGCGCCGAUGCCCCCCAAGCUAGCCAAGCCAAGAGAAAGGGUCCCAAGAGUACCAAGUCACAAGCCAAGCGUCAAAGGACAGCAUCACCUCCUCCUCCUCCUCUAGGGUCACCGAUUCAUGUGGAAUCAUUCCCUUCUUCGCCAGAAGCUCAGACACAACAAGUACCAUCUCCACCUCAGCCACAAGAAGAACCUCAGCCAGAGGAGAUAUCAACCGAUGUACCUGAGCAGACCGUCGACCCAGUGGGUCCAAUUAUAGCAUCGGUAGUCUCCUCAAUCCAGACAAGCAUUGCAUCCCCUCAAGGUAAAGUUCUGUCCAUAAAAUCAUUACCGAUGGACUUAUCUUUCUACCCAAUAAUUAUUCCUGUUAAUUUCUUUUAGCUGACAUCGUCCCAUCGGCAACUCCGGCCGAUCAUCCUGUUGCACCAUCGGCCUCAACUAGCUAGAGGCGAGAGAUAGCUUUGAAACAAGUAAGCUAUUUGAUUAUCAUCCUUUAUUUCACCAAUCAUUUUAUUAUCAAAUAACCUAUCUUCUUUUCUUUUUUCAGGAACAAGAUUCUCCCGACAGCCUGUUCUCCUUUGCCAUCGAAAUCUCUGAUGAUGAAGGCGAAGAAGCAAGCUCUUCUCAAGCAAUCGGGAUCUCAUCAGCAGAAAUCAGAGCGAAGCUGGAAGAUUUGUUGGCCCUGCUUCACCAGGAUACAGCCCAACUGGUUGAUGACUCCGAACCAGCCAAGGCUCCGUUCAAAGUUUUCAGAGGCCAAAUCCCCGCCGAUGCUGAGGAGAUUCUUUUCAAGGCCGCACACUUGGAGAGUCGACAGCUCCAGUAAAAAAAAGCCACUCAGCGUCUUGCCGAUAGAGCCACUCAUGCUCAACUUUCACAGGAGGUAAUGAAAGUAAAGCAUCUUGCUGAUGAGAAACACAAGAGCAUCGGCAUUCUGAAAGCCUCUGGAGACUCACUGAAAUAAAAGAUUUAUGACCUAUCGACGAAAAGAGAAGUUCUGUUGGCAGAACUUAAACAAGUAGAAGAAGCUUUGUCCCAAGUUCAACAGGAAGAAAGCCAGCUGCCCGAAACGAUCAAGACUCUCGAACAAGAGCGAAAUGUCUAAGCUCGCAAGGCGCUGCAGUUGAAGAAGAAGCUGAAACCAGUGGAAGGUUCUACCGAUGAAGACAUCAGGGAGAUAGAAGAAGCUGAUCAAAUUCGACUGCGUGCUAUAUCGGCAAUUCAAGCCCCUCUGAGUGCAUAAGCUUUUCAUCGGCAGCAUGCUUUGUUCUUUCUCUAAAACCCUUGAACAUUUUGGUCUAGCUGUCGGGCCCUCAAUUUGAGAGUCCAAGUGUACACAUAUUUGUGCUAGGAUCGAGCACAAAUACGCAUGAGAUAACAGAAUUGGCACUCAGAUUUAAUAUAAAAUACCGAGCUUUAUUGAUAUAUUAAAAAAAAUAUAUGGUCUUACAAUAGUCAUGGUUCAGAUGGUAUAGCCAUAGGCAUUACAUAGCUAGCGAGAUUUUGCUGUCGUAAAGCAACAAUUUAUUACAACAGGAUGGUAGAUACUACAGCGGAUUCUAUAGCAUAGCGAUAAUCUAAACCACAGGCAAGCUUGAGCGCGGCCGAAACCCUAUGCCCUAGAGACUCCUAGCAUAUCCGUAGACCUUCGUGUGGCUCCUAGUCCUCGUGGUCCGCCUCCUCGUCGACGUUGUAGUCCUCCUCGGGGUUGAUAUCUGUGAGUCAUCAACAGGUGAGUACAUACAGUACUCAGCAAGCCCUAACCUUGGGGUACGGUGGAGUGGAUGGUGGAGAUGGUAAAGGAAUGGUGGUAUAGUACAAUUAAAUAAUGAUUGGGCCUUGGGAGAGAAUUACUCUUCUCGCCAGUUUCCAAGUUAGUUUCACAAAUAUUGAAAUAAUUAUGUUAGCACAGUCCCAUUUCACAUAAAAGAUAACUAAUCAUAAGAGACCUCAUCCUAGUGGUUGCCCAUUCCAAGGACGUGGCUAUUCGAAUAGGUUUAUUACUCUUUGCAGAGGGUGUACACUUUCCCCACAUGAUAGGCACAAUCCCAACCAUGAUCAGUCGUAGAAUUAACCUAACGAGAUCCCGUUCCCGGUUGACGCGACCUUGGGUUUCCAUAUAAUUCUACUGCGGCCUAUUCAGGGGUCGGUAACCACAAAGCGUUUGGAUGGUCACAUGACAUCCUAUCAGCGUUUGGAUGAUCACACAACAUCCAAUUAAAAAAGGGGCUCGCACCCGGCCCAACAAUAAUUUCACAUGGAAGAUCACAUUGCAACCAUGCCGACCAGACCAUGGAGAUCACACAUCAACCAUGUCCUUUCCUGAUAGUCCGUUGCCACCCCGGCCUCCUAGUAACAAUUAUAUUUCUACCCAACGGGGUGUGAGAUCAAGUCUACCCAUAUAGACAUGUGGUUGUACGCAUAUCACACUAGGUGAGAUUGCCUAUGAACCGGUCCUUACAUGACCGAAACGAGCAUCUCCAACAGGAACCCUCUCUAGGCGAUCCUGCCAAGGUAAAUCAUACCACAUGAUUUACCCCCGCUCGUUCCCGUCUAACAUGUUCGAGUUCACCAAAUUUAUGUUGCAUAUUUAUAUAGUUCAGUUCACAACUUGUCCAUAUUAGAAGUUCAUAGAAUAUCAUAUAGUUCCCAUCAUAACAUGCAGGUCAUUCCAUUUUACGAAUAUUCAACGGUUCGUAACUGUAACAUCCCUGAUGUUACGGUUACUAAAAUUCGGAUCAUGGCAUCAUCAGCAUUGCACAGCAUAGUUGUUAAGCACACCUUGAUGCAUCAACUUAAAAUGAGUUUAAUUUGGUUGAAUGUUCUUAGGGAAUUAAAGUGUGUUUAUCUUGUUUAUUGAUGCUUGAGUUGGUUGCUAAAACCCUAGGGUGAAAGGUUUCCGAAAGGCUUAGGGAGGAAAACCCUAAUUUUUGAACCCUAGAAUUGCCCCCUUUUGCACAAUUCAAAAACUAAGCAAAAUUUGAGGUUGCGUUCAAAAGCAAAGUUGUAGAUCUUGUCAAGAUGUACAACUUUGGUGUUUUGAGUUUUUGAAGUUUCAAUAUAAAAUUCAAAGUAAUUUUGAAAAUAAAGAUUUCCAGAAAGUGUCCCCUUUUCUAAUUUGAAUCUCCAAUUCAAAAUCUGUUUGGAAUUUUGAAAAGUGACUAACAUAAAAGUUGUAGAGCUCAAAAAGUUGAACAACAUUCAUGUUGGGAGUUUUUCAUGUUGUUUAGGAAAAACAAAAGUAAUUUUGGAAACUCUGAUCUGCCCCAAUUAAAAAAUUUGGAUUUCCCCAAAUUGGAUUUUGAAUUUCAAACUGUUUGGUCAAAAAUCACCAUGUUCCACUCAAAAUUGGCUUUGGUCACCAAAACAUGUUUUGUAGCUCACAAAAUUUUGCACAACUUUUGUUUUGGUGGCACUUUGACUUUAGUUCAAAUUUUGGCCAAAUUUUACAAAAGGCAGAGAAGGGGGGGAUAAGGGUCGGCUACAGUGAUCCGAUAUGGAUCACGGCGCCCCUGUCCAGCGCGGCCGCCGCGCGCGCAGCACCGCGUAUGCGCGUGCAGGCACGCAGCUGCUUGCUUGCCUGCGUCGCCAGGCGACGUGGACGCCCCGGGCUCGCUUCCUCCUCCCUUUGAGCACCAGCGUGGACGACGCCGCUCGAUUUCGCUGUCCACGGCCGAAGAAACCCGACGCCUCCCUCUCUCAAAUUCACCGUACUAGGUCCCCCUCGAGCCAAAUUAAGCAGUCCACUAUGUUCGCCACCUCCUUGCGAAUCCAGUGCACCCCCGAGCUCACUCCCUAACCCCCUCAAACGCCAGAGAUUCUCCCUCUUCUCCAUCUCCGGCGGCAUCGCCGCCGUGGAACCCUUCACGUGGACACGCUGCUCCAGUCGGUACCACGCCUUGCCAGCGGUCGUUUCAAGCUCUUCUCGUUUCCACGAUGCUCAUGCGCUCGCUCUUUCUCCCUGGACGUGAACAGGACCACCGGAACGACCUCGCCGGAGCCGGAGCACCCGCCCGACCGGACGACCACCGUCGCCAAGCCCUUCUACUGCUUCUCCCGCCGUGGUGAUGUGAGCACCAUGAUCCCCACUUCUUCCCAACCUCCCGGACCUGCUGGUUCACGCUCUACCGAGCCCUCGUGCCCGGUCUUCGGGCGACCGAUGCGGCCGUCCGCCAUUUGUGCGGCUGAGGUAGAAAGAGAGCGGUAGAGCGUCCGCGAGUAGUAGCUAUGGAGUCACAAGGUUGACGCGAAGCUGAUCCGCACCCUGGCGCGGGCUCAACCCUCGCCAGUGGUGGCCGGGGCCAUGGCAGUGCCGCCGUGCGUGAGGAAGGAGGCGCAGACGGGUGGGGCAUCCCCGUCAGUGACCCGCAGAAGGAGGAAGGGGGGGUCUGACGAGCGGGACCCGCCCGUCAGUGACCCACAGAGAGAGGAGGGGGUGAGCGCGCAGCGCCCGCAUGGGCCGGUCUGCGGGCCUUUUGGCUGGGCCUCGCCCAGUUCCAGUUUGUUUUUCUUUUUUUCCUUUUGUUUAAAAAUGCGUAAUGUUUGAAUUUGAAUAGAAAAUCUUGUGUAUAAAAAUUGCCUCUUUUAUUUAAUGAAUAAAAUUUCUCUGAAUUUUAAUAAUUUAUUUGCAUAUCCAGAAAUCACCAAAAUUUGUGGGGAGUCUCUGAAUAUUAUUCCCUGGCUCCACACAAAAUUUGAUGGCAUUUGGAUAAUGUUUGAAUAAAAUAUUAAUAAACCCUUACUUAGUAAUUAAAUAAUAUUUCUAGAAUAAUUAGAUAAUAAUUAGUUAAAUCCUCAUGAUUAGAGUUGUGUGAUUUUGGGAUUAUGUGAUGACAUGAGGUCAUUAACCCUAAUGACCUUUGGCAUUUAAUAUUGUUUUGCCUUAAUGCUUAAUUUUUGUCAUUAAUUUUUAAUUAAGAAUUAAUUAAGGUAAAAAGGAUUAAUAAUUAGUUAAUUAAGGAUAAUUAGAAAUUAAGAGGAAUCUUAAUUUACAGAUGCAACCUCUUGGGUAAAAACACUAAAAUGUUAAACAACUUUAUUUAUUGUUUAGUCUAUGUUGCACCGAGAAGGCAAGUUGUACUCGACUUGGUCCUUCUUGCAUAUUUGUCAUACACAUAUCAUGAGCAUUUAUCAUUUUGCGUAUAGUGCACGUGACCGAAGGAGCGACCGUUGAGCCGAACCCCGAGGUCGGUGCUCCGUUCGAGGAAGUAGGAUCCGAGACUUGGGAAGUCUCCGAGGGUCCCUCUCUACCCUGCAACCAAGGCAAGCCCCGGAUGCAUUAACCCCUCCUUGAAUAUUUUAAAUCUUUUAUCACUUAUGAAUUGAAAAUGCUGCAUUAGGUAGUUGAGAAUUGGGUUAACCUACUUGCUGCAUUUACUGCCUUGAUAUCUGUUAUGCUGUCCUUGACACCUGUUUUAUUUUAAAAUUGCGUAGUGAUGCUUAGCCCUGCUACUAGAUAGGUUUUCAAACAAGAAAGUUUGAAGGGUUGUUGUGGAAUACUAUUAUGGUCAAUGAUGUUUCAAGUUGAGACCGGUCGGUGGACUUGCUUUAAGAAUGGAGUCUUAAAGUAGUGUCUCCAACUGUGUCGGUUAAGGACCGGUCCGUUGAUGGCCCGCUGGGUUGAGAAUUUAUAGUACUAGCCACUUGCCCUCGGUAAGCCCAGUCUUGUGAUCCCUCGAUGCGAACAGCUACUCGCGCACUGGGCGUGGAAAGUUUGAUGAUGAUCUGGGUUAGUUAUAAAUGAUAAUCUUGAGUUAAAACUUGAAAGUAGGUUUUACUCUUAGUAAGCUUUUAUGCAAAAGAAAUGCUUUGAUCUUGCUAAAGCUUUGCCUUGAAUCCCUAUAGCCUGCAUGCCUGAGUCUUCACCUCUUUAUAGUCGGUUAAGUCUUGUUGAGUACUUUUGUACUCAGGGUUUAUUAACCCAUGUUGCAGGUGAGCCUUUCGAUAAUCCCUUUGAUGGUCAUGGUUACUUUACUCUUGUGGAGGAGAGUGAUGAUGAUGAACCUGAUGUGUGACCUUGGGCAAGUAAAAACUUGUUGUGUGAUCUAUGGUUUAUGUAAUAUAAAGUUCCGAAGCUUUUAUGUAUCAAAUACUUAUGGUUUGUAAACUAUGAACUUAAGUUUCAAUCUAUGUUAUGUAACCUUUCCGCUUUUACUCUGAUUUCUCUUAUCUAUGAAAUGUUGUAAUACUGUGAUGCUUGAUGAGGGAAUUCCUGAAAAGAAUGUAAUGUGGAUGAUUCGGGUUUCCGAGGACACCCGACAGACUUCUUGAGUCAUUUGGAACUCGUGCACGUCGAUCAGAAGUCUUUAGGACAAUGAUGUGUGCAUGUGGGCCACUUAAUUCAGAUGGCGAGAGUAGUGUGUACCCACCUUACGGAUCUGAGAUGACCGGGAAACAUCUAGGUCGGCUGUAGGAUGGUGGAGUACUAUGCUCUUCGGUGCCGCGAACCUGGUCAAAUUUGGGGAGAGCCGGAUUUGGGUUGACAUAUGCAAGAUUUGGUUCUACAUAUGUCGGGUGGUUAGGAACUCCAGCUGGAUUGCUAAGCGGUUCGAAUCGUCGUUGCUCCCCGAUUGGGAGACUCAAUCCACUGACCCUCAUCGUAGCUAAAUAUGCAACUAAGUGAUAAAAUGAGAAAAGGGAAAAUGUCUCAUGAGGUUCGGAUCCCAAUUCCCGGACUCAGAGUGACAUGAAGCUAUGGCCGUUGGAUAGAUAAUACUUUGGAUAAGGACUAGGAGCUCACAGACUUGUCUGUGAGAGGCAACUAGGUAGACUGUCCUCGAACUCCUCGACCUCUUAAGGAGAGGAAUUCGCGGGUAAAACUUGAAAGUAAGGAUGCACUAUUAGUAAGCUUUUUAGCAAAACACUUUGGCUCCUUGCUCAGCCACUCCUUGUUUACCCUAAGCCUGCAUUCCUACUUUCUCCUCUUUUUCCACCGGGUAAGUCUUGUUGAGUACUCCCGUACUCAGGGUUUUACAACCCCUAUUGCAGGUGAAGCUCAAGAGCCGACCUGUUUUGGUCCCUGUUGUGUGACCGCCGUCGAGGUUGACGACGAGGAAGAGUGAGCGUGACCCAUGGGCAGGGUCUGUAAAUUUGUACUCUAUGUUCUAAAGUUUAAGUUGCUUCGCUGGUCCAGGCUUGUAAUAACACUCUACUAUUUGGACGAACUCCUUUUGUAAAUUAAGUUAGGUAAUACUUCCGCUGUUUUACUCUGAAACAUUACUUUGGUUUUAUGUCGUCUGUGAUACUGCAAUGUCUUCGCAACGAGUGGUCCUGGUGUUAAGGUGGCCAGUUGCUAUCCUGUAAGGGCGAGAAGAAGAAAUUCUCGUUAAUUGACCAUCACCAGUGGUCAGGACGAGCUUGCUUGAUACGCCACAGGUAGCGGUGGAAUGAGCGUCUAGCGAUGCUCAUCGGACUUCUAAAGUGGGAGGAUCCCCGACAUCAUUGUCAGAGGUCCUUGGGACAAUGACGGGUGUCGGUGGGCCCAAACACUUAGGAGGUUCCGCCACAGCUGGUAUCAGAGCAUUCGUUGCUAAGAUGGUUGCUGUAUCCUUUGAAAAACUUCAAAACUCAUUUGGAUCCAAUACUAUAAACUUGCCUACUUUGAGUCCAAGUGCUGUAGUCCUAACUUACCCCUAUCUGUAGGCUUCCUUAGAAUUUUUGAAGUGGUAUGGAGGAGCAACAUAAAGUCUUGCCCUAUGUUGUAAAGGUUUUUAAGUAAUAUUGUUACGAUUUGCUAGUAGGAAUCGUAAGUUCAUGCAUGCAUCAUGAUAUAUUACUUGGUUAAAAUUUCCUUCCUCCUUGUUUGGGUUGGGUUGUAUAGAAUCAAUCCCAUUCUUGCUAACCUUUAAGGUCUCCUUUACUAAUCUAAACUUACCCUCUACAGGAUGCCUCGUUGGAAGCAGACCCCGCGCAAGAAGACAGGUCCAAAAGGGGUCCCUAGACAUCAGUUGGCCCCGCGAAGCGAACAAGCAAGCAGUAGCCGUUCACCGCCUCAGCAGGAGGAGGGCAAGUUGUCCGCCGAGCUGACCGAAGUGAUGAGAGAAAGGAUGUACAACGUCAUGGAGAUCGGCGAACUUAAAGCUCAACUAACCAAAGAAAAACAAGCCACAGAGAACUGUGAGGCCAUGCUGUCCCGUAUGGUGGAGGAGAGGAAUGCUGCUAUUGCCCAAGAAGAGGAAUCCAGGAGUGCACACAGGCACGAGCUGACUAGGAUGAAGGCAAAGCUGGACAAGACCAAGUACCUUAAAGAUCUGUAUGUGAAGAUGGCGGCCACUGUCACCGCGCAGAGGGAUGUCGCGUGGCAGCGGGAGGACCAGCUCCAGUUGGAGAGGCUGGAGCUGGCACACCAUUUAGACACCGUCAACGAUCUGGUAAUGCAAUACCGUGAUAUUGCAUUUGAUCUAUAUCAUCAGCUCCACCCACCUCCAGGCGAAGGAGAGAUGGACACGGAUGGAGAGUUGGCGGACGAUGGGGAACCUGACCAAGACCUCAGUGGCGGGGAGGAAUCUGACUCCGGUAAUGACAACCCGGGGGGUGAUCAUGAUGAUGGCAAUGACGACCCAGGUUACAGCUCUGGCCACACCGACUAGUUCGGUGAAGCCGCGAACAGCAUCGUUGUAGGAUUCCUAGUUGACCGUAGUGGGGUCGGGUUUGUAAUCUAGAGCUUCCUUUCAGUUUAAGAAGUAGUACUCGUUUGUUUCCAGUAUGUUGAACUGAUGUGUAAUAAAUAAAUGGAAGUAUGUAAGAUAUGUUCUAAGUUAUGAAUUUCGUGUGGUAACAAGUAAAUAUAACUCUUGUAGCAGAUGCCGAUGCGUACGCGAGGAUAUGAUGGAGCCGGGACAUCUCAGGGAGGGGAUGAUAUCCCCAACCCUCCACCUACCCCACCUUCUUUGGCUGAUGCCAUUGCUGUUCUCUUGAGUGCCACUACCGACAACGCUCGCUUGUUGCGCGAGCUUGCACAACGUCAACCACACCCCACCCCAAACUUCAGGGCACUGCACAAUGGGGACGGAGAAGCUCGGUACGUGGACUUUACCGAGACAAGACCCCCGGUAUUCACCAAGGCUGAUGAGCCUCUAGAAGCUGAUGAUUGGCUCCGAACCAUGGAGCACAAGUUCAGUUUGAUUCAGUGUUCAGAAACUCAGAAGCCCCUGUUCGCAGCUCAGCAGCUUCGAGGAGCUGCGGGUGCCUGGUGGGAGAAUUUUCUAGCCAUCCAAGCUCCAGGGCACCAGGUCACCUGGACAGAGUUUAAGGACGCGUUCCGCGCCCAUUACAUCCCUGAAGGGCUCAUGGCCAUGAAGGCCAAAGAGUUUCUCGCCUUGCAGCAAGGCGAUAAAAAUGUCAUGGAAUACGUGGCAAAAUUUAAUCACCUCUCUCAGUACGCCACGGACCAUGUGAACACGGACAGAAAGAAGAAAGCUUGUUUCAUGCGUGGUCUAAAUACUAAACUUCAGACCAUGAUGACCACCUGUCAAAAUGUUACCUUCUAUGAGGCGGUAAAUAUUGCCAUCGCCUCAGAAGAAAAGAAUAGAAAGCACAAAGAAGCCAAGAAGAAGGCUGCUUCUUCCUCCUUCUCUGGUCGCGGUCAAAAGCGCCAGAGAAUCAUUUAUCAUCCGCAGGGCUACGGAUGCUUUCCAGCGCCGUUACCUUAUCGUGGUCCUUUUUCCCCACCACAAUAUAGACCAGGGCAGCAGGUAUAGCCUCGACCUACUGCCAUCGCUACUACACCACGCCAGCCGAACGCCCCAGGUGUUCGCCCCACUGCUCCGCCCAACCACAAUUACCCAUGUUUCAAUUGUGGUAAGCCUGGGCAUUUUUCCAAGGAGUGCCCCUACCCCCGCCAAACCAACCCCACCUUCCAAAGGCCACCUAUGGGCCAACCCCAGCAGAGCCAAUUCAGGACUGGGGUUCAGAAAGGACAAAAUAUGCAAAAGGGAAAACCAGCGAAGAAAGUGGGACAAGUUUUCCAUAGGAGGUGGAGACAAUCCCGGAGGGUGAAACAGUAAUGAUGGGUACGUUUCCUGUCGCGAAACAUCCUGCUUUAAUGCUUUUCGAUUCUGGUGCAUCUCAUACAUUCAUCAAUCGCACCUUUGUGUUAAAGCAUGGCAUACCCAUUGGGGAAACACAAGAUCACUUUUAUAUUCAGUCGCCAGGAGGACGGCUGAGUUCUAAAGAGAUGGUUCACCAGAUACCUAUUGAAUUUGGUGGGCAUAGUUUUCCCACUAGCAUGAUUGUUCUUAAAGACCAGGAGAUUGAUGUUAUACUAGGCAUGAACUGGAUGGCACAACGAGGGGUUGUGCUAGACACUUUGCAUCGAACCAUUAAAAUACCAUUGCCCAAUGAGAAUUCUUAUCUGCUAAUUCAAUUAGUUACUCCUAAGCGGGCAAUUGGGCAAGUUCAUGCCACUAAUGUGUCUGCAGUUCAAGAUAUCCCGGUAGUUCGGGAUUUUCCAGAUGUAUUCCCUGAAGACCUACCAGGUCUACCACCGGACUGGGAUGUCCAGUUCAGUAUAGAAUUGAAACCGGGGACAGCCCCAAUAUCUCGAAGGGCCUACAGAAUGGCACCGAAAGAGCUGGCCGAAUUAAAAACCCAACUACAAGAGCUGUUGCAGAAAGGUUUUAUUCAGCCCAGUUCUUCUCCAUCGGGUUGCCCAGCCUUGUUUGUGAAAAAGAAAGAUCAAACAUUAAGGCUGUGUGUCGAUUAUCGUCUCCUGAAUGAGGUGACGAUUAAGAACAAGUACCCAUUGCCCCGUAUUGACUUACUGUUUGACCAGUUAGCCGGGGCCAAAGUGUUCUCAAAAAUUGAUUUGAGAUCAGGGUACCACCAAAUUAAAAUUAGGCCGGAAGAUAUACCUAAAACAGCUUUUACAACCCGUUACGGGCUGUAUGAAUACUUGGUAAUGUCUUUUGGGUUGACCAAUGCACCGGCCCAUUUCAUGUACUUGAUGAACUCUGUCUUCAUGCCAGAACUAGACAAAUUUGUGGUCGUCUUUAUUGAUGACAUCUUGAUCUAUUCCAAGACUAAGAAAGAACAUGCUGAACAUCUGAGAAUUGUACUGACCCGCCUCAGGGAGCAUCAGUUAUAUGCCAAGUUCAGCAAAUGUGAAUUCUGGCUGGACAAAGUUCAUUUCCUGGGUCAUGUGUUAUCAGCGGAGGGAGUCGCUAUAGACCCAGGUAAAGUAGAAGAUGUGUUGAAUUGGAAGCCUCCAACUACGGUACAUGAGGUCCGUAGUUUUCUGGGUAUGGCGGGAUAUUACCGUCGUUUUAUCCCGGACUUUUCAAGAGUCGCCAAACCAAUCACAACCUUGCUCAAGAAUCAAACAAAAUUUGUUUGGUCACCCCAAUGUGAGCAAGCCUUCCAGACUCUAAAAAGAUUAUUGAAAACUGCACCUGUCUUAGCCCAGCCAGAUAUUGAAAAGCCCUUUGAUGUGUAUUGUGACGCAUCAGAGAUAGGGAUAGGCUGUGUGCUAAUGCAGGAGGGUCGCGUAAUUGCAUAUGCUUCCAGACAGCUUAAACCACAUGAAGAGAAUUACCCGACCCAUGAUCUUGAACUAGCCGCCGUAGUACAUGCAUUAAAGAUCUGGCGCCAUUAUCUGUUGGGAAAUACUUGCCAUCUAUACACGGAUCACAAAAGCUUGAAGUACAUCUUUACUCAAGCUGAACUUAACAUGCGCCAGCGAAGGUGGCUAGAAUUAAUCAAAGAUUACGACCUUGAGGUGCAUUAUCAUCCUGGCAAGGCGAAUGUAGUAGCUGAUGCCCUCAGUCGUAAGGCUCACUGUAAUUGCUUAACAGUGACGCCUAGAGAUAUAACUUUGUGCCAAGAGCUAGAGAACUUGGGGAUAGAAAUGAUUUCCCAAGGAAGCCUUGCCAAUCUAACGGUUGAUUUCAAUCUCGAAGCUCAAAUUAUAGAGGCACAAAGGGAAGACAAGGGUAUGAAAUAUCUUAAAGAGAAAAUUUCUAAUAGAGCACCCACAGACUUUAAGGUGGAUGAUGCAGGAGUAAUCUGGUUCAAGAACCGAUUAGUGGUUCCAAAGGUACCUGAGCUACGUCAGCAAAUCCUAGAUGAAGCUCAUACCACGAGGUAUUCUAUUCAUCCGGGAAGCAAUAAGAUGUAUCAGGACCUAAAGCAAAGGUUUUGGUGGACAAAAAUGAAGAUAGAAAUAGCCCGCUAUGUGGCCCAAUGCGACACCUGUCGAAAGGUCAAAGCUAUUCAUCUCAAAACCGCUAGAGAGUUGCAACCUUUGCCUAUUCCAGCAUGGAAAUGGGAUGACAUAAGUAUGGAUUUCAUAGUAGGAUUGCCAAAGACAGCUAAAGGCUUUGAUUCCAUUUGGGUCAUAGUGGAUCGUCUCACCAAAACAGCACACUUCUUACCUGUAAAGACAUCGUAUCAUACUUCCACCUAUGCUCAGAUCUAUUUUGAUCGUAUACUAAGUCUGCAUGGGGUGCCAAAGACAAUAGUGUCAGAUAGAGGCACACAAUUUGUCUCCCAGUUCUAGAAAUGCUUACAUAAAUCCUUGGGCACCAAACUUUUAUACAGCACAGCCUACCACCCUCAAACAGGUGGGCAAACUGAAAGGGUGAAUCAAACCCUAGAAGAUCUAUUAAGAUCUUGUGCCCUGAAUUUUCCAGAUAAGUGGGAUGACUGCUUGCCUCUAGCAGAAUUUUCUUACAACAAUAGCUACCAAGAGAGUAUCAAGAUGGCUCCCUUUGAGGCACUAUAUGGCCGUCGAUGUCGAACUCCAUUACACUGGUCGGAGCUCGGAGAAAGAUGGUUCUUCGGGGUUGACUUAGUGAAAGAGACUGAGAACAGAGUUAGACAAAUCCAAAAUAACAUAAGAGUUGCUCAGUCCCGACAGAAAAGCUAUGCCGAUAAAAGACGUCGACCAUUAAGGUUCGCCAAAGGUGAUCAUGUAUAUUUGAAAGUGUCCCCAAUGAAAGGAGUAAAUCGUUUUGGUGUUAAAGGCAAGUUAGUGCCCCGUUACAUUGGUCCAUUUCCAAUCAUUGACCGAUGUGGACAGGUAGCUCACCGCCUUAAACUGCCCGAACGAUUAUCCGGGAUACACAAUGUAUUUCAUGUGUCUCAAUUGAAAAAGUGUCUUCGAGUACCGGACCAAAUCCAAGAUAUUGAAGAUGUGGAACUUGAACCGGAUUUAACUUAUUCGGAGUAUCCUAUCCGAGUAUUGGACCAAAGAGAUAGAGUUACUCGAAGAACAACUACCAAGUGGUAUAAGAUACAGUGGAGCCAACACUCUGAAGAGGAAGCCACCUGGGAAUCUGAAGAUUAUCUGCUGGAGAAUUUUCCUGAGUUUCACGCUUCUCUUCAAGACAACAUCUGAUAAAUAGGGAGUGUACUCUAGUGAAGGAAAAGAGUAACCAAAGCCAUGUACUUUGUGUACAUAUAUGUUUAUAUUUGAGUAAUCUUCCCCAACCUCUUGCUUUAUGAGAAAGUUGAAGAUGAAAGAAUUUUGACAAAUUUCCUUUUCCAUUACUUACCCUAAGGCUUUAAAUCUCGGGGACGAGAUUUCUUUAAGGGGGAAGGGCUGUAACAUCCCUGAUGUUACGGUUACUAAAAUUCGGAUCAUGGCAUCAUCAGCAUUGCACAACAUAGUUGUUAAGCACACCUUGAUGCAUCAACUUAAAAUGAGUUUAAUUUGGUUGAAUGUGCUUAGGGAAUUAAAGUGUGUUUAUCUUGUUUAUUGAUGCUUGAGUUGGUUGCUAAAACCCUAGGGUGAAAGGUUUCCGAAAGGCUUAGGGGGGAAAACCCUAAUUUUUGAACCCUAGAAUUGCCCCCUUUUGCACAAUUCAAAAACUAAGCAAAAAUUUGAGGUUGAGUUCAAAAGCAAAGUUGUAGAUCUUGUCAAGAUGUACAACUUUGGUGUUUUGAGUGUUUGAAGUUUCAAUAUAAAAUUCAAAGUAUUUUUAAAAAUACAGAUUUCCAGAAAGUGUCCCCUUUUCUAAUUUGAAUCUCCAAUUCAAAAUCUGUUUGGAAUUUUGAAAAGUGACUAACAUAAAAGUUGUAGAGCUCAAAAAGUUGAACAACUUUAAUGUUGGGAGUUUUUCAAGUUGUUUAGGAAAAACAAAAGUAAUUUUGGAAACUCUGAUCUGCCCCAAUUAAAAAAUUUGGAUUUCCCCAAAUUGGAUUUUGAAUUUCAAACUGUUUGGUCAAAAAUCACCAUGUUCCACUCAAAAUUGGCUUUGGUCACCAAAACAUGUUUUGUAGCUCACAAAAUUUUGCACAACUUUUGUUUUGGUGGCACUUUGACUUUAGUUCAAAUUUUGGCCAAAUUUUACAAAAGGCAGAGAAGGGGGGGAUAAGGGUCGGCUACAGUGAUCCGAUAUGGAUAACGGCGCCCCUGUCCAGCGCGGCCGCCGCGCGCGCAGCACCGCGUAUGCACGUGCAGGCACGCAGCUGCUUGCUUGCCUGCAUCGCCAGGCAACGUGGACGCCCCGGGCUCGCUUCCUCCUCCCUUUGAGCACCAGCGUGGACGACGCCGCUCGAUUUCGUUGUCCACGGCCGAAGAAACCCGACGCCUCCCUCUCUCAAAUUCACCGUACUCGGUCCCCCUCGAGCCAAAUUAAGCAGUCCACUACAUUCGCCACCUCCUUGCGAAUCCAGUGCACCCUCGAGCUCACUCCCUAACCCCCUCAAACGCCAGAGCUUCUCCCUCUUCUCCAUCUCCGGCCGGCAUCGCCGCCGUGGAACCCUUCACGUGGACACGCUGCUCCAGUCGGUACCACGCCUUGCCAGCGGUCGUUUCAAGCUCUUCUCGUUUCCACGAUGCUCAUGCGCUCGCUCUUUCUCCCUGGACGUGAACAGGACCACCGGAACGACCUCGCCGGAGCCGGAGCACCCGCCCGACCGCACGGCCACCGUCGCCAAGCCCUUCUACUGCUUCUCCCGCCGUGGUGAUGUGAGCACCAUGAUCCCCACUUCUUCCUGAACGUCCCGGACCUGCUGGUUCACGCUCUACCGAGCCCUCGUGCCCGGUCUUCGGGCGACCGAUGCGGUCGUCCGCCAUUUGUGCGGGUGAGGUAGAAAGAGAGCGGUAGAGCGUCCGCGAGUAGUAGCUAUGGAGUCGCAAGGUUGACGCGGAGCUGAUGCGCACCCUGGCGCGGGCUCAACCCUCGCCAGCGGUGGCCGGGGCCAUGGCAGUGCCGCCGCGCGUGAGGAAGGAGGCGCUGACGGGUGGGGCAUCCCCGUCAGUGACCCGCAGAAGGAGGAAGGGGGGGUCUGACGAGCGGGACCCGCCCGUCAGUGACCCACAGAGAGAGGAGGGGGCGCGCGCGCAGCGCCCGCAUGGGCCGGCCUGCGGGCCUUUUGGCUGGGCCUCGCCCAGUUCCAGUUUGUUUUUCUUUUUUUUCCUUUUGUUUAAAAAUGCUUAAUGUUUGAAUUUGAAUAGAAAAUCUUGUGCUGAUUCAAAAAUCAUGAAAAUUUUUGUAUGGGUUCCAUAAAAUGAGUAGAACACAAGAAAAAUAAUAGGUUCUCUUUUCUGAUGGUUUACAUGUGUAUAAAAAUUGCCUCUUUUAUUUAAUGAAUAAAACUUCUCUGAAUUUUAAUAAUUUAUUUGCAUAUCCAAAAAUCACCAAAAUUUGUGGGGAGUCUCUGAAUAUUAUUCCCUGGCUCCACAAAAUUUGAUGGCAUUUGGAUAAUGUUUGAAUAAAAUAUUAAUAAACCCUUACUUAGUAAUUAAAUAAUAUUUCUAGAAUAAUUAGAUAAUAAUUAGUUAAAUCCUCAUGAUUAGAGUCGAGUGAUUUUUGGAUUAUGUGAUGACCUGAGGUCAUUAACCCUAAUGACCUUUGGCAUUUAAUAUUGUUUUGCCUUAAUGCUUAAUUUUUGUCAUUAAUAUUUAAUUAAGAAUUAAUUAAGGUAAAAAGGAUUAAUAAUUAGUUAAUUAAGGAUAAUUAGAAAUUAAGAGGAAUCUUAAUUUACAGAUGCAACCUCUUGGGUAAAAACACUAAAAUGUUAAACAACUUUAUUUAUUGUUUAGUCUAUGUUGCACCGAGAAGGCAAGUUGUACUCGACUUGGUCCUUCUUGCAUAUGUGUCAUACACAUAUCAUGAGCAUUCAUCAUUUUGCGUAUAGUGCACGUGACCGAAGGAGCGACCGUUGAGCCGAACCCCGAGGUCGGUGCUCCGUUCGAGGAAGUAGGAUCCGAGACUUGGGAAGUCUCCGAGGGUCCCUCUCUACCCUGCAACCAAGGCAAGCCCCGGAUGCAUUAACCCCUCCUUGAAUAUUUUAAAUCUUUUAUCACUUAUGAAUUGAAAAUGCUGCAUUAGGUAGUUGAGAAUUGGGUUAACCUACUUGCUGCAUUUACUGCCUUGAUAUCUGUUAUCCUAUCCUUGAUACCUAUUUUAUUUUAAAAUUGCGUAGCGAUGCUUAGCCCUGCUACUAGAUAGGUUUUCAAACAAGAAAGUUUGAAGGGUUGUUGUGGAAUACUAUUAUGGUCAAUGAUGUUUCAACUUGAGACCGGUCGGUGGACUUGCUUUAAGAAUGGAGUCUUAAAGUAGUGUCUCCAACUGUGUCGGUUAAGGACCGGUCCGUUGAUGGCCCGCUGGGUUGAGAUUUAAAGUAGUGUGUACCCACCUUACGGAUCUGAGAUGACCGGGAAACAUCUAGGUCGGCUGUAGGAUGGUGGAGUACUAUGCUCUCGGGUGCCGCGAACCUUGUCAAAUUUGGGGAGAGCCGGAUUUGGGUUGACAUAUGCAAGAUUUGGUUCUACAUAUGUCGGGUGGUUAGGAACUCCAGCUGGAUUGCUAAGCGGUUCGAAUCGUCGUUGCUCCCCGAUUGGGAGACUCAAUCCACUGACCCUCAUCGUAGCUAAAUAUGCAACUAAGUGAUAAAAUAAGAAAAGGGAAAAUGUCUCAUGAGGUUCGGAUCCCAAUUCCCGGACUUAGAGUGACAUGAAGCUAUGGCUGUUGGAUAGAUAAUACUUUGGAUAAGGACUAGGAGCUCACAGACUUGUCUGUGAGAGGCAACUAGGUAGACUGUCCUCGAACUCCUCGACCUCUUAAGCAGAGGAAUUCGCGGGUAAAAGUUGAAAGUAAGGAUGCACUAUUAGUAAGCUUUUUAGCAAAACACUUUGGCUCCUUGCUCAGCCACUCCUUGUUUACCCUAAGCCUGCAUUCCUACUUUCUCCUCUUUUUCCACCGGGUAAGUCUUGUUGAGUACUCCCGUACUCAGGGUUUUACAACCCCUGUUGCAGGUGAAGCUCAGGAGCCGACCUGUUUCGGUCCCUGUUGUGUGACCGUCGUCGAGGUUGACAACGAGGAAGAGUGAGCGUGACCCAUGGGCAGGGUCUGUAAAUUUGUACUCUGUGUUCUAAAGUUUAAGUUGCUCCGCUGGACCAGGCUUGUAAUAACACUCUACAAUUUGGACGAACUCCUUUUGUAAAUUAAGUUAGGUAAUACUUCCGCUGUUUUACUCUGAAACAUUACUUUGGUUUUAUGUCGUCUGUGAUACUGCAAUGUCUUCGCAACGAGUGGUCCUGGUGUUAAGGUGGCCACUUGCUAUCCUGUAAGGGCCAGAAGAAGAAAUUCUCGUUAAUUGAGCAUCACCAGUGGUCAGGACGAGCUUGCUUGAUACGCCAUAGGUAGCGGUGGAAUGAGCGUCUAGCGAUGCUCAUCGGACUUCUAAAGUGGGAGGAUCCCCGACAUCACUGUCACAGGUCCUUGGGACAAUGACGGGUGUCGUUGGGCCCAAACACUUAGGAGGUUCCGCCACAGCAACAUAACAUAGUAGCUCAUAAUAUUCAGUUUCAAAAGUAUACAUGUCUAUAUAUAUAGAAGGUGACACACAUUAUAUAAUUUAAGUUUAUUAGUCGUUUGAUGGAAAAAUGAGUGUUGACGGGUUUGUAGUGGAAAUGAUAAAAUAUGGUGGUGGCGGAAGGGGGAAGCUAGUACUUGCCUUUGUUGUACUCUCCUUCCGAUUCAACGUAGUCUGGGUCCUCGCCUUCCUGGUAUUCACUCUCCUCUGCUUCCCAAUCUGGCCGGAGUUGCGCUUCAGGGGAUGAACUGAGGCUCGGACUCCACAGCGGCGGCGGCGACACCCAGUUUUGGGCAAAAUGUGACGGUGCUGGAAAUGAGAUGGGAAUAGGGGAGGUGUGGGGAAGACGGCGUGUUCCAACUCAAUGCGAAGCUCGUAGUGAUGGUCGUGACGGCGGAGACUCACCGGUAGAGCCCUUUUAUAGGCCGGCGAGGUCGGUGGCGGCGGCAAGAUCUUUUCAGCUUGCCGGCCGAUAUUUUCUUCCUCGCGCACAUGGUCGAGCUCGAGGUUCUAGGUGCCGGGCUAGACUCUUCCCUGUCCUCUCGCCUCCGGCGAGGUCGGUGCUAGGUGAGGUCUCGUCAAUGGCGUCGGUGGGGUUUGCGUGCCAGCCUCUCUGAUGGUGUUGACGUGCUGUGAAGCACAGGGAAGAAGGAGAGGGGAUGAUGGAAUGGUUCGAGGCUGGUCAGCUGGUUCCUGUGUGCUGGUCCUCCUUGACAUUGGGACAGGGCCACGACAGGGCCGGUGAAUCGAGCGUGGAUGCGGAUUCACGCUGAAGAGGAUGAAGCUGACCACAGGGUCCCACUCGUCAGUGAGAAGUGAGGGAAAGGGGGAGAGCUGCCGCUGCGCCUUGCUGGGCCAGAAGGGAAUAGGAAAAAAAAGGCUUGAGUUCAUUUUUCUCAUUUAUAAGAAGGCCUUUUCCCUUUCCCUUUCUCCGAAAAACCACUAGAGAGAAAUUUUACUUUAAAUUCAAAAAAUAAUUUUCAAGGGAUAAUAUGUACCACCAUAGGUUCAUUGAGCAGAACACAACACAUGAUUUGUUCAACUUGGUGAAUUCUAUUCGUGUCAAAAAAAAUGCUACGCGGUUAAUUAUUUUUAUAGAGAAAAUUUAAAAGUUCAAAUUUUUAGUGACUUUUGAAACAUGGAAAAUUUUUAGGGUGUUACAGACCUACCCCCUUGAAAUGGAUCUCGUCCUCGAGAUUCGAACUAACCCUCAAAUAAGUAUGGAAAUUCUUUUUUAAGAUCGUCCUCUCUUUCCCAUGUAGCUUCUGCUUCAGUGUGGUUGCUCCACUGUACCCGACAAAAUCUUACUGUCGUCCUUCUUGUUUGUCGUGUGGCGAUAUCCAAAAUUUUGAUCGGCCUCUCUUGGUAUUGUAAGUCAGGCUGUAAAUCUAUUGCUUCUAUUGGUGCUUGCUCUUCUGGCACCCUUAAACAUCGUUUUAAUUGUGAUACGUGGAAUACAUUAUGUAUAUCUGACAUCUCUGGAGGCAAUUCUACGCGAUAAGCUACCGCUCCAAUCUUUUCUAUGAUCUUGUAUGGUCCAAUAUAUCGUGGUGCUAACUUUCCUCUCACUUGAAACCUUCGCGUUCCUCUAAUCGGGGAUACCUUUAAGUAGGCAAAAUUUUCUGGUUGAAAUUCCAACGGUCUUCUUCGUGUGUCUGCAUAGCUUUUCUGUCUGCUCUGUGCAGCCUUUAAAUUUUCUCGGACUUUGGCUACCUGUUCUUCAGCGCCUCUGAUCAUAUCGGGACCGAACAAGGUCCGCUCUCAAACCUCAGACCACAUCAGGGGGUUCGACACUUCCGUCCGUAUAACGCUUCAAAUGGAGCCAUUUUUAGACUUGCUUGGUAACUAUUAUUGUAAGAAAAAUCCGCGAAAGAUAGGCUCUUUUCCCAGUCUUUACCGUAGGUGAGUACGCAGGCUCGUAACAUGUCUUCUAAUAUUUGAUUUACUCGCUUAGUCUGCCCAUCGGUUUGCGGGUGACAUGCUGAGCUGUAGUCCAGAUGGGUACCCAAAGCAGUAUGCAAGCUUUUCCAAAAACGUGCUGUGAAUUGAGUACCCCGAUCUGACACAAUCUUGCUUGGUACUCCAUGUAGUCGAAGAAUAUUAUCGAUAUAUAAUUGUGCCAAUUUAUCCCCCCGGUAUUUGGCCUUUACCGGAAUAAAGUGAGCUACUUUAGUUAAUCUAUCCACUAUCACCCAUAUUGAAUCGUUUCCUUUUUGUGUUUUAGGCAGACCCACUAUAAAGUCCAUACUAAUCUCGUCCCAUUUCCACACCGGAAUAUUUAAUGGUUGCAGUAAUCCAGCUGGCCGUUGGUGUUCUGCUUUUACUCGUUGACAUAUAUCGCAGCGUGCCACAUAGUCUGCGAUAUCAACCUUCAUUCCAGUCCACCAAUAUUUUCGUUUGAGGUCCAUAUACAUUUUCGUUGAGCCUGGAUGAAUGGAGUACGCUGACUGAUGAGCUUCAUCCAAAAUUAGCUUCCUGAGCUUCUCAUCUUGAGGUACGCAUAUUCGAUUUUUAUACCAUAAUGUUCCCCGUUCAUCGACCUUAAAUCCUUCAAUUUCUUUUUCAGCACUUUUCUCAAAGGCGUUUUAUCUCGUCAUCCUGGGCUUGAAUUUCUUUUAUUUGGUUUUCUAAUGUUGGUUGUAGGUGUAUAGUAUUUACUGUGCCAUAUGGUACAAUUUGUAGGUUUAGUUGGCGAACUUCUUGUGCUAGUUCCAGUAUUUGAUUCAAGGUCGUGAGAUGAUGACAAUAAGAUUUCCGGCUCAAGGCGUCAGCAACUACGUUGGCCUUUCCCGGAUGAUAUUGUACGCUCAGGUCGUAAUCUUUAAUUAAUUCCAACCAUCUUCUCUGUCGUAAAUUUAAGUCUGGUUGGGUAAAAAUAUAUUUUAGACUUUUGUGAUCUGUAAAUAUUUCGCACUUAUUUCCAAUAAGAUAGUGUCUCCAUAUUUUUAGUGCAUGCACUACUGCUGCCAAUUCGAGAUCAUGUGUUGGAUAAUUUUCCUCAUGCUUCUUUAACUGUCUGGAGGCGUACGCGACAACUCGACCAUCCUGCAUUAGCACGCAUCCUAAACCUUGUCGGGAAGCGUCACAAUAUACUACAAAAUCUCUGUGAAUAUCUGGUAGCGUGAGUACAGGAGCUGUAGUUAACCUCUUCUUUAAUUCUUGAAAACUCCGCUCGCAAGCUUCCGUCCAUUUAAAUUCUUUUCCCUUUUGGGUUAAGGUUGUCAUAGGCCUAGCAAUUUUUGAGAAUCCCUCUAUAAACCUUCGGUAGUAACCGGCUAAUCCUAGAAAACUACGGAUUUCCGUCACAUUUGUGGGUUGCUUCCAUUCCGAUACUGCUUUUCUGGAUCUACUUUUACUCCAUCUACGGUAAUAAUAUGUCCCAAAAAUGCAACUUCCUGUAACCAAAACUCGCAUUUGCUAAAUUUGGCAUACAACUCAUGGGCUCUUAACUUGUUUAAUAUGACCCUCAGAUGUUGUUCAUGUUCGUCAGCACUCUUUGAGUAUAUAAGGAUGUCAUCAAUGAAUACUACUACAAACUUAUCUAGCUCUUCCAUGAAUACUUUAUUCAUUAAAUUCAUAAAGUAUGCAGGUGCAUUUGUUAAUCCAAACGGCAUCACAGUAAACUCAUAUUGUCCAUAGUGGGUUACAAAGGCCGUUUUUGGUAUGUCACUAAGUCGGAUUUUCAGCUGAUAAUAGCCUGACCUCAAAUCUAUUUUUGAAAAAUAUUUAGCACCUUUUACUUGAUCAAACAGAUCAUCGAUCCUAGGUAAUGGGUACUUAUUUUUAAUGGUGACCUCAUUUAGCGAUCGAUAAUCUAUGCACAUUCGAAGACUUCCAUCUUUCUUCUUUACAAACAGAACUGGUGAUCCCCAUGGCGAUGAGCUCGGUCGGAUAUAUCCUUUCUCCUGUAAUUCUCGUAAUUGUUUCUUUAAUUCCUCCAAUUCGUUGGCUACCAUUCGAUAUGGUCUCUUGGCUAUUGGAGCGGUUCCCGGCAUUAAAUCAAUAAUAAAUUCUAAAUCCCUAUCCGGUGGCAUUCCAGGCAGAUCUUCAGGGAAUACAUCGGGAUAUUCACAUACUACAGGCACUUCUUCCACAGUCUUAGCUUCUAUACUACAAACCAUCGGCUGAGAUUUUGGGGCUUGGGGGUAACAUUCUACUUUUAUCCCGUUGUGAUUUAUUAAAGUUACAGCCCUGUCUCUGCAAGCUAUAUUACCAUGGUGUUUUCUUAACCAAUCCAUUCCCAAUAUGACAUCUAGUCCCUCUGUUUUCAGUACUACUAAGUCCACUUGGAAUUCGAUUCCAUUAAUCAUUAUUUUUACUUGAGGACAUUUUAGAGAACAUUUGAGGAUAGCUCUAGGGGUGCGUAUCAAGAGAGGGGUGGGGAGUAACACCGUUCUUAAAUCAUUUUUAAGCACAAAACAAGUAGAGACAAACGAGUGCGAGGCUCGAGAAUCAAACAACACGCUUGCAGAAGCAGAGUUCAUGAGAAACUCACCGUACACUACAUCAGGUGCUGCCUGCACUUCUUCCGCACUUACGUGGUUGACUCGGCCUUGCCCGAACGUUUGGGUGUUCUUCCUCUGCUGUCCAGAGUUCUGAGGUCCAGUGCGUCCAACUCCUGAGGCUGCAGUUCGGUUACUUGCCGUGGAAGGUGCUGGAGCAGGGGCGGCUGCUUGAUUGGUGUAUGGGCAUUGUGCUACCCUAUGUCCGGGUUUUCGGCAUCUGAAGCAUACUUGGUCCGAGGAUGAGGUUGUAUUAUUGUUUCUGGGCUGAUUUCCGUUGUUGUAACUUCGGUAGGUGGAAGCUGUUUGCUGGGGGUUGGAUCCCGGGGAUCUGUACUGCAUGGUGGGUUGGUACCUUGUAGGUGGAACAUUGUUGGUCCUAAUCCUUUGCGUUCUUUCUUGCUGUCGAGCACGUUGCAGAUUGAAUUUGCGCUUCCUUUCCCCUUCACUUUUAGCACGUUCCUCUUCCAGCAGAAUGGCACGGUUCAUCAAGGUAUUGAAGUCAGGGUAGAUGUGAGUAAUUAGCUGUGUCCUCAGAGUGGAGUUAAGUCCUCUUCUGAAGCAUCUUUGUUUCUUUUUAUCAGUGUCGACGUCUUCCGGCGCAUAUCGAGAUAGCUUCAUGAACUUCCAGAUGUACUGAUUUGCGGUCAUUGCACCUUGCCUUAAGUAGCGAAAUUCUUCGGCUUUCAUUUCCAUCACACCUUCGGGAAUGUGGUAGUUGCGAAAUUCUUCUACAAACUCCUCCCAAGUGAUGGCUUCUGGGUCAUCAACGACAUCUUGGUAAUUUUCCCACCAUUCCCCUGCGGCUCCAACUAGCUGGUGCGUGGCUAAAGUGACUCUUUCCUCGUCGGUAGCUCGUACAGAGUUUAAUUUCUUGGUGAUAGUUCGCAGCUAGUCAUCUGGUACCAACGGAUCAUCUUCCGAACUAUCAAAAGUGGGUGGGUGAAGCCUCAUAAAUGCUGCCAUUUUUCCUUGCCCGUUUCCAUUUUCCUGUCUUCUUGCAAGGUUCUCUAAUAAUCGUGUUUGCCGAUCCAUUACUUCAGCUAAUGUCGGCGGAGGUGGUGGAGGUUCUUCUCCUUCGACUGGAUUAUUUGCAUCAUUCUGUUCAACUUCUUCAUCUUCUUCAUGUACUUCUUCUAUUAUUGGGAUAUUAUUCCCUUGUGAUUGCUCAUGCCCAUGCCUCUGGUUAUGCCGCCCAUGGUUUGGUUGUCUUCCACGAUUUUGUCGGCCCCUAGGUGGUGGUGCAACAUGUUCCUCUUCUUCCGGCUCCUGCCUUUCAGCUAGCCGUUCGCGGCGUUGCUGGAUCCGGGCGGACCUUCUUUCCAUCUGUUGCUUUUAAAUAGCAAGGAUGAGAAGAUGUCCCGUUGGCGUCCAAGCAGAGGGAAAUAUUUGGGCAAAAAAAAGAACAGGCACACAUGAUUUUUAUUUAUUUAUUUACUAAUUUAUUUAUUUAAUAAUAGCAUACAAGAGCACACCCUCACACAAUACAUACAUGCGUGAUACAUGGUCAAACCCACACACAGGUCUAUUAGUACGAUUGUUAUGCGAUCACACUUGUCAAGCAUGUACAAGCACCUAUUUUACAGCUACACGCUACGACUCUUAUUAUUUAUAUAUAAAUAUAUAUUUUACAUAUAUUUUUACUAUUACUAUUAUUAUUUUACAUGAACUGGAUCUCGUGAAGGUCUCGAUCCACAGCCUUGCCCUUAUCCUGAGCUAGCUGAUCGUCCCGCAGCGCAUAGAGAUAGCUUGCAUAUCCGUCAUUAACAUCCUGCCCGGACAGGACUUGUAAAGGUCCCAUAUUCGUGGCAUCCAUAGCCUUCAAGUUGUUAAAAUUGUCGGCAAUAGAUUCCUGAGUAUCAAUGCUUUUAGCAGGGUCAGAAGGUGACUCUCUUUGAAUGUACUCAUUUGGAUCAAGCUCGGGUUGUUCUGGAUCAUAUUCUGGAUUAACUGGUGCCUUUCCCUUAGUGUCUAUAGCUCUCAUUACCUCGUGAAACUCUCGGUAAUCCAGGAAUUUCUAUUCUACGAUUAGUGGGAAUGGCAAAAGUCCUCUUUUUUGUCAUCUUCCUUGAAGGGUUCUUGUAGCGUGUACGUUCCAGAGUUUCUUUCAGCUCUCGCCGGUAGAACUCCAUUUUGUCUGUUAUGAUUGCCAUUUGCUUAUGUGCUUCUUCUAGUUCCAGUUGUAGAGCUCGUACCUCGGCUUCGGUAUCCCUGGUCUUGGUGACCCAUCUCAUUAAUUCCCGAUGCUGAUCUUCGUAGAGUGCGUCGAGAGCAUGCAAGUACUUGACGGUGAAUGGCAUAAUAGCGUCUGGCAUCUGUCGUCCAAUAUUUUCCAAAGCCUGAAGCUUUUCACACCAUGUCGGGGUAGUCUGAUUUGGCACAGGGAAAAAUCUUGCAUGGGGUGUGUUCGAUGUCUUCCUCAAAUAUUUGGCAAUAGUCCAUGAGAGCUUGUCUUGCUGCCAUCUGACAAGUGUCUUCCAAUUCUUUUCCAACAGCUGGGAUGCAUCGAGACUUAAUUUUUGGGCAUAAUGGAUGUUGCGGAACAUGUAGGUGUACCUCACAUUUAGGCAUACCAUCCUCCUGGUACUCACGACCAUGGUACAUGGGAGGCUCAGUAUAGCCAAGGCGCUGGAGUGUCUCCCAAAGGAGCUGUGGGAAACCUUCAACGGUCACACAGUUCGAACGAACCCAAUCGUCCUCCAUUUGCUGCAAAAUUUCCUACACUAGUUAGAAAACUUUUUGCAAUACAAAUGAGCAACAAUAAUCCCCUUUUACUAUGAUUACGACGACUACUACUACUACCACUGUCCUUAUUACUUAGCGUGAUCCGGUCCUAGGGUUUCAUCCUACGGUCAACCUGGCUCUGAUACCACUCUGUCGGGCCCUCAAUUUGAGAGUCCAAGUGUACACGUAUUUGUGCUAGGAUCGAGCACAAAUACGCAUGAGAUAACAGAAUUGGCACUCAGAUUUAAUAUAAAAUACCGAGCUUUAUUGAUAUAUUAAAAAAAUAUAUGGUCUUACAAUAGUCAUGGUUCAGAUGGUAUAGCCAUAGGCAUUACAUAGCUAGCGAGAUUUUGCUGUCGUAAAGCAACAAUUUAUUACAACAGGAUGGUAGAUACUACAGCGGAUUCUAUAGCAUAGCGAUAAUCUAAACCACAGGCAAGCUUGAGCGCGGCCGAAACCCUAUGCCCUAGAGACUCCUAGCAUAUCCGUAGACCUUCAUGUGGCUCCUAGUCCUCGUGGUCCGCCUCCUCGUCGACGUUGUAGUCCUCCUCGGGGUUGAUAUCUGUGAGUCAUCAACAGGUGAGUACAUACAGUACUCAGCAAGCCCUAACCUUGGGGUACGGUGGAGUGGAUGGUGGAGAUGGUAAAGGAAUGGUGGUAUAGUACAAUUAAAUAAUGAUUGGGCCUUGGGAGAGAAUUACUCUUCUCGCCAGUUUCCAAGUUAGUUUCACAAAUAUUGAAAUAAUUAUGUUAGCACAGUCCCAUUUCACAUAAAAGAUAACUAAUCAUAAGAGACCACAUCCUAGUGGUUGCCCAUUCCAAGGACGUGGCUAUUCGAAUAGGUUUAUUACUCUCUGCAAAGGGUGUACACUUUCCCCACAUGAUAGGCACAAUCCCAACCAUGAUCAGUGGUAGAAUUAACCUAACGAGAUCCCGUUCCCGGUUAACGCGACCUUGGGUUUCCAUAUAAUUCUACUGCGGCCUAUUUAGGGGUCGGUAACCACAAAGCGUUUGGAUGGUCACAUGACAUCCUAUCAGCGUUUGGAUGAUCACACAGCAUCCAAUUAAAAAAGGGGCUCGCACCCGGACCAACAAUAAUUUCACAUGGAAGAUCACAUAGCAACCAUGCCGACCAGACCACGGAGAUCACACAGCAACCAUGUCCUUUCCUGAUAGUCCGUUGCCACCCCGGCCUCCUAGUAACAAUUAUAUUUCUACCCAACGGGGUGUGAGAUCAAGUCUACCCAUAUAGACAUGUGGUUGUACGCAUAUCAAACUAGGUGAGAUGGCCUAUGAACCGGUCCUUAUUACAUGACCGAAAUGAGCAUCUCCAACAGGAACCCUCUCUAGGCGAUCCUGCCAAGGUAAAUCAUACCACAUGAUUUACCCCCGCUCAUUCCCGUCUAACAUGUUCGAGUUCACCAAAUUUAUGUUGCAUAUUUAUAUAGUUCAGUUCAUAACUUGUCCAUAUUAGAAGUUCAUAGAAUAUCAUAUAGUUCCCAUCAUAACAUGCAGGUCGUUCCAUUUUACGAAUAUUCAACGGUUCGUAACAUAACAUAGUAGCUCAUAAUAUUCAGUUUCAAAAGUAUACAUGUCUAUAUAUAUAGAAGGUGACACACAUUAUAUAAUUUAAGUUUAUUAGUCGUUUGAUGGAAAAAUGAGUGUUGACGGGUUUGUAGUGGAAAUGAUAAAAUAUGGUGGUGGCGGAAGGGGGAAGCUAGUACUUGCCUUCGUUGUACUCUCCUUCCGAUUCAACGUAGUCUGGGUCCUCGCCUUCCUGGUAUUCACUCUCCUCUGCUUCCCAAUCUGGCCGGAGUUGCGCUUCAGGGGAUGAACUGAGGCUUGGACUCCACAGCGGCGGCGGCGACACCCAGUUUUGGGCAAAAUGUGACGGUGCUGGAAAUGAGAUGGGAAUAGGGGAGGUGUGGGGAAGACGGCGUGUUCCAACUCAAUGCGAAGCUCGUAGUGAUGGUCGUGACGGCGGAGACUCACCGGUAGAGCCCUUUUAUAGGCCGGCGAUGUCGGUGGCGGCGGCAAGAUCUUUUCAGCUUGCCGGCCGAUAUUUUCUUCCUCGCGCACAUGGUCGAGCUCGAGGUUCUAGGUGCCGGGCUAGACUCUUCCCUGUCCUCCCGCCUCCGGCGAGGUCGGUUCUAGGUGAGGUCUCGUCAAUGGCGUCGGUGGGGUUUGCGUGCCAGCCUCUCUGAUGGUGUUGACGUGCUGUGAAGCACAGGGAAGAAGGAGAGGGGAUGAUGUAAUGGUUCGAGGCUGGUCAGCUGGUUCCUGUGUGCUGGUCCUCCUUGACAUUGGGACAGGGCCACGACAGGGCCGGUGAAUCGAGCGUGGAUGCGGAUUCACGCUGAAGAGGAUGAAGCUGACCACAGGGUCCCACUCGUCAGUGAGAAGUGAGGGAAAGGGGGAGAGCUGCCACUGCGCCUUGCUGGGCCAGAAGGGAAUAAGAAAAAAAGGCUUGAGUUCGUUUUUCUCAUUUAUAAGAAGGCCUUUUCCCUUUCCCUUUCUCCGAAAAACCACUAGAGAGAAAUUUUACUUUAAAUUCAAAAAAUAAUUUUCAAGAGAUAAUAUGUACCACCAUAGGUUCAUUGAGCAGAACACAACACAUGAUUUGUUCAACUUGGUGAAUUCUAUUUGUGUCAAAAAAAAUGCUACGCGGUUAAUUAUUUUUAUAGAGAAAAUUUAAAAGUUCAAAUUUUUAGUGACUUUUGAAACAUGGAAAAUUUUUAGGGUGUUACACUAGCCGAUAGGACUGUUAUCGGCAUUUCUUAAAACAUCGUAUUCAGUUCCAGAUACAUUUUAAUCCAGCCGAUAGGAGUGUUAUCGGCACCUAAACUUUCUAUGCAUCGACCCAUAUGCUUGGGUAAUACUUCUUUAAAUAUUUUCCAUUCAAUGCUCUGGGAAAUUCAAAUCCUUCGAGAGUUUCCAAAAUAUAGGCAUUACCUGGGGCAGAUCGAUUUAUCCGAUAAGGACCUUCCCAAUUGGGAGACCACUUGCCAAACUUUGAACUUUUAGUCCCAAUCGGUAAUAUUAAUUUCCAUACCAAAUCUCCAUUGACGAAUUCCUUAUCCUUUACCUUUUUAUCAUACCAUCUGACAACUUUCUUUUUAUUUUCUUCUAUACUUAUCAAAGCCUUCAGCCGAUGUCCUGCUAAAUCAUCUAACUCGUCUUUCAUCAAACUAGCAUAGUCAUCGGCAGCCAACUGAUCUUGAAAAGAUAGUCGCCUGGAUCCUGUCUUAAUUUCCCAUGGUAGCACGGCAUCGUGUCCAUAUACCAGCUGAUAAGGUGAAACUUUGGUCGACCCAUGACAAGCCAUCCGAUAUGACCAUAAAGCCUCAUUCAACAAUGUAUGCCACCUCUUAAAAUUUUAUUCAAUCUUUCGUUUGAUAAGUUUAAUAAUCCCUUUGUUAGACGCUUCGGCCUGUCCAUUAGCUUGAGCAUAAUAUGGAGAGGAAUUUAACACUUUAAUUCCCAUACCGAUUGCAAAUUCAUCAAACUCUCCCGAUGUGAACAUAGUACCCUGAUCGGUAGUAAUUGUCUGAGGAAUACCAAAUCGGUAAAUAAUAUGCUCUUUCACGAAAUCAAUCAUAUUGGCCGAUGUAACUUUCUUCAAAGGAAUAGCUUCAACCCACUUAGUGAAAUAAUCAGUGGCAACUAAGAUGAAUUUAUGCCCUUUACUCGACGGUGGGUAAAUCUGGCCGAUCAGAUCAAUAGCCCAUCCCCAGAACGACCAAGGUUUAAUAAUGGGAUUCAUGGCCGAUGCGGGUGCCCUUUGAAUAUUUCCAAAUCUCUGCCAAAUCUCUGGCAUCCUUGACAUCCUUUGAAAUAUUUAAAACAAUCCUCAAGUAUGGUCGGCCAAUAAUACCCAUUUCUUCUGAUCAUCCAUUUCAUCUUAAAAGCCGAUUGAUGUGCUCCACACACCCCUUCAUGGAUUUCUCCCAUUAAACUUCUAGCUUCAUCAUCACCUAAGCACUUGAGAAGAACCCCAUCGAUUGUUCGAUAAUAUAGCUCAUCCUCAAGGAGUACAUACUUGGUAGCUUGAAACCGGACACGCCUCUCGACCUUCUUAGAUGGAUCCCUUAAAUAACCAAUAAUCUCCUUUCUCCAAUCAUCGGCACUGAUUGCCGAUAACGUAUUCAACAUGGGUUGAUACCGCGAGGCAUGCUGAGCCAACCGAUUAGCUUCCUCAUUAUGUAACCGAGGAACAUGCUCUAAUCGGAAAUCUUUGAAUUCCCUUAAUAGUUGCAUACUCUUUUCGUAAUAAGUUAUUAGGACUUCGCUUCGGCAUUCAUAACUUCCAGCUAAUUGAUUUAUAACCAGCAUAGAAUCUCCAAAGAUCUCAACAGCAUCAGCACGAACCUCUUUCAACAAUUCCAACCCCUUGAUCAAAGCUUGAUACUCGGCUUGGUUAUUCGUUGACGUAGCAACAAUCGGCAAAAAAAACUCAUACUUCCUUCCCUGAGGGGAAAUUAACACUAUGCCAAUUCCUGCCCCCCGGUCACACGUGGAUCCAUCAAAGAAGAGUGUCCAAGGCACAAUUUCCAAAGUUUCCACUAUACCGCGAUGUUGAGUCACAAAAUCGGCCAUAAUCUGCCCUUUAACCGCUUUAGCCGAUUCGUAACGUAGAUCGAAUUCCGAUAGCGCCAAAAUCCACUUACCGAUUCUUCCACUCAUAAUCGGCAUAGAUAGCAUAUAUCGGACCACAUCAUCUUUGCAUAUAACAGUGCAUUCGGCCGAUAGCAAAUAGUGCCUUAACUUAAUGCAAGAAAAAUAUAGGCAUAAACAUAAUUUUUCAAUGGCCAAAUACCUGGUCUCAGCAUCAAUCAAUCUUCUACUUAAAUAAUAAAUCACACGCUCCUUCCCUUCAAAUUCUUGAAUCAAAGCCGAAACGAUGACCAUCCCAUCGGUAGACAAAUAUAAUCUGAAGGGCUUUCCUUGCUGAGGUGGAAUCAAGACUGGAGGAUUUGUCAAAUAAUUCUUGAUUUCAUCUAAGGCCAACUGUUGCUCUUUCCCCCAUAUAAAUUCCCGAUCGGCCUUUAAUUUAAGUAAAGGACUAAAAGCAUGAAUUUUACCAGACAAAUUAGAAAUAAAUCGCCUGAUAAAAUUUAUUUUGCCGAUCAGAGAUUGAAGCUCGGUUUUGUUGGUAGGAGCAACUAUUUUGUUAAUAGCAUCGAUAGAUCUUCUGCUAAUUUCAAUUCCCCUCUGAUGCACUAUGAAACCAAGAAAUUGCCCUGCCGAUACACCAAAUGCACAUUUGUUAGGGUUCAUCUUUAAACCAUGUUUUCUUGUGCAUUCCAACACUUUUCGCAGAUCGACAAGAUGGUUUGUGAAAUCUUUAGACUUAACCACCACAUCAUCAAUAUAAAUUUCCACCAGCUUGCCGAUGAACUCAUGAAAGAUAAAAUUCAUAGCUCUUUGAUAGGUAGCACCAGCAUUUUUCAAGCCAAAAGUCAUGACUACCCACUCAAACAAUCCAACAUGACCAGGACAUCUAAAUGCAGUCUUUGUAAUAUCUUCCUCAGCCAUGAAUAUCUGGUUAUAUCCUGCAUUGCCAUCCAUGAAGCUAAUAACUCGAUGUCCAGCCGCAACAUCAACUAGCAAAUCGGCAACUGGCAUUGGGUAACCAUCCAUCGGUGUAGCCAUGUUAAGAUUUCUAAAAUCAAUGAAAACUCGAAGCUUCCCAUUUUUCUUGUACACUGGAACAACAUUGGAAAUCCACUCGGCAUACCGACACUACCGAAUAAAUUUAGCUUCGAUAAGUUUGGUUAUUUCGUCCUUAAUAUCAGGAAGAAUAUUAGGAUUACAUCGGCGAGCCGACUGCUGAUGUGGCCGAAAUCCAGACUUGAUAGGCAACCGAUGUUCAACAAUAGAUCGGUCUAAGCCAGGCAUCUCAGUAUAAUCCCAAGCAAAGCAAUCUUUAUAUUCCUUUAACAAAUCGGUCAAUUGUUGCUUACACUCAGAAUUUAACUUAACACUAAUAAAAGUAGGUCUAGGCUAAUCACCAUUACCUAUGUCUACUUCUACUAAAGCAUCAGCCGAUGUAAACCCCUUGCCUAAUUUUCCAUCAUCGGCGAACCUAUCCAUUAAAACUCCUCAUCAGAACCGACUGCUUGGAUCGGUGGAAUUUCAUAAUCGGCAACUUUGAGGAAAUCCUUCUCCCAAACCUCUCCUGAGAUGCACCUGGUCCUUUCAUAGGUAUCUGCUUCUACCGAUGCGAUGACAUAAGAAGAAUCUCCUGGGACAAUCUCAAUCUUGUCACCUACCCAUUGAACCAAGCACUGAUGCAUUGUAGACGGGAUACAAUAGUUAGCAUGAAUCCUAUCUCUUCCCAACAGCAGAUUGUAAGCACCUUUUCCACUGAUGACGAAGAAAGUUAUCGGCAAGGUUUUGCUGCCGAUAGUCAACUCGACACAUAUUGCUCCCUUGACCGGAGACACAUUUCCUUCAAAGUCCUUUAACAUCAUAUCGAUCUUGGUCAAAUCUUGAUCCCCUCUCCCAAGCUUCCAAUAGACUGCAUACGGCAUAAUGUUGAUAGCAGCCCCACCGUCAAUAAGUAUCUUAGUCAUCGGCUGCCCAUCAACUCUUCCUUUGACGAAUAGAGCCUUAAGAUGCUGCCUUUCAUUGUCGGCAGGCUUUUCAAAGAUAGCCAUCAUCGGAUCCAGAGCCAACUGAGCUAUCUGGUCGGAAAAAUCUAGCUCCUCAUCAUCACUGGAUGGCGCAAGAAACUCCAUCGGCAACAUAAAUACCAUGUUAACAUCUGCCGAUGGCCCUUUUCCCUUGGGAUCCGGUUGCUGCUGAUCUCCAGAUUUGCCAGAAUUCUCUCCUUUGCUCAAGUCUUCUCGCCUCUCGUGCUGCAGCCUUCUUUUCUGUGUCCUAGUCAAUCUCUCUGGACACCACGGAGAAAGUUAUGGCUGCCUCACCGAUGGGCGACGACUUUCCCUUGACUCCACUCGAUAGGUGUUAGCAUCCCUGUAAAAUAUGAACUCAUCGGGAACUCGAGCAUUUGCCAUUUCCUCAAGCUCCUCUUGGUUCCUGGGAAAGUAUCCAACACGGUCACCAAGUCUAUCAUGCACACUGAGCCUGCCCCCCAGCCGAUCAUGAACUGAGGCUCUUCCCCUAAUCGGCUCAUUAAAUCGCCGAUCAUCGUUCUUAUACUGCCGAUUAGGUCUAUCAUACCGAUCAUAACCAUUGCAUUUAGGGCAGUCCCUAACAGUGGGCAACUUGAUGUUCUGUUCCCAACAGUGGAUAAAGAACGGGCAAUUCCAGUGAUCCUUAUGCCGAUUCCACUCCUGUCGGCGUCUUUCUUCUUCCCGACGGUGAUCCUCCUGUUGGCGCCGAUACUGCUCUUCACGUUGCUGCCAAGUCUCCAAAUGCCUUCUAUGAGUUAUCACAAUGCCAGAUCGAAGAGGCCUUCCUGAGCUAGUUCCUUCCUAGAUUAAACCCUUUCCUUUAGCAUCGGCAGCAGUAAUCUGAUGCUGAGGAUCCACCGAUGCACUUCUUUCAGCUGCUUCUAACGUCAACACCUUGGUCUUUCCCUUAGCAUCCAACAUAUUUGUUGGGAAAGGAUGCUGAUUGAUCUUCAUCGGCUUUUGAGCUUUAGAAUUAUCAAACUUGAUCCUCCCAGACUCUAUAGCCGAUUGCAGCUGCUGCGUGAAAACCUUGCAUUCAUUUGUACUAUGGGAUGUUGCAUUAUGCCACUUGCAGUACUUCAUCUUCUUUAAUUCUUCAGUCGAUGGAAUCACAUGAUUGGGCGAUAAUUUGAUUUGCCCUUCCUAAAGUAGAAAGUCAAAUAUUCUAUCAGCCUUGGUGAUGUCAAAUGCAAAUUUUUCUGGCUCUUUAUGCCCAAAAGGGCAAGACAUCGGCUUCUUAUUUUUCACCUAUUCUGCCAAGCCGAUGACUGGUUCCUCAUCAGAGUCUGAGCUUGCUGCUUCAUCAACAAAUGACACCUUUUUAUUCCACUCAUCUCUGUUAGCAGCUUCCCCGCACUGGAUGAUGAACCUAUUGACAUGCUCCAUAGUUGAUGUAUCAUCCUGUCUAGAAAACUUAGUAAAAUCUGGUACCUUGUACCGAUUUGGAAGUGGUAUUAAAUCAUAUGCAGGAGGAUACGGUGUCUGAUAAGAGUAAGUGUUGACUUUGGGUUUUAUCCCAAAUUGGUCUCUCAUUACUUCAGCUAUCUUAUCGGCCCAAUAAGCAUUGGCAUCUUGCCGAUGAGGCGGUUGUGGAUCUGGCACCUGCUGAUAUGCUUCCACGUGUCUCUGAGGUGCAUGAUCUGCAUGGAGCAUCGGGUUAAUCAUCUGACCUCCAAUCUGCUGACCAAGAUUCAUCGGCUGAUUGACCAACCCUUGAUUCUGAAAUCCAGGUUGGAUUUGACCUUGUUGAAACCCUACAGCCUGAUGAUUCUGCUGAGGCAUCUGUGGAAAAACUAACUGCCCUGUCCGGCCACUAUUAGGGUUCAUCAGCAUAGGCCCUGCUGAUGACUGGUAGUUGGGCAUCAUCAUCGAAUUGACAUACCCUAGUUGCGUCAUAAACCUCUGCUGCGUCAGCAUUGAAUCUGCAGAUGUGUUAGGCAUCUGGAAUGUUGGAACUUGAGAAUUCCCAGUGGUCUUGCAGUAGUAGUUGUAGUAUACUGGGGACUCUGAUUCAUCAGCGGAUUUGAAGGUGCCGAUGCCAUAGGAGCCUUGCCUAUCAAGUCAGCCACUUGAGAUGUUCCAGGAGUCUUUGCCAUCAAAUCUGGGGGCAUACCAUAACCCCACCAGUUGGGAGGAACAGAACCUGACAUUGCCGAUGCCAAUAGAUCUAUAGCAAGCUUGAUUAACUCGUCUGAUGUUGAUGGAUUGGUCGUCAUUGGUGUAGAUUGCGCAUUAGUGAUCCCUAAUGUGCUUGGAGGAGAAGUAACUUCUGUACCCGCAAUGGCUGCAGUAGCCGAUGGAGCCGUGACCAAUGAUGACCCUGGCUGAUGAUAGGCAGGACCCACAUAAUUUGGUGGCAAUUGCCCUUCCUUGAAAGUUCUAGCCACCGCAUUGAAAACCGUGUUGGACAGCACACCAGCUUGAUUGAUCAAAGCAUGAUUAAUGGCACUGUCAACCAUGUCUUGAAGUUUACCAGAAUUGGCUUCAAAAGUAAUCUGCCAAGGUGCCGGCAACGCUUCCUUUUGGAUCACCUCGCCACUCCUGUUGAUACUGAAGGAUUUCAAGCAUUGCUGCUUGUACUCCUCCAUGGCUUUUGCCAUAGCUCGCUUCUGCUCAUCUCUGAGAUUGGCCUCCGUCACCGGGAUAAUGUUCUCCAAGUUGAAAUCGGUGUUCGACAUGUUGAUCUUGAUCUUGAAUAUGGUCCCACUGGCCGUGUCAAAAUAUGUGUUGGUGCAAAAUCUGGUCUGCAAACACAAAGGGCUAAUAUCCGAUUCAAACGUUAAGGCGUGCCAGCCGAUUUGACCUUACAAUCGACAAAGGUGGUAACUCGAACACUUUGGUCCCGACAACAGCGAUGCGCCCGGAUGUCACGGCCAAGAGGUGCUCACGUGGAACUUGAGAACACGCCGAGCUUAAGUCGACGAAUUCCUAAGAACUCGUAGUAAAAAGGAAAAUAUGACGAAAUUGUCGAAAAGUAGAUGCUGGAAUAUGAGUAAAAACUUGUGUUUGAUUGAUUGAUAGAUGUCUCAUUACAUUGCCCUAGGGUCUACAUUUAUACCAUGUCCAAAGAGCUACAACCAGACACGACUAGGACUCAAAUUCCAAAUUAAACGGAAACCGUAUACAAAACAAAUUCUAAUAACUAAGGAAAACAUUAAACUAGCCCCCGUAACUGAUCGGGACACUGCCACUAAUCAAUCGGCAACUUCCAUGCUUUCCUCCAGAGUCAUCGGCAGACUACCUGUUAUAGCCAUCGGCAAAUACUGGCACUGGUCAUUGGCAUGAAUAUACCAUCACUUCUAGACUUGGUCAUAUUCGGUUGUCUCCCCAUCGGCAACCACCUUCAUUGGCAACCUCCCUACAGACUGGUCACCACUACUCCAUCUGCCGAUCUACAUCUCAUUAACUCCACAUGCGUAUCAAAAGAUACGUGUCCAAAAACGGUGUCAACAGGAUCACAGCAGACGCCAUCUAACUUCGCCUAUUCCCAUUCACUUUGCUUGGGAUAGCGAAGCAAUGGUUCUAUGCUCAGCCCAAAGAUGUUAACACAUGGACAAGGUGUGCCAGUGCAUUCCUCACAAAGUUCUUUCCAAUGGGCAAGACCUCUGCCCUGAGGACCAGAAUUUCGAGCUUUCAGCAGAAGUCAGAUGGGACCAUUCUCGAAGCAUGGGAAUGUCUAUAGGAGUACAUCCUAGACUGCCCACAUCACAGAAUCAAGGAAUGGCACCUACUCUAAGAGUUUCUACCACGGGUUGUCCCCAGUAGCCCGAAGUCACCUUGAUGCUUCUGCAAGAGGAUCGUUCAUCUCCCUCAACGUCACGCAAGCCAGGAAUCUCAUUGAGAACAUCGUGACGAACCAAGAGUGGACAGGAGAACGACCUCAACCUAAGAAAGGAGGCACACAUUAUGUGGACGAAGUGAAUGCCAUCCCCCAAAAGAUGGAACUCUUGAUGAAGAAGUUGGAUGAACGAGCUAACUUCACGAUGGAUCGAGAGGCCAUCCAACAACAAAUCUCUGCAUGUAACCAAAACAUAAAGCAGAGCACAAAACACGAAGUUGCUUAUGCCAUCAACAACUUACGACCUCAGAAAGGAGGGACUACCUCGCGUUUCAAGAGCCAAGGUAACACAAAAUCAAGUUCGCCUUCGCUUAGAAAGCUUGUCAUGAGCCAGGCUAAAGUUAACGAAAAUAUCAAUAAUAAAUUGCUAGCUCAUGAAAAGAUCCUUAAAAUAAUUUCUACUAAAAUGAAGUCUUUUGCUACGUCUGUUAAGGAUGAGCUAUAUUUUAUCAAAAUGCUCGAAUCUCAGAUUAAAAUGGUUGCAUCCUUUAUUCCGUCUCCUAUCAAAUCUUGCAAUUCUCUGAAUGUUGUGGCCAUGAGAGGGGGUAAGACCACUCGUGAUCCACCAUAUCCUAACAUGACCAGGAAGCCAGCAAGAAAGGACAAGGAAGAAGAAGAAGAAGAAGAGAAAGAGGACAAAGAAGAACUCCCAUCCACGCAGGAAAAAGCCACGUUCUAUGGGAAGAUAGCGCCGCAUGAUUUCUAUGACACCUACUUGUCGCUACCCUUUCCAAGAACAAAGAAGUAAACGGCCGAUGAACAGUUCAAAAAAUUUGUUGAGGUAAUUCAUCAAUUAUUUGUCAACAUUCUGCUACUUGAUGCAAUGCAGGUCCCAACCUACGCCAAGUACCUCAAAUACAUCCUCAACAACAAGCGCCCGCUACCCACUACUGAGGUAAUUAAACUAACGGAAGAAUGUAGUGCUGCAUUGCUAAACUAUCCGCCGGAAAAGAAGAAGGACCCUGGAUGUCUGACCAUCGACUGCUCCAUCGGGACACAACACUUCGAUCAUGCACUGUGUGACUUGGGUGCAAGCGUCAGUGUCAUGCCAAAGGUCAUUUAUGAUCAACUAACUCAUGCUACCUUGUACCCCACAUCAAUCUAUUUGCAGCUGGUAGAUCAGUCAAUCCGCCACCUAGCGGGGAUUGCUGAAAACAUACAAGUUAAGGAAUUUUGUCGUCCCCGUGGAUUUCGUGGUACUCAACAUGGACGUAGACAAGAAAAUACCACUUAUCCUCGAAUGACCAUUCCUCAGUACCACCAAUGCAAAUAUUGAUGUCGGAGCCGGAGAGAUCGAAUUCACCAUCAACGGGACCCAGGAGAAAUUCAACUUCAAGCCCAAGCUUGAACAAUGCUCACUCAUCUUGGUCACUGAAGUGGCACCCACACUCAUCAUGACAAGAAUUAAGAAGAAACAAGGUCCAGUACCAUGAGUGAACCCAAAAAGGAUAUGGAAGAAGAAAGUAACUCAACCAUCAAAACCUCCAGGCAAAAAUUAUAAAAUAUUUCAACGAGGGAGUCCUGUCGAAAGGACUUGAGGGAAAAUUCUUCCAUCUAGGUAAGUACACUCAUACUUUUAAUUUAUUUAUUUAUUAGUAUUUAUUUCUGUCUUUUAUUUCUACCAAUUUAAUUCCUAAAUAAUAAAUAGUAUAAAAUAAUAAGUCUUCUGGGACGAGGCAGACACCUGGAGGGCCCCAGGUAGGGAUCGGCCGAUCCCUGUCUCGAGGGCCCCACCUGUCAGCCUGUACCCCCUGCACUAUUGAGCACUCACUGACAUAGCCCAUCAGACAGGAGCAUGCAUUGCUCCCUCUUUUCCCUACCUAUUCCACUUACCACAGAAACCAAGGGAAGAUUCCCUGUGCAACCUCGAAAGUUGAAAAAGCUGAUGCUCCACUAGAUAGGAUUCUUAAUCCUAUGCACAUCGUGCGAGGACACACUAGGAGAGGUGGCAGGGAGGGGAUCGGCCGAUCCCCCUCCUGGCCCCUUUUCUUGCUCUGUGUCUCCCACCCAGUAGACACAGGAGUGCCAUACAUGUUGCACCUAAAAAAGUCUAAAAGGCAAAGAAUCUUUGAUCCAUCACUUGAAACCCAAAGAUGCUUCUCACUUUUAUGACACUUUUUAGAAGUGCACAUCAGCCAAAACACAAAGAGGUACAUGCCACCAUGCUUAUGACACACUUUUAACAUGUCCACACCUUUUGUCAUUUCAACUUUCCGCUUUCACAAAAACACUAGGUAGGGAAUCUCUGACAAAGUGCUGCACUCUUUACCAAAAUCAGAUCCUUGCUUUAUGAGACACAUGAUGACACAAAGUGAAAGAGGAAAAUCCCUAUCCAAGGGCUCGGCCGAUCUCCUUAGUGGGGGACAUCUGAAAACCUUUUAGUCCUCCAUGCCAGAUUCCUCACACAAAGUUUAAUGCCACUCAAAAUUUCAAAUUUUUUCAAAGGGAGAGGCUCGGCCGAGACCCCUCCUUGAGCUUUUCCACUCGCCCUCUUCACUCUAUAAAUACCUCCCUUGGGAGAGCUCCUUCAUCAACACAAGCAUUUAGAAUCACUUUGAGCUUCACACACCCUUCUCCCUUCUCUAGUGCAAGUGCCUUCUCAAGUCUAGUAGAGUAGUAGUCAUCCAAGAGAAAACCCAAAAAUAUUUUCUAGUUCAUCCUAGUCCGAUCGAAGCCACCACGAGAAGGUAGCGGGGGAGUGGGUUAAGCUAACAUCUCUUUUGUGAAGUGGUGUUGUUGUUUUCCCCAUUCAGGAAUGAAGAAGCUAUUCAAGAGCGCGGCAAGCAAACUACGUGACAAGAUUAGUUUGAGCUCAUCCUCAUCAAGGUCCACAUGCCAAUCCGAGGGUGUCCCCUCUAUCUCCAUGGAGGAGGUGGGAGAGCAAGAACAUGGGGGUGGUGCACAUUAAGAGGAGGUGAAUGAGAAGUCGCAGCCCCUCAGGACGCAAGAUGUGGAGACUGCCUUUGGCUCAACCUUGACGAGAUGGGCACGCUCAACCAACUCCGCAACUGCACUUUCGUGCACACAAAGGUAAUCGAUCCCGAGCUCCUCCAUCACACAGGUAUGGAUGAGGAGUUCCCUGAAGUUUUUAAUGCACUUGGGUAGAAUAACUUUUGGGAUAUCUCGCAUUACCCUGGUAGUAGAGUCCUCACCCUUGAGUUUUUGAGCACCGUAGUAACCAAUGAUUUUUGCAUCUAUUUUCACUUACGGGGUCGGGAGUUCAAUUUCUCUUGGGAUGAGUUUGCUCAUUUCCUUGGCUUUGUUAAUUGCACUACCAAGGUUGUGCUAGCCACUAAAAAUUGUGACAAGAAAGAGUUGUGGUGUGAAAUGUGUGGGAGGAAUUACCCAGGGAAAGAACAACCUCGCACUAGCCAUAUUUGUCAUCCUACCCUGCGCUUUUUGCACAUUUGGAUUGGUAUUACUUUGUUCCCUAGGAAAGACAAUAUAUUUGUGAGGGAAAUAGACACUACCAUCCUUUAUGCCAUGAUUCACUGUAUCCGCAUAGCCUCGGUUAAUGCUUUAGUGCAUCAUUGGAAAUCAUUUGCUAAGAGGGGUUUGAUUGAAUUUACUUCCUUGAUCACAAAGUUGUGUGCAAGUUGCAAUUUGCUUGAUGAGAACAUUCCUUACAUACCUUCUGCUAGAACUGUGCUAGGCAAAAAGAUCUCCUUUAGUUAUAUGUCAUGCAUGUGCACCUUUUCCUGGAAAUGAUGAGUAGUUGCUUGUUUGUAGUUCUCUAGUACCUAGUUUUCAACUUAGUAUUUCCCUUAAGUAUGAAUCACUUGGCUACCAUGAAACCACCAUGAACUUGAACACUCUAGUGGGACGCAAAUGCUAAAACUAAGUCUAAGUUGUUCUAAGAUAUGAGAUGGUAAGAUAAGAGCUGCUAUAAUAUCAUUCUGAUCAUGUAUGACUACUAGAGUUUUUAUUUCUUAAAAUGAUCAAAACCUUAAUUGUUCCUCAAUGGUAUUGAAAUUUCCUACCACAGCCAAAUACACAUAUUUUUUUGGAAGCCUUCUACAUAAGCUACUGCUUCAUAGUGAGUCAAGUUAAGUCUUCUAGAACCUGUGUUAAGGGAUUUGUCAUGCACCUAUGAUCAAGAUUCCACUAGCCACAUAUAUAUUGCUACUUCUACCAUAGAAGUACGCCUAAUCAUAAACACCAUGCUACUCCCACCUUGGAAGUACACAUCUCCAUAUUCACCAUCAUCUUGCUACUUCUAUCCUAGAAGUACGCAGCUCCAUUUCCACCAGAAAGGUUGAAAGGUCCUUGUUUGGUUUUGGUAAUUGAGUGACAACUUAGGUGGACUAAUAGUGUUUAUGUGAGAUACACAGGAGAUUAGUCCAAAGGUGAUUAUGUGAUGAUGGAGGAGCUCAUUGCAUAUGAGACAUGACAUGGAGUCAUGUGACCAAGGUGGAGAAGAUCAAGAUGAGGCUUGGCUUGAUGGACCGGUUGCAAGAGUGAAGGGCAAGUCGGAGGCUUUGAAGCGAGGGACCGCGUGUGACGGUGAAGCUUGAGCAAGACUUGGCGCCGAUGGACCGAGGCAACGGUGAAGAGCAAGUGAGGUCAAGAUCGAUGAACCAAUACGGUCACGUGAUGAUAUGAAGUGGAUCAUAUCUUUUGGUGAUUGGUUGGUGCAUGUGUGGCAUCAACAUUGGAGGAGAUGGAAUGGAAAGCGCAAGGCAAAGGUAUAACCUAGGGCAUUUCCAUUUCACCGGUCAUAGGUGUGUAGAGAAGUUUAUGACCGGAUUUAGGAUAGAUGGCCGUACUAUCAAGAGGGGCAAACUUGUUUGCAUAUCGGUCAUCUAGUGCCACUUGAGCGAUCUAACUUUGCAUACGUGUUAGGAUCGAGUGGCGUGGCAAGUUGAGAGGCUAACUCCUUUGGGAAAAUGUUUGUGAAAAUGCUAACACACUUGCACAUGGUGUUGUACACUUGGUGGUGUUGGCACAUUUGCAAAGGAGGUGGUGUUCCUAGGGUUGAGAGAGGUGGUGUCCCAUGGAUUCGGCGCUUUUGAGAAAAACAAGUGUAUAUUUUCUAUUGCGCCGGUGGGAAAUUUAGAGAAGUCGCGGGAGUGUUUUCUCACUGAGAAACACUCACCGGACGCUGGCCUCAACGUCCGGUGAGCUUGACCCUGCUAGGGUUAAGCACCGAACGCACUCUGAGAGCGUCUGGUGGUUAGCGUCCGGUGUGAGGGGUUUUUGCAACCCUCUCUGCGCACGAGUCCGGUGAGCACCGGACCGUCCGGUGCCUAGCGUCCGGUGAGGUCGCGAGUUUGACAAACUCUCUGUGCACGAGUGCGGUGAGCACCGGACCGUCCGGUGCCCAUCGUCCGGUGGUGCUGUGCAGGCGCGCGUGCGAAGUAGCCGUUGGCAGCAACGGUCGAUUUCAAACGGCUAGUGACACGUGGCCGACGCCUGAGCACCGGACGCUGGGUGUUGAGCGUCUGGUGGCUCCUUGAGAGCGUCCGGUGCCCACAUGUUUUGCCCAGUGAAGGGGCAACGGCUAGUUUAGCCCUUGGGGCUAUAAAUAGAAGUGGUGGCCGGCCUUGGCUGGUGCUGAGCACCCUUGGGACUUAGUGUCCAUGCUUGGGGAGUGCUAGUAAAGCCUCUAACUCACAUAUGCUUGAUAGUAAUCAUCCGAUUGUGUGAGUGAGCGAUUCUAGUGCGUUGCAUUGAGAGAUUGCAUCGAGUGGCACUAGGUGUUCGUGUUGCAAGCCGGUGGUGCUUGUUACUCUUGGAGGUUGCCACCUCCUAGACGGCUUGGUGGCUUGUGACUCCGUCGAAGCACGCAAGGAGAUUGUGCGGUGCUCCGGAGAAGAGAUUGUGAGGGGUACGGUGCUCACCCCGCGGGGAUCGCGAAGAGCAACUCUAGUUGAGCGAGACGUGAAGAGCGACAAGUGGUCUGGCCGGGUCAAGUGCUAGAGCUUGUGGUAAGCACUCCACGUGGGAGAGUGUGACUUGCGGGUCACCACUAGCAAGAGGACCGGCGGCAACCUUGGAGCUUGUCUCAACGGGGACGUAGCUUGGUGGCAACCAAGUGAACCUCGGGAGAAAAUCAUCAUGUCAACUUUGUUCUUCCCAUUGGUUUGCAAGUCCCUAACACAAGCUUAUUUUUACAUUCAUAUACUUGUGCUUGUGAAGUUGCUCUUGUAAUUAGUUAGCUUGUGUAGCUUGCUAGUUACCUUCUUGCUUGUGUAGCUAGAAGUAGUUCCCUUGCGUGACUAAUUUGGUUUGUGUAACCUUGUUAGUCACAUUGCUUAGUUUGUGUAGCUAAGUAAUUUGCGCUCUCUAAUUUGGCAUUAGUUGCCUUGUUAUUGAGCUUGCUAGUGAGCUUAGGCUUUGUGCGCUUUGCCUCACUAGUUUGAAUAGGAGCUCCCCCAGUUUGCAAAGUACUAGUUGCAUAGGUUUGUGUGACCUUGCUCCUAGAAUUGGUUAGGUGACCUCUUGCUAAGGUAGCACCUUGUUUGCUUGUUUAGGAUCUUUUCAAGGUGCUAGAGAACUUAGAUAGAGAGGUGUAGUCUUGGCUAGACCGAUAGUUUUAAUUCCGCAUUUGUUUCGGUUAGCCGGCGCGAUAAGUUUUAGAAAGGACUAUUCACCCCCCCUCUAGUCCGCCAUCUCGACCCUUCAAAGGUGGCUCCCUACUCUUAAAAGUUAGAAUUUCUCUCCAAAGUUAUCAAUGUGUUAGAUGAGACACAAGUAAAGGCUAGCAAGUAUCAGUUUAUAGACACAUCCAAAGCCAUCUCUCUCUCUCUUCUAAAAAAACAGAGAAAGAAGUAUAUGCUAGCCUCGUCUCAAUAAAAGUUUAGAGAGAAAGAACUUGUCAAAUAGAGGAGCAAUCUAGUCCACCACCACAUCUUCCAUACCACACACACACACAUUCACAUCUUGAUCUCAGAGUAUGACAUGUCUCUUCUUAGGUCCAAUCCUUAACUAGACAAAAAUCUGCAGAGUGAGUAUGCUAUUCCUUGCCAUACCUAUUAUGAGCUCCAUAUAAAGCCUUUGUAGAACAUAGGAUGGUAGAAGAAAGGCAGUCAUACUUUAUGCCUUGGUAAGGAAACAUACACUUUUGAGUGACAUGAGAGUACCAUUUGAGGAACAUUAAGAUUUCUUUUGAAAAACAUUACAAAACCUCUAGUAUGAAACUUGCAAAAGAGUGAGAAAAAUAGUGCUCAAGUCCAACUGUUAUGUCUCUCAACAUCCCAAGAGAAAGGAAAGGCUAAAGGCCCCAUAGAGGACUAAGGUAAUAUGGGUGAGUUUUAAAUUGCCAAGUUCUUCAUUGCUCACUUGAAAUACUUUGUUGCAUGCCUGGUACUCUUGAAACAUGAAGAUAACAACAAUUUCUGAUUGACCGAGACCAAGUUCUAAUUAUUUUCUUGGGACAAGCAAAGGUUAAGCUUGGGGGACCUUGUUGAUGGAAAUUAUAGCAUAAAAAUGCACAUUCAAAACACCGUCAACAACCUCGGUUUCAAGGAAUAAUCACAUGACAUAGACAUAUUUUAUCAAUAAUUGGUUCUAGAUGUACCUUGAGCUUGUGAAUGCAGAACUUAGCAAAAUGGCACAAAACCGAGCUGAAGUGGGCCCACAUGGGGGAUUGGCCGAUCCCCCUGUGCCACCUCCUCAAGGUGCCACAUAGGCAUGAUCCAAGGCAACCUCCUAGAAGCAAUUCUCAGCCUUUGGAUCAGAGUGUGCUUUCUCUCAACGGCUGAAAUCAAGAGCACACAGAUUCAUGGGUCCACAUGUCAGAAGAACUGGCGUGACAACGUGCAACAAGUGGGUGAACCAGUGCCUAUGACUAGUGGGGACACCAGCCAACCGACUCUGGCUGGCCCCACUAGUCAUAGGGGCAUCGGUCGAUCCCCCCUAGCGCCAGCCAGGUCAGUUGGCCCUCCACCGACUUCCCCACAUUGAGCACAUGUUGAUUUGAUACAAGACAUUGGAUUAAAGGCAGUUUCAAGGCCGGUUUGAUCCAAUGGCCAUCGAGCAACAUCAUGCAGAUCGAUGACAUGGCGAUGGAGUAGCCCCUACUCCACCUCUCCCUAUAAAUACCUGCUGUAUUCACCCUCUCAAGGCAUGAUGUGAUUGUAUUCAAGACUACAAGUCUAAUUUCCUUAGUAAUUGUAGUCUAGUGUGGGAGUUAGAGUCGAGUCGAGCGAAGCUCGGGGUCUCUGGAGUCGUCUUCUGGAGAGUGUGGUAUUCCUCUUGUACUUUCCUUUUGCAAUACUUUAAUUUAUAUUUCUCUUCUACUUUCCUGAGUAUUUACUUAGUGCAAUAUUAUUCCUACAAUAGUGUUGUAGUGUUUUAGCCUAGUUUGCUAGUAGUGCAAGGUAGAUUGUGAUCCUGUUACCACUCCUUAGUUGUUACCAAUGUCUUUACAAGUUGCUCUGGCUAGGACAUAUUCUUAGUUAGAGUAGUGAGAGUUAGUGUAGGCGCGGUGCCUAGAUUAAGUCUCAUCGUUGGAGGCUGCUAGUCUUCAUGGAAGGUCUGUGGGUGCACUGGCUUGAAGUGACAGUUCGGGAUCGGCAUUAGAUCCCACCAUGUAGAGGCAUACAUAAGUUUGGUCUCGCUUGAGCAGGGGUUCUGUCUCCUUCUCUCUCGUUUCCUCCCAGCAACUAAGUUAUUGAGGUAGCAAUCCUAGCUUGUAUCUUUUAUCUAAUUAGACUAGAACACAGAAGUAGAGGUAGAAUCCAUAGGAGUCCUUAACUCACUUGUUGUCCUCCCACCUAGCUGCUCUACGUUAGUUAUCUUUCGUUGUCUUAGGAUCAGCAUCAUCAACCUUCCAUCCAAAUCAUCAUCACCUUUCCUUGCUCUAGUUGCCAUUAGAUUGUGAUAGGGAUAUCUUUUCUCUUGAACCAUUUCUAGCUACUGCUUUCCUUUGGGAUAAAUAUAAAUUACGACACUUUAGACUACUCCUAGGUGAAGUGCUACAGCGGUACAUUUUGUGCGCUUGCGGAAUCAUCCAAUAGACAUUUGAAUUACCACGUACCUGGCAUCUCUAGUGACGUCGCUAUUUUAGUGGUGCUACUAAGAAAUAUCAACACCUAGCAUUGUACCAGCCUCCCCUAUAGUGCCUCCUCCUCUGUUUUCUGUUUUGAUGCCUUGAUGCUCCAAAUUCAUGAUCAAAUGAUGCUAGACAUGUUUCUUAGGCCACUACUACUUGGUUUUUUGGGGUUAUAUUGGGUAUAGAACUAGUUCUACUACUAUACCAAUCUUGAGCCUUUUGAUUUCUUCUAUCUAUUAGAACAAAGCAUGAAAUGUCCAAGCUAGGAGAUAGUGUAGCCUGAGGCCCCAAAAAUUCUGAUCUGUCACCGCAUGAAGGGCAAGAGCUAGAGGACUAGCUUACUCAAGAAUAGUUCGACAACGAGUUAGAAAAUGAUCUAGAAGUGUUUCUUACUCAAUAGGAGCUUCACAAGGAGCAAGGGGGAGUGGAGGGAAGAGGAAGAGAGGCUGAUCAAGGCGACAAAGAGGACGAUGGUGAAAGCUCAUCCUCAAGAUAUGAAAGCCCCAAGGAUCCUUUCGCACAAGAAUCUGGACGAAGGCCAACUGAGGAAGAGUUGGACCAAGAUUUUGACUCAAACGGGGAGGUAGGGAUGGAACCUUUGUAGCCUAUACAAUUUGCUGAGGCUUUGGUUGUAUUACCUCUGCUAAUUCUUUUGACUUGUCAUAUAUGCAGGUCCUUGCUAUACCUCCGAAAAGACGACGUUGGCGUCUAUCAUGUUUUGUCAAACAAGAGAGAGUAGGGGAAAGGAAGGCAGAGGCAACAACCAUAGAGACCAACAUUGAGGCCUCUGCUCCAGACCCUCAAGGCACAACCAUGACCUCAACUACUGAACCAAAGAGGAAAUGAGAGAAAAGAAUGGUGAACCAAUAUCCAAAGAAGGGGGUAUGUUAUGUGAUAGCGUAAGUUAGGCCAGAAGGGUAGAUCCUUGAGCCACCAGAGUACAUCAGCUGAUCUUGUAAUGUGAUCUGGGCACUAUUAAGAGAUCAAUUGAACCCAACAUUCCCUGUUUGGAGUGGCAAACAUGCACGUAAGAUGAAAAAGAAAGAGCUAUGGGACAAGUGGCUGAUGGACACUUUCAGGUUGCCAGAGGGAAACAUGAACUGGUACAAAAACAGGCUUACAAGAUAAUGGGCAAUGCCUUCCAAUGUUGGAGGUCGGAUCUCAACAAGAGAUUUAUCCAAAAGGAGUUAACUCCCUUCCACGAGUUUGGUAAAAUUACUCAUAAUCAAUGGGCAUAGCUCAUGGCUGAGAAGACUUCACCUGAAGCAUUGGCCCUCAGUGCCUGUUGACACUUGCUAACACCACUUGAAUACUAGGUUGUUAUCCCCAGCAUGACACUAGAGUGUACUAUGGUAUUUAUACGCACACAGAUAAUCCGCAAGCGCACGGAUACCGUUGUAGCUUUUACCCGGUUAAAGGUUUUAUUGUAUCCACAGGGAAACGGGAGAACCAACUACGCUCUAACUUAGCCAAGAUAGAUAGAUAAGUGUAAAUAAGAAAGAUGAUAGAAUUGAAAAAGAACAAUAUUAAAGGUAAGAUAACAAUGGGUGAUAAUAUGGGAAUAGAGAGUAGAGCAAUCUAGUAUAUGCGCGAUGGUAGCCGAAUAGAGAGGAUAACUAUGAUUUCUCUACUUCAAAGGGGCAUGUCUAUGUCUGAGACGAACCACGUGAUAAGAAUACACCACAAAGGAUGCUUAUCCAUAGGCUGAUAAACCCUACCCGUCCUGCUAAGAGGAGGUGGACUACAGGGACCAACGUAACUUUCACCUACGCGGCCUACCACACAAUCCAGCUAGACAGGGGAUAUCCACAAGUAAUCUAGGUCUAAGCACCAUGCUUACACCUAUACUACAACUCUAACCUAUAGGGUCCUAUAGAUUAGAAGUACUCAAAAGAGUUGUGAACCAGAACAUACAUGAUUAGUAAUUGCAUAAUGAAUUAGAAGUAGAUUACCAAAGUCAUCCCAUGAGCAAGCAUGAUUAGAGCUUGAUCAUGGCGAUGUACAACCGGAGGAAGAACCGACAGGCCGGCCUCUCCUCCAAUCCUCCCUCGCUCUCCAUCUCACUACGAUCUAGAUCUACUCUAGUUUAGAGAUGAGAGGAGUGCUCUCAUCUCCAAACCCUAGCUUUUGCUCUGUCUAUGAAUAAUGAAUAGGGAUCAAGGGGUGCCUCCUCCAGGGGCCAGGGGGUCUGCCUAUAUAGUCCCCUCAAGUGAAUCUGGGCCGUCGGAUCAAAUCGACAUUGAUUGAACGGUUAUUCUUGAUCCUUUAGGUCGGUGGAGCAUAAUCUACGAAGCGAGUCCUGAUUGGACUCUGUAGCUGGGUGGGCGCCCAAGGGGGGAGGGCGGGCGCCCUGCCCCCGAGCCCGCUCGGCCUCCCGUUCGUUCCCGUGGCUUCUGGAGUCUUCUAGAUGAUAGAAAAUUGCACGACACGUUCAUAUCUCUAUGUAAACCCGACAUGUGGGCCUUUCCUCCAUAUUUCCUGAUAACCCCCUGCAGAAAUAGACAAACACCAAAACUCGUGGAAUUCUGUCAGAUAAAACCCUAAGUUUAGGUGUUGGUUGUAUUUGGAUACUUUUCUUUGUUUAUUUGCUGAUUAUAUUUGGUACUUAAGGACCGUCAACAGUGCCCAGAAUAGGGAGCAAGCGAAGAAGAACAAACACCACCCUCGGUUAGGCCCUGGUGGCUACCAUGGCAAGCAAGCCACGUUUACGAAGAUGGAUGAAGAGAUCGAAGCUUCUGGGGAUCCAAAGAAACAGAAAAUGAAGAAUUUGAAGAAAUAUUUAAAGCAAUAGAUAUAUGCGAGGAGUAGGAUUCCUCUGACCUCAAGUUUGCUGAGCCAGAGACUGAAGAGGUAGUAUCAAGGAUACUGAAAUAUGCUGAAGACACGGAGAAGGGAACAUUCACUCCUUCCAGAGAGAGGCACGAGUUGAGCCUUAGUUUGGGAAACCCUAAGCACAUAGGCACACUAGGGGGCUAGGGAAACUGACAACAUGGAAGCAAGGAUUUGUAGGGGAUAGCAACAUGUACAAGAAACAUGACAGAGGCCGAGAGACCAAUCUUGAGCUCACUGUGAAGGCUCUAGUUGUGAAAGCACUUUUGGAGCAAGCUGGGAAUAUGGAGCCACAACCGCUGAUGGGGCCACCGAGAGAAUUGGCUAUAGUUGGUAGCCCCCGGGAUGUUUCCUAGCAGCCAAGGUUCCACUGCAACCGUAGCCUUCGUUGAUCACAUACGAGAGCCAACUAGUUGCACCCUGUUGGUUCCCAUGGGCAGGCGGAACACAAUGCUUGAGGUAGCAACAGGUGUGGCACAUCCUCUAGGUGGCGUCUGGCACAGUAACCCAAUCCUACAGGACUACACUAGGGUCAAGGUGCAUACCAAGAAGCCUGAGUACAUGACAUGGAGGAUAGAACAUCCAACUCCCGAGGGUCAUGAUCAGCUUGGAUAAGUCAUGAAACAGUUCAUCCUCUAGCACAAAAAGGACAUUGUAUUGAAUGUUACUUCACCAACUUUGAGUGACGUACAUCUGGAUAGAGCUGCUCAAGAUGGGCACGUGUAUUCACCGGCCCAUGGUGACCACAUGCCUGAGGUGCUACAUUCUUCCUUGACUCCUUGGGACCACAUGCCUAAUGCGCCACAUACUUCUUUAGCUCGUCAAAGUGAGCAAGGGCAUGAUGAGAUGCCACAACAUUCUCCAGCUUGUCAUAUCAAGCAAGGGCAUGAUGAUGUGAUGUCACAACCUUAUCCAACCAAGCAAGGGCCUAAUGACCUACCAGAGCCUUCUGAAUAGGCACCGCCAAUACCUAAACAAGGUCUACCUUCUGAAAAAGAGAAUGAGCACACACCUGUAUUAGAGGCCCAAAAGAAGAUUCCCAUCCAUACAAGGCCAAUGUUUGAGCCGAUGAAAGAUGUCUCCUACAUCGACCAGUGGUUUGCUCGUGCCCAGUACAAGCCUAAGAAUAAAGUUAUAGAAGUCUACGCAUGUGCUUCUGAGCCAUCCAACACUAGCAAACUCCAUGAACUAGUAAAGAAGUAUCCAAAUGUUGAGGACAUCAAGUGGACAAAGGAUUGCCAGAACAAAUAUGUAAGAGGCAAGCCCUUCCAACCAAACCGAAUCAUGCAGUGCAUGCCAAUUGGAAUGAGAAAGUUUCAUGGUUGGUACUUGUGUGCUGAGUCGACAAGACUAAACAUACAUAAAAGUUAUCUUCCCUAAAGGCACAUCUAGAGGCGUAGGUGGGGUUAUAUUAUUUGACUUCAAAGACGUGUAGGCAUGCUUUCGCCUCGGCAUGAUAGAAAUGAAUCUAGUUCACAUAUGGUGCCUGUUAGUCCUUGCCCUCUUGAUAUGAUAUGAAUGAAAAAUGUGGAUUUUGUUGUAACUAACCCACAUCAUGAUUCGUAGAGCGCAAACACAUAUUGUGAAGAAGGCACCAAAUCUAAGAGCCGGGUAUAUAGACCCUUCAUUGAUAUUAGCAUCAAAUUUCCAGUACCCUAAGAACUGGAGAAUGGAUUGUGAAGAACUAGUUGCCGGAGAGACCAUUGAGGAGAAAGAGGCCAUCCGGGUAGAUAAGAUGUACAGAGAGGGCAUUAAGGUGUCAGCACGGAUUGCUCGAUUUCUUAAGAAUCUCCAGCAUAACGAAACUAUAUGGUUACCAUACCACUUUGGGUAUGUUCGAGUCUAUAAUUAAAUAAAGCAUUUAGUUCAAUGCAAAAAAUCUUAUUUUGUUUCUUCAAUGAUUAAAUUCAUGCAGGAAGGUUGGCAGGGAUCACUAUGAAGCCUUUCAAAAGUUCGUCUAACGAGUUAGGGCCGCUAGGUUUCAUUAGUCAGUCCGUGUGAUUCUACCACGCAGGGAUCCACGGUCUGCUAUCCCUCAUUUGCACCACAUGAGUAAACUCUAACAAGCUAGAAAAGGUCUUUAUACUGAGCUAAAGCCAGAGCCAUUAUAGCCCUUAUGGUUGCACUAUCAAUCCCGGUGAUCACUUACAGACAAAUCCUCAAGUUGCUAAAAAGUCAUUUUUAUCGUUUGUUGCUUAAAUAUUAAUCAAGUCAUGAGAUCAUGGCCACAAUUCUAUACUUGCCUUGAUCAAAACUAUUCCACUACUCCUGCUGAUCCCUUUGGUUGUCAAGGUACUGAUCUUGAUCACCAAAUUACCGCUCACCGUCCAAACUCGAUCACCAAUCAUCAGCACACAAGCAAUCGGGGCCAAACAUACACAAAGCAAACAAGGUUAUAAUUAGAACAAUACACCAAUAGUAGAAAAACAGUAUGAAAAGGAUUAUAAAAUGAUUAUACGCAUCACUACGAUCACACAGACGUAAAGAUCACGAAAAUUGGAGCUAAAACGGCGAAGAUAUGAAUUUCCUAAGAUUUUCUUUAGAAAAUCAAUUAAUUAAAUAAGGUCAUGAAAUUAAAAAGUUUCAAACUGGUGAACUAAAGUUACUAUUAUGUAGAUCUCAUGAAUACGAAUAUAACACAAUUCGAAUAGGUCAAAUCAGAGUUAAAACAAAUAUUUUAUGGCUAAAACAAACUCAGUGGCAUUUUUGUAAAUCUUGAAAAUGUAUUUUGAAUCUGAGUAACCAAUUUUAUGCUUUCAACAACAGAAAAUGUAUUCCAUAAACACACUUUGGACUGUAGGUUAAUUCUCAAAAAGAGAAGGGGCUCUUUAGCAAGAUGACCUAGCCGAAGGGGUAUCAGCUUCUCCUGUCUGUUGGAUUAAAAGAGGAUGGCUUAGAUUUGGUUGGAGAGGAGAAGAUGAUGACUGCCGGCCAGAACAGUGUCACUGCAGCGGCGCCAUGGCUGGAAGCUCACUAGGGCUCGUCGUUUUAGUGUUUUAGCGCACGAUUUGUGGAACCAAAAGCACAUGAAGCAAGAGGGGAGCAAGGGGAACUCACCUAGGGGAUUUACGACGGAAGAGGAUGAACGACGAUGGUGUACAGCACGAGGGGGCGGAUGAGAGCCCCCUGUGAUGUUUGGUGAUGUCGCACAGACUACUGGGGUCGAGGGAGAGUAAGGGAAGGAGCUUGGUGGCUUUGUCUUCUAGUUGCGAAGCUUGGCACCGACUCAGAAGCGUCGGCACGAUAGUGAUUAGUAAGAACCACAGUGGCAGGUGUACUCCAGCUCGGGAGAUCCCAAUUCUACGUCCAAGAGCUCAGGCAGCGCUUACAUAAAGUAGAUGAAAAAGGGUGUUGUAGGCGAAUAUCCAUGGCUUAAAAGACGUCGGUUGAACGCAUUAGGAAAGUAAUUCCCCGAAGAUAUUGGAAUUGGGAUGCCGAUUUCACCUGGUCUGGAGUCUGGCUCUCCCACGCCCAAGGAAGGAGAAGACGAUGUCGCUAACAGGUGGUGUCCGAUGUUAGUGAGGGAGAAGGGAGGGAGAAGGCGCGUGCACUGGGCCAGCUGCUAGGCCUGAGAGGGGAAAGGUACGCUGGGCCAAGCGGGCGUAGAAAGGGGGAGGGGUGUCCACACGGCUGGCUAGGUCAAAUGAUCUGGGCCGCCACUGGGCUGAGACCGCGUAGUUGGGAUGAAGACAGGGCAGGCCAAGAGGGAGAGAUGGAGUGGGGCUUCGAGCCAAAAUUGCGAGGGAGAGCUUUUGUUUUUUAUUUUGUUUUUCUUUUAUUCAAAAGCCAUUUCAAAUCCAUUUUAAAAUCUGUUUGAAAUAUUUUUGAAUUUUGGUUAAAACCACUCAUCUAAAAAUUACAAAUGCACCAGCAUGAAUACACACAAUUGUUGCUAAGCCUUAUAAUAAAUUUUAAUUUAAAGAAAAAUAUUAUUUUUCCUAUAUUUCAUUAGCACAAAAAAACUUAAAUAAAUCAUUUUACCUCUAUUUACAAGGAAACAAAUUUUAGGGUGUUACAAUCACAUAUAUAUAACUAGAGCACUCAAUACGAGCGAAGAUCACAUGGCAAAGUAUAACAACUAUACUAACCAUAUGAAAGGCAUAGAAGUAAAUAGAGAAGAUAAUAUUUUAAAGCAAAGUCUUACAAAGAUAAGAUACAAAGAUAUAUCUGUCUCUGAAGAUUUCUCUAGAACCUAAGCAUUGGCUCAACUCUCCCUAACUCUCAACUAGAUCUAUUCUACUACAUUGGAGAGAUAUGAAUUUGAGUUUCAAGGAUGCCUCCAGAGAGGGGGGUAGGGGUCUCCUUAUAUAGUCUAGUGGGAUGAAUGUGAGCCCUUGGAUCAAACUGACUUUAAGGUAUGGUGGAAUGCAUCCUAGGAGGUAGUGGAGGAAGCUUCCACAAGCCAGAGGCGAGCGGCUUGUGUGGGAGGCCAGCCAGUCUGGGCUUGAGGUUGGCUGGCCCAUUUCUAGGUCCUUUGAGGCCCAUCUUUGGUGGUUUGUCUUCUAGUGCCUUUUAAAGCCUUCCCACGUAUGUGUUGCACUUUAAUUUUGAAUUUUCCUUUCACAAAUAAGUCCCCCUUGGUGGUUUUGUAGGUAAAUCCUGUAGAGAUCAUAGAUUCAUCAAAACUCAUGAAAUUUGUUAGUUUAACUCUAAACCUUUGUUGGUGAUCUCAAUGUGCUCCUAUGCAUGUUUAUUUAACAAUAAAAUGUUGGUGGUAACCACUGUCAACAACUACUGAGCAUCUUUAGUCGACACCAUGCAACAUGGUUUCAAAGUUUGCAUAGAUUAAGCUUGAUUGCUUUAGAUUUUUAUAGCCAAAUUCAACCACCCCUCUUAUGCCAUUCAGUCCUUACAACCAACACAAAUUAAUUAAGGCUAUGUUUGGUUAAGCUUCUAAAAAGUGCUUCUGGGACCAAAACGCAUGAAGCCAACCAAAUAGGUGAAACCUAAAGUUGCUUUUGUAGAUGUAACAACUUCCGUGUAGUAUAACUUUUCUCAUAAGAGAAGCUAUGGGAGUUUUCCUCAUAACUUCUGCUGAAAGCCCAAGUUUGGUUUUGGUAAUUAAUGACACCAAGUUGCUAAUGUCUUGUGUUUAAGUGAUUUAAGUUAGGCAUAGCAACACAUGUGAUGAAGGAGAAAUAUGACAUGUAGUGGGAGACACAUGAACACAAAGAGAUGAAGCAUGAAGUGGAGAGAUCAUGGUGAUAGACAAGGAGUAAAAUGAUCAAGGCAAAGGUAUAAAUAUAGGAUUUUGCUUUUGUCGUUCUAAGUUGAGUAGAGAAGUGAUUGACCGGAUUUAGGAUAGAUAGCCGACUAUCAAGAGGGGAAAUCAUGGUCAUCUCUCGAAUCAAGUGCUACUAGGUUCAUAUAUUGAGCAUAUGCAUUAGGAUCUAGUAAAGUGCUAACCUAACUUCUUUGAUGAAAAUGUUUGUGAAAUGCUAACACACAUGCACAAUGGUGCUGGUCACUUGGUGGUGUUAGCACAUUUGUAAAGGAGGUGGAGUUUCUAGGGUAUAGAGGGGUUUGGGUUCCACUCUCCCUCCUGCUUGUGAGGCGAGAUUCGGUGCUUUCAGAAAAAUGGAAUGCAUAUUUUCUAUUGCGCCGAAGCAAUUUUUUAAAAAAGUCACGUGAGUGUUUUCCACUAAGAAACACUCAUCAGACGCUGGGUCAGACAACAUCGAACGCUGAGGCCGCGUCUAACGAGUGCAACGCAGUAAGGCACGAAUAGUCAUGUGCGUCGGAGCGUCCGAUGGGUUUGCGUUAGACGCGGCUCCGACACUGUUCCCGCAUCUGGUGAGCUAGUGAUGUCAGCAAGCAUGCGAGCCAGUUUUUGUGGCUGUGAGCGUCAGACGCCAGGGAGCAUCUGCUGAUGACGUGUCGGACGCGUCCGACGACCCUAUGAAGUUGUAGACCUCCCUAAGUUGCAUCCGGCGUGAUGUACCGUGUCCGAUGCGCUAGAGAUUAACGGUCCAUGUUGAAAGAGCGACACAUGGCAGCGAUCUAACCAACAUUGGGAGUGAGUGUCGGACGCUUUGCCUCGUUCGACAGGUAGGCAUCAGAGCGUCCGAUGCCCCCACAGAAAGCCCUAAUGGCUAGUUGUCAGGCUGACCUCUUUAAAUAUAAUGUGGCCGACCUUGGGGGAUCUCCUCUUACACUCUUGAACACUUAAGGCAUACUUUGAGCUAGUGAACACUCCCUGCACUCAUCUCCUUUCUUGAUUGCUAAUCCUAGUGAGAUUGAGUGAGAUUCAAGUGCAUUGCUUAGUGAGUUGCAUCUAGUGGCACUUGAUCCUUGAGUUUGCUGUGGAUUUCUUAUUACUCUUGGAUGUUUCCUGACACCCUAGACGGCGUGGAGUAGUGGAGGUGUUGAGCUCAUGAUUGGAGAUUUUUUUGAGCCUCACGAAGUGAUUUGUGAGGGGUUCUUGAGCCUUCUCUGUGGGAUAUUGCAAUUGGCUACUCAAGUGGAUUGCUCGUGGCUUGGAGGAUCCCCAUCUUCUGUGCAGCACCCACUGAGGGUUUGCCUUUGGAUUGCCAAUUAAGCCUGUGAUCCAUGAAGUGGGUGUAUCACCACAACAAGGACUAGCUUGCAGGGAAGCAAGUGAACCAUGGUAAAAAAAUAUUGUGUCAUCUCUUGCCAAGGAUUCUCUCUUGUGAAUGUGAUUGUGAGUGAUUGAUUGGAUAUAUCUCUACUCUACAACGUCAGUAUAAUAAUCACUCCCCACUCCUUUACUUACUUGCAUACCUUGCUAAUUGUUUAGCUUGUGUAGCCUAGUCUUCUUGUUUAGGAGUGUAGCUAGCCCUUAUUUGUGAUUUAUUAUUGUGACUUAGUGUUUAGCUUCUUGCUAGAAUUGUGUAGGUGGCUUACAUAGCUUAGUUGUGCUAGUGCUAGAAUAGCUUUGCCAUUUGUUUGUAGAAAAUUUAAAUAGGCUAUUCACCCCCGUCUAGCCAUUUGGACCUUUCACCUACCCAUAAUUGGCAGGAGGAGAAGAUACAGAAGAAACUCUCUCAUAACUUUUCUCGUUACUUUCCUCGUUAGGGCUAGAAACUCUUAAAACUCCUGUAAUUUCUCUCAUUACUUUCCUCAUUAGGAGGAGAAACUCCUUCCUCCUUACUUUCCACAUUAGGGGCAAAAACUCCUAAAACUCCCAUAUCCUCUCUCAUUAGGGACACAAACUCCUAAAACUCUUGUAAAGGGGAAUAAUUUUGUAACUCCUACCCAUAAUUGGCGGGAGGAGAUGCUACGAGAGUUUUCCUCAUUACUUUCCUCGUUAUGGGUAGAAACUACUAAAACUCAUCAUCGCCUUCCCUCAUCAGGGAUAGAAACUUCUGAACUUCUGUAACUUUCUCAUUACUGAUUCUUCUUUGCCUCAUUAGGGGCUUGUUACUUUAUUCCUCCUCAUUAUGGGCAAAAACUCCUAAAACUCCCUCAUUGAACUCCAUCUCCCUUAUUGACUUCCCUUAUUAGGGGCAAAAACUCCUAAAACUUUCAUAACUUCCCUCAUUACUGGUUCUUCCUCAUUAAGGUUAGAAACUCCUUCCCUCAUUAAGGACUCAUCACUUUUUUCCUCAUUAGGGGCAGAAAACCAUUUCCUCAUUACUUUCUUCCUCAUUAGGGGUAGAGAUCCCUUCCCUCAUUACCUUAUUACUAUCUUCCUCAUCUCAUUACUUUCUUCCUCAUUAGGGGCAGAAACUCUCUUCCCUCAUUAUCUCAUUACUUUCUUCCUCAUUAGGGGCAACAACUCUUUCCAUCAUUACUUUCUUCAUCAUUAGGGACAAGAACUCCUUCCCUAAUUACUUUUUUCCUCAUUAUAGGCAGAAACUCCCUUCUCUCAAUAUCUCAUUACUUUCUUCCUCAUUAGGCCUUUUCUUGUCAUGUGCAGAAACUCUUUCCCUCAUUACUUUCUUCCUCAUUAAUUAGGAGGUAGAAACUGCCUUCUCUCAUUACAUCAUUACUUCCUUCCUGAUUAGGGGCAUAACUCCUUCCCUCUUUACUUUCUUCCUCAUUAGGGGAAGAAACUCCUGAAACUCCCUCAUUAACUUUCCACUUAGAGGUAGAAACUCUUGUAACUUCCCUUAUUACUUUCUUCCCCGUUAAGGGUAAAAACUCCGUCCCUCAUUACUUUCUUCCUCAUUAGGGGCGUAAAGUUCUUCCCUCAUUACUUUCUUCCUCAUCAAGGGCAGGGACCCCUUCCCUCAUUACUUUAUUCAACAUUAGGGGUAGAAACUCCCUUCCCUCAUUACUUUCUUCCUCAUUAGUUUUCUUCCUUAUUAGGGUAGAAACUUUUCUCAAUCAUUGUCCCAUCCCAUGUAACAUAAUUCUAACCUUGUCUACAUUCUUGGCAGUGGCAGAGUGGUAGGUUUAGAUAGCGAAGAGAGCCUACACUACUGUGAUGGCGGCUAGCGGGAAGGCAGCACCGAUGCUAGGGCUUCUGCUGCUGUUGUGCUUGCUCUGCCAUGGGGCAGCACAGCGGUACAAUGCCAUCUGGAACUUUGGUGACUCCAUCUCCGACACCGGGAACCUCUGUGUGGGUGGGUGCCCGGCCUGGCUCACAAUGGGGCAGCCGCCCUAUGGGGAGACCUUCUUCCACCGCCCCACCGGACGCUGCUCUGAUGGCCGCGUCAUUGUUGAUUUCUUGGGUAUGUGACUGCAUGGUGUAAAUUGUAGCUACACUAGCCUGCCUAUGUGUAUACUAGCAGGGAUGAAACAAACUGGUUGUGACCCGCGUCAUCUGCCAACGCCCUGUGGGCUCUCAGACUAGACUAACUGGUACUGUGGUACGUACAUGCAGCUGAGCACUUUGGUCUGCCGCUACCGCAGGCGUCGAAGGCCAGCGGCAACUUCAAGAAGGGUGCCAACAUGGCCAUCAUCGGCGCCACCACCAUGAACUUUGACUUCUUCAACUCCAUCGGACUUAGAGACAAGAUUUGGAACAACGGGCCGCUCGACACCCAAAUCCAGUGGUUCCGCCAGCUCCUCCCCUCCGUCUGCGGGAAUGGUACGUAAAUCAUAAAUCGCGGUGAAAGCAGAAAAUCGCAUUCGCAUGAUUACGCCGUACUUUGUUAUUUAUGAUUUAUGAAUUGCAUGAAACAGACUGCAAGAACUACCUGUCCAAGUCGUUGUUCGUGGUGGGCGAGUUCGGGGGCAACGACUAUAAUGCGGCGCUCUUCUCUAGGCGGUCCAUGGCGGAGGUGCGAGGCUACGUUCCUAGGGUCAUCACCAAGCUCAUCCACGGCCUGGAGACGAUCAUCAGGAGGGGAGCCGUGGACGUGGUGGUUCCCGGGGUGUUGCCUAUCGGCUGCUUCCCCACCUAUCUCACCCUCUACGGCACCUCGAACGCCGCCGACUACGACCGCGAUGGCUGCCUCCGGAGCUACAAUGACCUCUCCAGCUACCACAACGCGCUGCUGAAGCGGAGCCUCUCCAGCCUGCGGAGGACAUACCCGCACGCUCGGAUCAUGUACGCUGACUUCUACACACAGGUCAUCGACAUGAUCCGGACCCCUCACAACUUUGGUCAGUAUACAUACACUACUACCUUUAAUUUAGUUUUAUUUAAGAUGUCCACUUUUCUUCCUAUUGCUUCGGUCUAUCCAUGCAUUUCGCUACUAGACAUCAGGUUGGAGUAUAUAUGUUGGAAUAACAUUCCAGUCAAUUUUUAAAAGAAAGACAGAAAAACCAUUGUACUAUUAGCUGACAACCCUGUCCAGAGCAGGAAGGUAGGCAAAACAUCACAAAAAUCAUUCUUCUGCUGAUAUUUUAGUUAGCACACACUCUUGUUUGAACUUUGGCUUUGUGUCCUUGCUAGAAUCCAGUUGGCGUACGGGAGUUGAAGUCUUAGUUAUCACGGAAUGUGUAGUGUAGCACAUAGGCAGCACAGCACUGGAAAGGGAUAGAUCCAAAGCGUGGAUGUUGGCAGAUACAGAUGUAAAGAGAGCUACGUGCAUGUUUAAAUUUUUACUUUUGGAUUCUUAGCCCACCAGUGACUCAUCCUCUGGUCAAUUAAUUAUGACCUUUGUCCAAACAAUUUGGGAAUCAAUACCCACCUAAUUGAUCCAGUUUGCAUGCGUAUUAUUUAUCCAUCAUACUAAUAAUUACGAUGGAACAUGUAUGUGGUAUAAGAAUAGGAUGAAAGCCUGUCAUUGACACCAUGGUGUCAUAGAUAUCAUCUUAUAAAGCACUGUGUAAUAUACUGGUCACAAAAGCCACCUGCUGUAAUUGGCAAAGAUACUCCCACAUGUAACAUAACAAUUCCUAGCAACUUAACAGAUCCCUUCUUUCUAUGCACUGUUUUAUCUUAAAAUGUUUCUCAAAGGUUAUUACUGUUCAGUCACUGACGGGGAGCACGCUAGCGCUCAUUCUGAGGCGGUAUUCUUUAUUAACUGUAAUGUAAUCAGCCUAGCUAAUAUAAUGAUACCUAGUACGUGUGAUCGACACUUGCAGGGCUCAAGUACGGGCUGAAGGUCUGCUGCGGCGCCGGUGGGCAGGGCAAGUACAACUACAACAACAAUGCGCGGUGUGGCAUGUCCGGGGCCAGGGCCUGUGCUGACCCGGGCAACUACCUCAUCUGGGAUGGCAUCCACCUCACGGAGGCGGCGUACCGCUCCAUCGCCGAUGGCUGGCUCAAGGGCACCUACUGCAACCCUCCCAUUCGGCACUGAUGAGCUAGCUAGCUGGGGGAGUUAAUAGCUAGCUACAUUCAUGCGUGUGUUGUUUGGGCUAAUUGCCAUGUGCAUCAUCAUCUCCUUGUCCUAGGUUCAUACACAGUGAUGAGUAGUGGUGGGUUUGUUAUUUGGUUGUCCAUUAUUCACGGGAAGUAGGUGGUUUCGAUGUGCUGGGGACAAUGAAUAAAUGUGUAAUGGACAGUUUGCAAAAAAAUUUUGACGCAAAAAUACUGUGGGGGAGAUCCCCACAGUGGUUUAUAUUGAUUAGAUUAAAAAAUUACACAAAAAAAACAAGCCUGUAUUUACUAAAAGCAUCAAGCCAGAAACAAAAUGAGGACCUAAGGUCCGUCUUGAAACGAAAGGACUUAUCAAUACAUUGAUUCCCAAAAUUUGCUAGCCAAACUCCUUCCAAAGUUCCUAAGCUGCUAUAAGCACGACAGUAAAGAAAGGCAGCCCUUGUGCAUCCUUUUCUUUUACAAACCUUACUUGAAGCCGGAUUGACGCAUCCUAGUUGAAGUUGAUGGUACACCAGCAUUGUUGCACAAAGGGGUAGGAGAAGAAUAGAUGUUCAAUAUCCUCGUCCAUCCCGGCGUUGCACAUAACACACAGCAUGUCAUCUUGGAUGUUCAGAUGUCUUCUCCUUAGUAUGUCCUUAUUCAGGCGAUCUACUAGGACUGGCAAAGCAAAAAAAUGAUCCGCGGGGCACAGCAAGAUAUACAUAUCAUGUUAUAUAUUGGAUGUGCUUCGAUCCACUACACUGAAGACAAGGGCAUAGGACUUUCUUGACGUAUACUGAGGCUCCUAGGUUGGCUCCCAUGAAUCUACUGAAUCAUCAUCGUAUGGAAUUGCUUGGAGGUGGUCUUGCAAGAGCUGCAGUUCAUCAUAGGCCUAUACCACCGGCGGUAGGAAAAAAUAUCGUCCAGAUUUUUCUAUUUCCAUGACUUCUUGGACUGACAUUCCUUCAUUCGUAGCAAAGGAAUACAACUUGGGAAAUUCUGUGGACAACAUUGUGUUCGACCGACAAUCUUCCUAGAAACAAACCGUUGAGCUGUUAGUCUGUUACUGAUCAUGCAUUUGGCAAUGCCAUGGUAAAUGUGUCGCAAUAUGUCACGCCACUAGAAUGACCCAACCUCUUGAGACGUAUGCGGUGUUACCGAUAAAUAUUCGGGUGAUCUCAUCUCGUCAUAUUCUUCCCACAGGGAUCUAUUAUAAUGGCUCGAAGGUGGAGAGGAGUUCUCCCGUGAAGACCGCUUUGCCUCCGAGACUUCCCCCAUGACUCCGUACGUGCCCGUAAAGACCAGUUCUUCCUCCAGGACUUUCCCCACGACUCAUCGUGGGAUCGUGAUUACUUGGGAAGAGUUUCCCCUUCCCCCUCAACCUAUAUAAAUGCCGAUCAAUGCAAUAAAGAAAGAUACCUGAGUUCAUUACUUCCUCCCUGUUGUUCUCGUACUUUACAUUCUACUCGCAACACGUUAUCAGCACUUCGCUCCUCCCUUCCCCAGUGAGGAAUAGCUCGGUUGGUGUGAACAUCAUCGAGGGAUCGACCUUCAUCUCGAGGUAAAAUGCCAUUACCUCGCUGUAAUUUUGCCUCUACGGCUUCCCUCGUCCUACAAAUCGUCUGGAUGGUGAUCAACCAUGCCCGUACCUUGGGCAUCCACUUUGGCAACAACCGCAUUCAGACAGAAUUCCUGCAGGUCAUCCGGAAAAUCCGCGGAGAGCCUUGCGGCUAUCGCCUUCGGGGCAAACGUCGUGACCUCGGCAGGAAUCCCGAGCAUUUCCCUAUAGGAUGUCAUUUCGGAGGUCACCGACGUGCGAACAUCACUCCUCUAUCGCAGUGUUUGGUGGUGUCAUCUGCGGCUCCGCCUACGGCACCAUCGCCAAGGGCAUCGACACCGUCCUCGUUUCUAGCGCUGACUCCACCGGCGCCUCCAGUGUCGGUCCUCGCAUUGCCGGCUCCACUCCCGCCAAGGUGCCCGCUUCAUGGCGACAUCCUGUACCCACCACCAUCACCAUCUAUGGUGACCAGCCAGCAAUAGCUGUCACUGGGCAUAGAGCCAUUGUCGCCUAUCCGGUACUCGACGCCAACGCCGUCACCCGAGCGGGCUGCACACAGUCCGCCUCCAUGCUGUCCAUCUCCACCGACAAUCGCGGCGCGGAUGUCGCACCGACUCAGCUGCCAGCGUACUUCGUCAACCAGUGGCGAAUCCAGCUCGAGAAAUGACCUAGGGCGGACUUAUACUAUAAAAUUUUGGCAAAACUAAUGGCAAUAUAAGCUAACAAAUUCCAUAAGUUGCUUUGGCAACAUAAUUAUUUGAAGUAUAUAUUUUCUACAUUAAAAUUAGAGAAAUUUGUUCCUUAAAUUAAGAGAAGCCAUACAUACUAAUACUAAUAGUUCUAAACUGACUUCACCAAAUGAUUGGAUGAUUCAUCCUUAAUCAAAUUUUAAACAAUUAACUAUGUGAAAAAGGCAAAUAAAAAAUAAAGAUACCUGCAGCCCAGCGCAGGUUCUUAGGUUCCGCAAGUUUGUGAAUUAACGAAAGAGAGGACCAGAAAGUCAGAAGUCGAGAAUAGCGAGAAACCUGAGAAAGGCCGAUCGUAUUUUUAUUGCGAUUUGUGGGCUGCGGUUUUCUAUAUGGGCUGAACCAUUACGUUUAAGAUGUCUUCAACCACUGUCAGAUAUUCUAGGAGUCUCUUUUUAUUUUGUACUAAUGUCUAAAAUUUUUAUAGAGUUUCAGAUUAACCCUAAGAGGACCUAGGGCGGCCGCCCUGGCUCGCCCUAGUGGUGGAUCCGCCUAUGUCGUCAACCAGGCGCUUACUGCUCCACAACCACCACGGCCACCUCCUCCCUCGUGACUCCGCCGCACAUGGAUCAACGUCCUCCAUGGGCCUUCGGCUCGGGGAUGCGCUCCUCCUUACUGAGCUCGUCCAUGGGGAAGGGGGAGGAGGUGGUGGUGAUGUCAUUGCGCGCCAUGGCCACCUCCAUGUGGCCACGGCACUCGGUUUGCGCGCGGCCUCGGUGCCAUACCACAGCGAGGUGGCACCAGACUAUCUCAUAGCCCCACUCGGCCCGUCUACGCGGUACGGCGGCCCCUGAACCUCGACGGCCAGCUCCCAGGCAAGCACGUGUGCCUCCUCCGGAUAGCACCACGGUGGCCUCCUUUCCACUAGCGCCCACCUAGUUCGGCUCUACGGCCAAGGUGGCCUGGCAUAGUGGCGCCCACGACGGCUGGCCGACCCCCACGCCACAGCCUUGUGCGGGGGCGUGCCCAGGCACACGGCCAUCUCCGCAUGACACUCCUAGUGGCCCGGCCGAGCACACCUCGACACCACAACCUCGGCUCCCCGCGCGGCCGCGCAUCGCAAGCACGUGAGCUCGCGGCUCCUGACUUGCACGACGCUCGUGUGCGGCCUCCCCUGCGUGGCUCACGGCCCCACAUGGUGUGCACGAAGGUGGGGCCUACAGGCCUGCACAAGAAGGGAGGAGUCAUACCUCCUGCUGGCGACGGUGGUUGGAGCCAGGGCCCUGGCUGGCGUUGACGGCUGGUGGCUGGGGGCUUGGGUUUGGAAACCCUAGCCCCUGGCUAUAUAUGUGCCCCCUUCCCAAUUGGGCCAAAUUGGUGGCCCAAGUUCAGGAUGGGGCCUGUGAGCUUUCAGCCUGGGCUAGUUAUCAUUGGCUUUUUUAUUUUUAAAUUAGCUAAUUUAGUUUAUUUAUUUAUUUACAUAGAAUUUAUUUUUCAUUCCCCAAAUUACAUCAACUAGUUAGUCUAAUUUUAGACACUAAUAUACAUUGCAUUGUAAAUAUUUUACAUUUCACAAUCAUAUUAUGAAAGACAAAUUUUGGUGCAUGUCGAACGCGUUGUUUUUACAAUUCCCUAUCACAUACACAUAUAAAUAUAUUUAUGGUCAUAUUUUUCUCUCUAUUUGGAACAUUUUUUUACUAGACGUUACCUUGCUUUAAUGCUAAUUUUGUGACCAUAAGGUAGUACUCAUACUACUGCAGGAUUUAUUCCUCAAAGUGCUCUCCCAAAAUUAAUAAUAAACAUAUAAGGACUACAUCACAAUGUGAAAAAUACAAAAUGGUCUACGCCCUUAUGGUGACUACCUAUGUUCCAUAAAAUGAGAAAUUAAAAUACCAUAAAAACACAUGCAAGUUACCUUGCUUCACAUAAACAAGUUUACCUUGUUAUUUAUAUACAUAAUUUUACAUUGCUUUACAUACGCAAUUUUACAUUAGUUUAUAUACGCAAUUUUACAUUGUUAUAUAAAUAUGCAAUUACAUGCUUGUUAAUUCUACAACCCCAAAAUAAAUUAAAUUUAUGCAAAUAAAAAAGGAGGCAAUGGCCACCAAAGAGUUUGAUGCCCAAGUUUCUUCUAAGAAGGAAUUUGCCGAGCUAGCUCUUAAUGGACACAACUUUCAUACAUGGGCGAUGGAUCUCAAAGUGAGUCUAUCGUUACACGGAAUAUACAAGGCAACUAACACUCCUAAAUAGGGAGAUGCUCCAUUGUUUGAGCCAACCAAGUACCAUGCCUUAUACAUAAUAAGGAACCAUGUCUAUACAGAUCUUAAAGUUGAAUAUCUAAUGAAAGAGGACCCACAGGCUAUCUGGCUUGCUUUGCAACAAUGGUAUGAGCAAGAAAAGGUUGUUAUCCUCCCGGACGCCACUCAUGAGUGGAACCACUUCCGCAUUCAAGAUUUGAAAUUUGUGAAUGAGUAUAAUCAUGUCAUGCACAACCUCAGUUCUGAACUGAAGUUUUGUGAAAAGGAGCCAUCUAACUUGGAGAAAAUUGAAAAGACUUUGUCUACCAUGCUUCCCACACAAAUGAUCCUCCAAUAGAAAUACCAUGAAAGGGGAUUCACAGACUACUAUGAUCUCAUUAAAACAUUACUUCAGACUAAGAGGCACAAUGAGGUCCUCAUUUGGAACCCCAAUCAAGGCCCUAUCGGUGUCAAGCCCUUACUAGAAGUACAUGCUAAUGCUCAGAAACAGACACCAAAGGAUGCCAACAAGAAUGGCAAUCCUAGAUCCUCCAAAGGCAAAAACAAGCUCAAGGGACCCCGUAAGCCUCGAGGUGCUAAGGGCAAGGACAACAUCUUGAAGUUGAAAGACAAGUCCUUGACUUGUACAAAGUGUGGUUGUUACAACCACCCGACUAAGAAAUGUCACACCCAAAUGCACCUGGUGGAACUGUACUUACAUCCAUGGGACGAGGACACUCCAAUCAAGGACGCUCCAACCAAGGUGGACAACCAUCCGAAGCAUACUUCAACGAUCUGGCAGCCCUAGGAUGUUCCAACCCUACCCCAGCGGGACCGAGCAACACAAUGGCUCCUCCUCCACCUGAUGGCAUGACAAAUGACUCCAGCAACAACAUGAUCAUCGAAUAUACUUUUGAUGAUCCGUUUGGUGACUUCAACUAGAUUGAUAGUCAGUUGAGAUUUUAAUUUUAUCAUUCGUCUCUGGUAUUGUAAUAAUUAACAAUUUGUUUUUGCUGCACACUUUUUGAUAUUUAUUGACUUAUGUACAAUUUAAUAUCAAUAUAUGUUUAUAUUUCAUAUAUAUUCAUGUUGAGAAUUUCAUUCUCUACUAUAUUCUCCACUUUUUAGAUUGUACGGGAGUCAAUCUGAUGGAUGGGGAAAUAUGCCUAGUGGAUAGUGACACCACUAACUCUAUACUCACGGAAAUAAAAUAUUUCCAAACUCUCACAAAGAGCAAAGGAAAUGUUUUAAUAAUCGUUGGACGCAAUGUCGUAAUAGUAGGCUUUGGACGAGCCACUAUUAACCUCCCUAUGGAUACAACGAUCACAAUCGAGGAUGCACUCUUGUAUCCCGAUUCAACUCGUACCUUAUUGAGUUAUAGAGAUAUCCACAAAAAUAGGUAUCAUAUUGAAGCCCAUCACCAAAAUAAUGAGUAGUUCCUCCUCAUUAGUAGAGAUACUCUCCAAAGAAUUCCCUCAACUUCGUCUGGAUUGUACUACUCAUACAUAAAACCCAUACAACAUGUUGCGUAUAAAGUAAUUUUUUAGAAUAUCAAUGCAUUCCAAACUUGGCAUGAUCGCCUUGGUCACCCUAGCAUAGGGAUGAUGAGAAAAUUACUAGCAGUUCUGUUGGUCACUCGGUAACCAAUGCAAAAUUUCUCCAAUCCUCAUAUUAUAAUUGCACCGCAUGUGCAACUGGGAAAUUAAUUUUGAGGCCCUCUUUCCUCAAAAUAAAGGUUGAACCACUCAACUUCCUUGAACGCAUUCAACGGGACAUAUGUGGUCCGAUAAAUCCUUUAUCCAGACCGUUCAGGUACUACAAGAUUCUAAUAGAUCCAUCUACACGAUGGUCUCAUGUGUCUCUUCUAUCGACAUAGAACUCAAAGUGCAACAUCCUAAACAUCAAAUCAAAUUCAUUAGGAAGGACAAUGUUGCUGAAUUUUCCUCUUGUGCCUUCAAUGACUAUUGUUUGGCCUUAGGAAUCCAAGUACAGCAUUCCGUCCCAUAUGUCCAUACACAAAAUGGGUUAGUCGAGUCUCUCAUCAAGAGAAUAAAGCUCAUUGCUAGACCACUAUUGCAGAAUUGCAAUCUACCAACCUCAUGUUGGGUCAUGCAGUCUUACACGUUGCUAACUUGAUUCAAUUGUGACCAACUGCAUACCAUGCAAUGUCCCCAUUGCAACUAGUACAUGGAAAUCCCCCAUGCAUUUCCCAUCUGUGAAAGUUUGGUUGCGCUACAUACAUAUACGUACCGAUCUCACUACCGAAGCGUACAACAAUGGGCCCCUAUAAAAAACUAGGGAUCUAUGUGGGAUACAAAUCACCAUCGAUCAUAAAGUAUCUAGAACCCACCACAGGAGACCUCUUUAUGGCCUAGUACGCUGAUUGUAUCUUCAAUAAAGAUCAUUUCCCAGCAUUAGGGGAGACUUAUCACAUCACAAACAAUGGUAGGAAAUCAAUUGGGAUGUCCCAGACAUCUCCAACUCAGAUCCACAUACUUCAAGUUCAAAAAAUCAUCAAUUUGCACCACAUUGCAAACAACAUGUCAGACACAUCUACUAAUUAUAAGGGUGUUACAAAAUCCUAUAAUCCAGUGAGAAAUGUAUCGGAAAGAGUAGAGGUACCAAACAAAACUACUCAACUCCCAAGUAAGAGGGGGAGAAGUAUGGCUAUCUCCAUGGAUGUAGCUUCUAGCAAGCAAAGGGAACGGAAAACCAAAUCCUCUGACCCAAUAAAUGCAACUUAACCUCAUUUUGAGGAACACCUAGUGGAGGUUCAACCUUCACAUCUGCAGAUGUGCAAAGGUGGGGUCCAUAGGCAUAAUAUCAUAUAAGAAUUCAUAAGUUACCUUGGCCAUUAGGCUGACGCCCAAUCCAGUGUCAUAGACAGUGUUGUAGAAGUAACAUCUGUUGAUGGAGUAUAGAAUGGUCACGACACCAAGAUCAUCCUUCUUGAUCAGAUGCGGAGACUUGAGCAGGUGGUCAUACUCCCUAUGGACUGCAGUGACCAUCCUUGUUGUCUUCAUCUUCUAGGCCUUCUUCUUGCCCUUGUUCUUGAUCUUAGCCCUAUUCUGGGUGUUGCUCUUGUUCCUACCGCCGACAGUUUCCUUAUGAGUAGGGAAUGAUAAUGUCCUAUUCUUGAAAGAAAAGGCUUCCUUGUUGCCCUUAAUGUUGAAAGUAAUCUUGGCAGUACUGGCGUUGAUAAUGGCUCCAGCAAUGUUCAAGAAUGGACAUCACAAAAUGAUAGGUGACCUCUCAUUAGUGCCUGUGUUCACUACUGUGAAGUCUACAAGUACGUAUGAGUUGACUACUCGCACGCAGAUCUCUUCUAGUAUUCCCAUGGGGUAGCAGAGUGACUAGUCUGCAAGCUGCAAACACAUGGUUGUGUAUGAUAAAGGAAUAUUCAAAAGUUUUUUGUAUAUCACCUUAGACAUUAUGUUGACGCUUGCACCAAAGUCACAAAUUGCCUCUUUGAAGUUUGUACUUCUAAUGGAGAUUGAAAUAACCGGCCUCCCUAGAUCACCUUUCUUAAUUGGCAGAGUGUUGGUAUUUCUUAUGCACAAUUAAAAUAUGAAGGAUUCCGCAAGCGCACAAAAGACCAUUGUAGCAUUUUACCGGGAGUAUUCUAGGUAUCAUUAUUUAUAUUUUACCACUAGGAAACAAUGGAUAAAGAUAUUGAUAGUUCACCAUCAUGUAUCUACUAACUAAUACACCAACUAGACUAGAGUAGGGGUAAAUAUUAGAUGAUAGGAAUUAUGCAUAUAUGACACACCAGAGAAUUCUAUGAUAAAAGAGUAGAUAGCUAAAGUGAGAGUUUAAGGUUCCCAAAUACUUCUUUAUUACUAGGGUUCUAUAAUAACUAAUUCAUGGUAGGUAAAGCAAUCACACAAUAACACUUCGGGACAUCAGAGCACCUAGCCACAGACAGAUGAGAAGGGGGGUAGGACGGUCUAAUUACGGUCCUACAACACCAAUCCAAACGUGGUGGAAUACAUUGGCCGUCAGGGCUGUCACCACCUGGGGCUACCACAACUAUCCGUAGAACUGGGUGCAAUAUCAGGUAACCUAUAGUUUAGACACCAUGUCUCUACUACAAAUUACUACUCUAAUCACAAUUAAUAACUAGAGUACCCGAUACGGGCGGAGAUCCUAUGCUAAAAUAUAACGACUAUACUAACCAAUCAAAUGUAAUGCAUAAAAGUAAAUAGAAAAGAUAAAAUAUAUUAAAGCAUAAGUCUGAUACAAAGAUAUAUCAGAACUCUGAUGACUCCUCUGAAAGACUCCUCCAGAACCCGGGCAUAGCACCGCUCUCUCUAACUCUCAACUAGAACUAAUCUACUACAUUGGAAAGUUUAGCCUUAAUUCUCUAGAGGUGAGAGGUUAUCCAUUCGAGGGACGCCUCUACAUCUCCAUAAUGUGGUGCCCCUAGGGAGGGGGAUCUGCCUCUUUAUUUAUAGCCUAUAAAAGCCUCCCACCUCUUCUAGACAGGCGAUGUGGGACUAAUUCUUUCACCGUUUGCUCUGUUGGGCUAUUAUACAUCAACUUGGGUCUUUCAAUCAUCUCUCAUAUGAGCCCACUCAAGGGAGCAGCUUGGGGCGCCUAUCUUGGGCAUCUAUCACGCCAUAUGAGCCUCUUGUCACGUAAUGGGCCUUGCUUGGGCGUGAGGCCCAUUAGUGGUAAUUCUCCUUUAUUUGUAAAAUUAAUAACUUUUCACUCCGGACUCCAAAUAUAGCAAAUGAUAUGUCCGUUUCGAUCGUCUCGACAAGCCCGUCGCAAUAGUGUAGUCCAAAUCAUCAUUUGAUAUACUUUUAUUUAAUGGAAAAUUGCAUAUUUCUACAAAACAAGUCAGAACACCAAAACUCAUAGAACUCGUUAGAAUCAAACCCUACAACUAUGCUUUAUGGUUGAUAUGAUGUUAUAUUGAGCAAUAUUUGAUGGUAUAAAAUAGGCACUAAGGACCAUUAACAUAGAGUCAAGUCAAUCUAUGUUUCUCUCAGAGAGUCCUUCCAGUAAUUUCCUGCAUUAAAGAUGUCUACAAGAUUUGCAGUUUCUAAUUCUCCCGGUUAUCUAGGAACCUUACCUUGAACAUUGGUGGUAGCAAAAUGAGUAAGUUAUUGUAACUGAGAUUCUAGCAUCUUAUUAAAGCUAAGAUGAUUCUUAAUAGUAUUGGAAAAACUUUCCAUUCUAAUGUUAAUUGAUUCUAAAGUUUUAUCAUUAGAUGCUAGCUUCUUAGACAGGCUAUCCAUUAACUUGCCCUAAUUAAGCACUAACUCUCUUAAAGGUGUUUGAUUGGCAUUAUUGUAAGAAUUAUUACCUUGGUAAUUACCUGAGUAGUUAGGCCGCGGUUGCUGGUUCCAACCUUGAGGAUGGUAGUAGUUGUUGUUGUUGUUGUUGAUGAUGUAGUUCACAUCCUCCGUCAGCUCUAGACAGUUGGUACCCGUAUGCCCAAAUUCUCCACACUCUUCACAAGUCAUGCUGGAAUCAUAAAUGUGCGUGACUUCCUUCUUCUCAACAGUUCUUUUAUCAAGCCUUUUCAUUAGCAGGUCCAUCUUGGCUGACAGCAUAUCUACCUCCUUGAGCUGGUGCAUUCCUCCACCUCUCUUGCGGGUUUGAGUUCUCUCUUCACUCUAACCUUGAUUGGAGGCCAUCUUUUCCAUAAGAGCAGUGGCUUGAGAAAUGGUAAGUGAUAAGAAUGCACCUCUAGUAGUAGCAUCCAUGGUUUCACGAGUGUUGUUGUUGAGCCCAUGAUAGAAUGUCUGUAUGAGCAACCAAUUCUCCAUCCAAUGAUAAGGACACUCGUGUAUAUAGUCUUCAAAAUGCUCCCAAGCUUCUAGGACUAUCUCAUCAUGUUGUUGCUAAAAACUUGAUAUCUUCCCACGAAGAGCAUUGGUCUUUCCUGUGGGAAAGAAUUUUGCCACGACAUUGGUGGAACAUAGUGCCCACGUAGUAUAUAUUCUUCUCCUUAUUGGUGCAGAACCACUGCUUCGCUUUUCCUAAGAGUGAGAAUGGCAAAAGGCGAAGUAGUAUAGCAUCUCUAGGAAUGUCUUUGAUAGUGAAAGUGUUGCAGAUCUCCAGAACAUGUUGGAGAUGAGCACUAGCAUCUUUAUGGGCCUUUCCAUAGAACUAGCUUGCUUGCAUCAUGUUGAUUAGUGCCGACUUGAGCUCAAAUGACCCAUUAAUGUCCACAGCUGGUCCAGUACGGAUGUUGGCCAUAGUGGGAGCUGAGAACUCACGAAGUGACUUAUCAGACAUGACUUUAAGCUCUAGUGUCAAACUUUGAAUAGCAGGUUGAUCUUCUAAUUCAGGAGGAUUGGUAAGCUAGGAUGAUGAUGAUUUGAUUGGUUCCUUCUUAACUUAGCCUUUGUCUACCUGAUUAAUGUCUUUGGAUUGUCAAUGAAAUUAUCUAGGAGAUCAAACUUGCUCAUACAUUACCCUGCAUAUUAUAUACAAAAUAGAAAAAAAGACAAUGGUAAGUCUGCAUGAGUGAGAAGGGUGGAUGGUGCUCAAUCCAUGAGUGGAUGCAGUGAUGCUCAUUAUCCGUUGAUGCUCUCACCUUCCCCAGCAACAGUGCCAAAAUGCUUGUUGACACUUCUUAACACAAUUACUAUAAAUAGACUUUUAAACCUAUCCCUAGCAACGGCGUCAAAAUUACUUUACAUCACUUAAGCUAGGUUGUCAUCCCUAGCAUGAUGUAGAAGUGCUGGUAUUAAAUCUAUAUGCUUUUCUAGGGAAUAAAUAAUUAAAGGAUCCGCAAGCGCACAAAUAAUACCAAUGUAGCAUUUUAACCAGGAGUAUUCCAUGUAUUGUUAUUUAUAUUUUUACCACUUGAAAGGGACUUGCAAUGGAUAAUGAGCAAUGAGCAUUGCAUGUAGUCAUGAAGAUCUUAACCAUGUCUUUAUCUAUCUCUCAUGCAGGGUAAGUGUCACAUAAGAUAAAUAAUAUGAAUAUGAAUAAUAGGUGACAAAAGAUAAAGGAUAACAUAUAGCCACAUAUAAAUAUGAUAAUCAUCUCAAUAAAUUACUCUAAGUCUAUAACACUAGCAUGGACUAGGACGAUCUACAAGAAUAAAUCCUAAGCAUUCUAACUAUACUAUCAAAGCAUAUAAUAAUUAGUGCAAUUACACCUAGCAUCAUCGUAAGAAAAGGUUAUACUCAUGCAUAGUGAUAUUAGCAAGAAAGAUCAUGAACAUAGCAAUCACUUCCUUGUAAUAAUGGUGCUCUACUAUCCUUAUAAUUGGGAGGAGGACUACAAAGGACUCAACAGGACUAUUACUCCUGUGAUCUACCUCAGGCUCCGGACUAUAAGGGGUAAUCGCAGAUAAAUAUGGUCUAGGCACCUCGCCUACACAAUAUCUACCACUUACCCAUCGGCCUAAUGAGUAAGCGCUAUACGAUCCUAUGCAUAAACAUAAUUGUAAUCUAACUACGCUAAGCAUAUAAUCAAAGUAGACUAAUAACAAUAUAAUAGAGAACAUAAGCAAAUAGAAUAAAGUCAAUUCUGAUAUAAUCAAAUAGAUCAAAGUCAUAUUAAUAGUAGCAAGAACUAAUAUGAAUAUCACAAAGAAGAAUAAGAGUUUACCAAGAACGAAGAUAGAUCCGGACUCCAAGCUAGACUUGAUUCCUUCUAGAUCUAUUCCUAUAUAGCUAUGCUAUAAAACUAUAGAGAUCUAAUUGAGAUGGUGGCUAAUAACCCUAAAGAGACAGAUCCAUUCGAGGGACCCCUCUUUUGUCAAAUUCUGAAUUCCUCAGAGAAUAAUAAAUUCUUCUUCUGAAAUUAGGGUUUCUAGGGGGGUUAGGGUUGUAUUUAUAGGCCCUAGGAAGCACCACAGCCCUUGGAUCAAAGUGACUUAAACAUGCGCUCAAGAUUACUCCUCAAAGGCGGUGGAGGCAGGAUCUGUGAGGUGGCUUCUCAUUGGCUGAGAGGGCCGGGUGGCCACCCCUGGCUGUUGGCAUGCCUGCCCUUGGCUGGCAACCAGGGGCCCCCAAUUUGUAGGGUCGCCUUUUCGUGUCUUCUAGAGUAUUCUAGAGUUGAUGUUCACGUAUUCUCUCUAUAUAAAUCUGACAUGUGGAUCUCCUUUUGUUCUUAUUCUGAUAACCCCUGCAGAAAUAAACAAUCACCAAAACUUGUGAAAUUCUAUUAGUGAUAGCCCCUAUAGCUAGAUGAUAUUCUGAUUUUAGUCCUUUCUCAUGCUAAGUUGAUGGUAAAAAAAAGAGUACUUAUUGUUGAUAAUUGGGAACGCAAUAAGGAAUUGAUCCGCAAGCGCACGGAUAUCGGUGAGCACUUCACCCGAGAAAUUAUCUAGAGUAUCGUAUUUAUUUUUUUACCACUAGGAGAAAGAGUGCAUCUGACUAACCGGUCUAUUACUACUAACCCUUUAGGCAACAAAGAAUGUUUCUCGAUGUGAGUGAUAAAUAGAGAAGACUGCAACCGUAGUCUCCUUCUAACCUUGGUAAGGAUGAUCUACUGUUCUAUCGGGGAGGCUAACGGAAUCUAGACACCACAAAGGAUGUUCAACCCACACCUAUAAACCCUAUCCUUCCUACUAACGAGAUAUGGUCUGCAAAGGUAACUCGGAAUUGUCACGUUCCUCGCUACUACCACGGUCUAGCUAGUCAGGGAAUAUCUAUGAGUACCCCAGCAUAAACACCAAGUUUAUGCCAGCAAUGAUUACUCUAAACUCUACGCGAAGGGAUUAAAGUAAACUCAUAAACCAAAAGAACAAUAAAACAAGAACUUACUAGAAUUUAGAAGUCGAAAUACUGAAGAAUCCUAGGAGCAAGCUUCGGUUUAGGAGAACUUGAUCCCGCAGGUACAAGCUUGGAUUAGACACCGACAGGCCGGGCUUCCUCUAAUCUACACCUCCACUCUAUCUCUCUCAAUCUAGUAGAAACUAGAAGAUCUAUUUCUACUUUACAUUGGUUGCUAAGCCAAAAAAGAAAUAUUGUUUAGAGAAGAGGUUUUCCUUCGAGGGCACCCCUCAAUCUCUAUGAUAACUUCUUCUCUCCUCCAGGGGUCAGGAGGGUCUCCUUAUAUAGUCCUCCUCCUCUAUGCAUUUUUGGGACGGUAGGCGAUGUGGUACUAUGUUAUUCUUGAUCCAUUAGGUCGGUGGAACAUCGUGUGCGAAGAGAGUCCCGAACGGAGUACAGGAGGGGGCGGGCGCCCAGGUCCUCAGGGCGGGCGCCCUAGGCCUCGCCCCUUUCGGCCUCUGCUUUCUUCCCGUGGCUUCUGGAGUCUUCUAGAUGGUAGAAAAUCGCGCGGUGCGUUGAUAUCUCUAUGUAAUCCCGACAUGUGGGCCUUUCUUCCUUAUUUCCUGAUAACCCCCUGCAGAAACAGAUAAACAACAAAACUCGUGGAAUUCUGUCAGAUCAAACCCUAAUUCUAGGUGUUGGUUGCAUAUGGGUCCUUUCUCUUGUUUAUUUGAUAAUUAAAAUUGACACUUAAGAACCGUCAACAAAUACCCCCAUACUUAGGCUUUUACUCGUCCUCGAGAAAAGGAUGGUUAAGAACAAUAUCUGGGGUAAAAAUUUUUAAAACAUUCUUUUCAUAAUUGCAGGGUGUUAAAACUCCACUGUGUACUAUAGUCUGGGAAGUAUAUGGUUAAGAGUAGAGAUCCUUUCUUCUCAAUCCUGUCACUUGGAGUUUUUGUAUAUUUUUGAAAGAAAGUUAGCAUACCUUUUUAUCCUCAUAGGUUCUCUCAGAUCACUCAUUAUCUUUUAUAUAUCUCACUGAGGUUGUUUUAAUUUGCAAAAAUUCUCAAGCAUAUUUACUUUACAUUUAUUGCCUGAUCACAACGGGAUCCGAGGAGGGGAAUGUCAUACUCUUAGAUCAAAGACUUUGGAAAUUAAAAUCUUUGUCAACUCUUGCUGGCAUAUUGCUUAUUAGAGGGACCAUGGGCUAUCAUUUUUUUCUUUUCUCUCUUUCUUCUUUUCUUUAAGUGGAUACCGAGGUACCCCUAAUUCUACUGCCGGACACUUGUCCAUUUUUUCUACGAGGUUAUCGAGCACUUGCUCCUUUUUAUUUCCUCGAAAUAUCUUUAUUUUUGCAUAGCCCAUGCCUCUAAUGCAAUAAUACUUCGGAAGAGUGAAUCUUUCUGAAUAAAUGUCUUGAUCUUAGGAGCAUGAUAAGUCUCUCAACAAGGGUCUAACUCAUUUUGAACAAACUCAAUACAUAGUAGAUAGCUUUUAUAAUCAUAAUUAAUAUUUUUAGUUUUUAUCAAGCAUAUAAAACACUGAGGAUGGUAGCUAGAAUUUUGUAGAUUUUGAAAUAAAUUCUCCAAGCAACAAUGAUAUCAAGAAUAAGAAACUCAUACUCUACCAUCUCACAUUCCAUACUGUCUUAAGUAACAUAGGGUUUUAAAAUAAUUUUAAUAGUUGCAAGUUUCAGGAAAUAUCACAGAGUGAGAUUAAUCAUGAUUAGAAAUAUUUUUAUUUUUUUUUAAUUUAUCAUGUCGGAAACAGUAUUCUGCAUAAUCAAGAUAUGUGUAUGUGUAAAGUAAAGUGUGCAGAGUGUGUACCUGAAUCGUGGAGUGGUGUAGUCGGUGUGUGUUUGGCAUGUUGAGGGAUCUCCCCCAUACUUGUUUUCUGCUUUCUUGCACAAAAAAUAAAGUAGAGACACACAAGACAUAAUAAUAAUAAUAAUACUCUUUAUUAAUCUUGAGGCAUUUAUUACAAAUGACUAGUAGUAAACUGAUAGCAAUAGUAACAAACUGAUGAUAAUAGUAAACCUAAACCGAAUUUAAAAAUAGAUAACUAAGAUGCAUUGCCUCAAGGUCUAAUCUAGAUAACUCAGCGGCGCUCUAACUCCUUAAUCUUCUUGUUGGCACUGGCAAGAUCCUGCCUGAGGCCUAGUAUAAUGGUGUUGUGGUUAGAGAGCUGCCUAGUGAGGGAAUUAAUCGAGGACUGGAGGUCUAUGAUAACUCUGUCUAGUCUGCGAACGUCCUCAUCAAUAUCCAUUAUAGUCUUGCGACGCUUGGGAGGUGUCUCAAAAGCAUUGAGAGCGUGCUUCAGGGCUGCCUUUGGAGGGAUGAAACGGACUUUGGCUGCUCUAAUCCCUUCGAAGUAAGGCCUUUCUUCCUCCGUAGUGUAGCGAAUACUGCUGAUCUCGCCGCUCUGGUUGGUCUUGACUCCAACGACCCUCUCAUUGGGUCUAGGUGGAAGGAUCCUCGUGCCGGUUGGCACCUUGAUGGUGGUCUUCGUCUUGGAUGAUGAUCCCUUGAGGAGUAGGGGUUGUGGCGGUGCAGUGAGAACUGGUUGAGCAUGGUAGGAUUGGGAAGAGCUGCGUUGGCAUAAUGGUAUGGCUUCUAGCUGUCGUCUGUGUUGGCCGGGACGAGAGCACGGGCAUCGGGGUCUUCCACAGGCUCCAUGUUGAGGUUGAAGGGGACGACUUCCCAAUCAUCGUGGAACUUCUCGGCCAUUGGAGCAGCGAGGAACUAAUCAAGCUCUAAUUGAAGAAGAAGAAGAGAAGGCUUGGUGGUUUGGUGUUUGAAAACUGAUGUCAAGGGUCUGUUUAUAUAGUGGUCAAACAGUGCCUCUAGGGGUUGCUCCCAUCGAUGUGCGUGCGAAACUUUCGAUCUGAGGGAUUAUUCGGAUUGUCAUAAGUGCAUUUUCCAUAACAGAGAAAAUCGGCACCGAGGGGGAACAGGAGCUGGGCACCCGCCCACCUGAUCUGGGCGCCCGCCCUCUCUCUGGCCCCUCUGUGGGCCCACUUCCUCGAGCGCGUUUCUAGAUGCAAAAUUAUUUAGAAAAAUAUAUAUAUGACCCAAAAACAUCAGAUUAAAAGUGUCGGGCUCUAAUUCUCUAUGGGAAGGUGAAAAUGGACUACGUCUAUUUGUUCUAAUUCUUUAUUGGGUUCUAAAAAUAAUUUAAGACGUUGACCAUUUACCUUGAAUAACGUACCUUCGUCAUUUUGAAGUUUGAUAGCUCCGUGGGAUGAUGAAUUAAUUACCUUGAAUGGUCCUUCCCAUUUGCUCCGGAGUUUUCCAUGCCCGAAAAGCUUCACCCUGGAAUUAAAAGGUAAUACCUUAUCUCCGGGUGUGAACUCCUUCUUGAUUCUCUUGUCAUGCCACCUUUUGACUCUUUCUUUGUAGAUCUUUGAAUUGUGAUAUGCUUUCUCUCGCCAUUCUUUUAAUUCUGAUAUCUCUUUAUGGCCCAGUGUGCUUUGAACUCUAGUUCAACAGGUAGGUGGCAAGUCUUCCCGUACACCAAUUGGUAUGGAGACAUUCCAAUUGGGGUCUUGUAUGCUGUCCGGUAUGCCCAGAGUGCAUCGGGUAACUUGUCUUUCCACGCCGUUCCCUUUUCAUUUACUGUCUUCUGAAGAAUAUUCUUGAUUUGCUUGUUGGAAGUCUCUGCUUGGCCACUUGUCUGAGGAUGAUAGGGAGUGGCAACGUUGUGACAGAUUCCAUGUUUUGAUAGAUAUUGCUUGAAGCGUUUGUCGAUGAAGUGUGCUCCUCCAUCACUUAUCACUACUCUGGGGACUCCAAAUCUUAGAAAUAUAAUUUCUUCAAACAUCCUCUUUGAACUGAUAUUGUCGGCAUGGUUGCAAGGUAGUGCUUCUACCCACUUGGAGACAUAGUCAACUGCCACCAAGAUGUACUCACACUUCUUUGAUGGAGGAAAUGGACCCAUAUAAUCUAUUCCCCAGACAUCAAAGAGCUCAAUCUGAAGGUUGUUGGUGAGUGGCAUUGCAUCCCUUGUAUUUAUGUUUCUGUGCCUUUGACAUGGCCCACAUCUUUUGAUAUAUUGCUUCGUGUCUUCAUACAUUGUAGGCCAGUAGAAUCCACACUGCCAGAUCUUUCAAUGUGUACGGAAUGCUCCAUAGUGACCUCCAUAUGGUGAUGAAUGACAUCUAUCGAUGAUCUUCCAUCCUUCCUCAGUGGUCACACAUCUCCUGAGUAAGCCAUCAGAGCAUACUCGGAAGAGGUAUGGCUCAUCCCAUAUAUGUGAACGACUUUCUUGAAUAAACUUCUUCUUGUUUGCUCCUGGUGGUACAUACCCUGAAACCAUAAAAUUAGCAAUAUCUGCAUACCACGGGUCAGACCUGUUAAUCCCGUAGAGCAUGUCGUCCCGGAGUGAAUCAUUGAUGGGGGUUUCCUGUGGACUCUUAAAAUACAUUCUAGACAAGUGAUCAGCAACAGAAUUUUCUACUCCCUUUUUAUCUUUUAUUUCUAAGUCAAAUUCUUGUAGUAAUAAGAUCCAUCUAACCAGGCGAGGUUUAGCAUCUUUUUUAGUGAGCAAAUAUUUUAGUGCAGCAUGAUCAGUGUAAACAAUUAUUUUAGCUCCAACUAAAUAAGAUCUAAAUUUAUCAAUGGCAAAGACAAUAGCCAGAAGCUCUUUUUCAGUGGUUGCAUAGUUAAGUUGAGUUCCUGUCAAUGUUUUACUGGCAUAAGCAAUUGCAUGAUGCUUCUUAUUUUUAGUUUGUCCUAAUACUGUCCCCACAGCAUAAUCACUAGCAUCACACAUAAUUUCAAAAGGCAACGACCAAUCAGGGGGUUGAAUGAUUGGUGCAGAGAUGAGUGCUUUCUUUAAUAAAUUAAAAGAUGUUAGACAUGCAUCAUCAAAUUCGAAAGGAGCAUCCUUGGCUAGCAAAAGAGUAAGUGGUCUAGCAAUGAAUGAGAAAUCUUUUAUAAAUCUGCGAUAAAAACCAGCAUGGCCAAGAAAGCUUCGAAUUCCUUUUAUAUUCACAGGUGGAGGUAGUUGUUCAAUUACUUCAAUUUUAGCUUUGUCUACCUCAAUACCUCUUUCAGACACUAGGUGUCCCAGCACUAUUCCUUCCCUAACCAUGAAAUGACAUUUUUCCCAAUUAAGGACUAAGUGCUUUUCUUCACAUCUUUGCAAAACCUUGUCUAAGUUUUCAAGACAACUAUCAAAAGUUUUUCUAUAAACAGAGAAAUCAUCCAUGAAAACUUCCACAAUCUGUUCAAUCAUAUCAGAAAAUAUAGACAUCAUGCAUCUUUGAAAAGAAGCUGGUGCAUUACAUAGCCCAAAAGACAUUCUACGGUAAGCAUAAGUUCCAUAUGGGCACGUAAAAGUGGUUUUGCUUUGAUCAUCAGGAUGGAUCGGGAUCUGAUGAUACCCCAAAUAUCCAUCUAAGAAACAGAAGAACGAAUGGUUUGCUAACCGCUCUAGCAUCUCAUCUAUGAAAGGUAAAGGAAAGUGAUCCUUUCUUGUGGCUUUAUUUAGUUUUCUAUAGUCUAUGCACAUCCGCCAUCCUGUGACGGUGCGUUGCAGAAUUAGCUUGUUCUUUUCAUUCAUAAUAACAGUCAUGCCCCCCUUUUUAGGCACAACUUGAACUGGGGUUACCCACUCACUGUGCGGCACAGGAUAUAUAAUUCCUGCAUGCAGCAACUUUAUAACUUCCUUUUUAACUACCUCUCUCAUAGUGUUGUUAACUCUACGUUGGGGCUCUCAAGAAGGUGAAACAGAAGGAUCUGUUGGAAUACGAUGGGUACAAAAUAUAGGACUGAUUCAUGUAAGAUCUUGGAGUGAGUAGCCAAAAACUGAGUGAUGUUUCUCUAGAAUGGUCAUCAAUCGCAGAGUUUGCUCCUGAGUGAGUUUAUCACUAAUGAUCACAGGAAACUCUGGAUUAUUGUUUAGGAAAGCAUAGAUAAGACCGGGUGGUAAACUCUAUGGGGGGUCUAGGUGUUUCUGCAAACUCAUCUAAGUGUUCAGGUUCAGAAGGUUCGGCUUCUUCUUCUAUGAAGAAAGGAGUUUCGUCUUCUAAGUCUGAUUCUUCUAAAGUUCAAGAGAUGCAGCCUUUACUUCCUCCAUAGGAUCAGGCAAAAGAUAUGACUCGGGCUUAUUAUUUAAGGAGUGUGAAAUUGUUAUUGGGAAUUUAAAAGUUUUUCUGAAAGAAAUGUGUAGCUUUCUACUAUGACCUUCAUAAAGGUGUCUUCUAAAAGGUUGUCCUAUCAACAGGUCAAAGUCCCAUGUUUCAAGGAUAUAGAAGUUCAAAUGAACCAUGGAGCCUUCUACCGUAAGAGGUAGGACAUUAAUAAUUCCAAGACUGGGGACUAAUCGUCCCGAAGAUUCCUUUAUGACCUUUGUUGUGGGGGUUAAGACAAGAUUUUUAAAUAAUUUAAGUGCAAAAGAUUCAGACAUGAUGUUGAUCCCCACAACAGGAUUAUAAAGAGCAUUAAAUCGAUCAGAAUUAUAAGCACAGCGUAUGGUUAUAGAGGGUGUGUCCAAACGGAUCACAUCAGAGGAAAGCUCUGAUUCCUCCAACCACUCGCUACUCAUAAUUGAGAUAAGCUCUCUUAAUUGAUAUUCACUUGGUAAAUAAAUGCUAAACUAGCCGUUUUGGGGUUUGUCAAUAGAAUGGCAGUUUGAAAUGUUUCCAAAAUCGGCAAAAAGAUCGGAUUCUAUAUCCAGCAUGAAGUCUGGUGGUGGAAUUUCUUCCUCUUUUGGCUCAGAACAUGGGAUAGCUAAAGUAGAUGAAGAAUUUGGCAGAGUGUCUACUUCAGCUUCGUAGGUUUCAUCAUGAAGGGUAUUAUCCAUCUCAGCUUCUAGGAUUCUAUAUAGGAUCACUCUAGCUUCAUCAGUAGGGAUGCGAAAGAAAGAACCUCUAGACAUUGUGUGUAGCAUUUGUUUGUGAUUUUUAUGAAGACCUCGAAAAAAGUGAAACAAAAGAACAGGGUCUUCAAGAUUAAGGUUUGGACCAGAUUCUAAAAGAUCAGAAAAAUGUUUCUAGGAUUUUCCCAAAGUUUCAUUAUCUUUUUGUUUAAAAGAUAGGACUUCGAGUCUAAGGUCAACUAUACGGUCGAGGGAAUAUAAAUCUAGACAAAAGAUGGCUCGUAAAACUCCCCAUUCACCUCGUUGUUGACUUACCUUCUGACUGUACCAUUGUCUAGCUUCUCCCCUUAAGGAAAAAGGAAAAAGCUUCCAACGUAAAGUUUUAUCAGAAAUGCCUUCAAUGCGAAGACAAUCACAUGUUUGCUCAAAAUCUCUAAUGUGAAGGUAAGGGUUUUCAUCUUCCUUUCCCGAAAAAGAUAGGUUUUGAAUCAUGGCAAUCAACCUAGAACUUAACUUAUACUGGGAUGUUUGGAUAGGCUGUGACGAUUCCCAUGGUAAAAGGUCAGUUACUGAAGGGAUUGCAGAUUCAUGGAUCGAUUUAGAAUUUUGGUUUUCCAUAAGGUAAGAGUAAAGAAAAUAAAUACAAAAUAUAAAAGAUAAGAAAAGAUAAAAGUAUAGAUACAAGCUAGUAGUAAAACUCAAGGUUAUCUCAGCAAACCGUCUUUCUCCCCGGCAACGGCGCCAGAAAUGCUUGUUGAUAAUUGGGAACGCAAUAAGAAAUUGAUCCGCAAGCGCACGGAUAUCGGUGAGCACUUCACCCGGGAAAUUAUCCAGAGUAUCGUAUUUAUUUUUUUACCACUAGGAGAAAGAGUGCAUCUGACUAACCGGUCUAUUACUACUAACUCUUUAGGCAACAAAGAAUGUUUCUCGAUGUGAGUGAUAAAUAGAGAAGACUGCAACCGUAGUUUCCUUCUAACCUUGGUAAGGAUGAUCUACUGUUCUAUUGGGGAGGCUAACGGAAUCUAGACACCACAAAGGAUGUUCAACCCGCACCUAUAAACCCUAUCCUUCCUGCUAACGAGAUAUGGUCUGCAAAGGUAACUCGGAAUUGUCACGUUCCUCGCUACUACCACGGUCUAGCUAGUCACGGAAUAUCUAUGAGUACCCCAGCCUAAACACCACGUUUACGCCAGCAAUAAUUACUCUAAACUCUACGCGAAGAGAUUAAAGUAAACUCAUAAACCAAAAGAACAAUAAAACAAGAACUUACUAGAAUUUAGAAGUCGAAAUACUGAAGAAUCCUAGGAGCAAGCUUCGGGUUAAGAGAACUUGAUCCCGCAGGUACAAGCUUGGAGUAGACACCGACAGGCCGGGCUUCCUCCAAUCUACACCUCCACUCUAUCUCUCUCAAUCUAGUAGAAACUAGAAGAUCUAUUUCUACUUUACAUUGGUUGCUAAGCCUAAAAAGAAAUAUUGUUUAGAGAAGAGGUUUUCCUUCGAGGGCACCCCUCAAUCUCUAUGAUAACUUCUUCUCUCCUCCAGGGGCCAGGGGGGUCUCCUUAUAUAGUCCUCCUCCUCUAUGCAUUUUUGGGUCGGUAGGUGAUGUGGUACUACGUUAUUCUUGAUCCAUUAGGUCGGUGGAACAUCGUGUGCGAAGAGAGUCCCGAACGGAGUACAGGAGGGGGCGGGCGCCCUGGGCCUGGCCCCUUUCGGCCUCUGCUUUCUUCCCGUGGCUUCUGGAGUCUUCUAGAUGGUAGAAAAUCGCGCGGUGCGUUGAUAUCUCUAUGUAAUCCCGACAUGUGGGCCUUUCUUCCUUAUUUCCUAAUAACCCACUACAGAAACAGAUAAACAACAAAACUCAUGGAAUUCUGUCAGAUCAAACCCUAAUUCUAGGUGUUGGUUGCAUAUUGGUCCUUUCUCUUGUUUAUUUGAUAAUUAAAAUUGAUACUUAAGAACCGUCAACACUUAUCUACCGUCAACAGACUUAUCGUGGGAUCAUGAUUACUUGGGGGAGAGUUUCCCCUUCCCCAUCGACCUGAAUAAAUAAUGAUCAAUGCAAUAAAGAAAGAUACCCGAGUUCAUUACUUCCUCUCUGUUGUUCUCGUACUUUACAUUCUACUCGCAACAUGGGGCACCUAGUCUAUAUAAUAUUUGACCUAGAUUAGGUCAACCCAAGGCACAUCCCCUCUAUUAUAGAAUUUGUGUAGAUGCUUCAUAACUAGUGUAGCAUUUUGGAGCCAUAGGUUUAUGACACCCAGGCCUCCUUUGUCUUCAGUUUCAUCAUAAUUGACCAAGCAACCAAAUUUCCCCCUUUUGCUAUUAGAUCACUACCCUUCCAUAGACAUUGUUUCCUAGCCCAAUCAAUGUUGUCUAUGGCUCCUUUAGGGAUCUUGAUGGUACCUAGGGUGUACGUGGUUAUAGGUGUGUUAGUUGAGUUGAUCAUUUCUAGCCUUUUGGAGAUGGACAACCAGGUAGAGCAAGUCGAGAGCCUCCUCUCAAUUCUAUCCAUCAUUGAUGAUAGAUCAUCAAUUUGAGGCUUUGUGGUGCCCAUUAGAAGCCUAGAUAGGUGAAUGGCAUAGAGCCAAUUUGGAAACUAAAGUGCUUGUUAAGAUCUAAACUUUUCAUGAUCGACAUUGAUCGAUAUCAUUUGGAACAUCUAAUAGUUGAUCUUGAGUCCUAAGGACCAUUCAAUGUUGUUUAGGAGAGCCUUCAUAAAGAAAAGUUGGGGUAGCAUCAGCAUGCAUGAUGAGUAGCAUGUCAUGUGGUAGGGAUCAAUAGUGUAUCACCACUGAAUCGUAUUGCAAUGUGAUGGUGACCAUUGCCAAUGACUAGGUAGUUUAUACGCUGAAGUGAUAGUGAUGUCCACCUUGAUACAGACGUGUCGAGCACCAAAGCGACAGUGAACGCACACUGCAUACAAUUGGAUCAUUGGUCAAAACAACAAUGCUAGUGUACAACCACAUAGGCGGGUCGAGGAACAAUGCAAUAGAAACAAGUACCUGAUCAUGGAUGUAUCAUAAGACAAUGUGAUGGUGUUUGCCUACACCAACAUAGGUUGAUUGUGCUCCAAUGUGACGGAAACAAAGACCUGAUCAUGGAUGGAUCAUAAGCCAACAUGUCAGUGUAGUGUAUUCAAACAUUGUCGUUUCAUGCUCCAAUGUGACAAAAGUAAUUACCUUAUCAUGAACGGAUCAUAAGCUAAAACAACAAGGUGUAUAGCUGAAAGCCCGAGUUUGGUUUUGGAUAAUUGAUGAAACCCUAGUACUAACCUCCAUACUAAGUGUGUGUAGACUUAAUGAGGUUGGUAAAUGCCAAGUGAUGGAGCAAUUGAUUAUCAUGGUGAUGAUGGUGAUGACCACAAGAUGAUCAAGUGCUCAACUUUGAAAAGAAGAAAGAGAAAAACAAAACCCUAUGGAGAUCAAGGCAAAGGUAUUGCUUAGGGUUUUGGUUUUGGUGAUCAAGACACCAUAGAGAGUGUGAUCACAUUUAGGAUAGAUAGUCGUACUAUAAAGAGGAGAAUUCUUUGGCUAAGCGGUUAUCAAGUGCCACUAGGUGUCAUUGUUCUUGUGCAUGCAUUUAGAACCUAGUGAGCUAACUUAACUUCUUUGAAGAAAAUGAUUGUGAAAAUGCUAACACAUGUGCACUUGUUGGUACACACGUUGUGGUGUUAGCACACUUUAAGAAGGAGGUGGAGUUUGAAGGAUAGAGAGAGGAUGGGUUCGGUGCUUUUUGAGAAAAAUGAAGUGCAUAUUUUCUAUUGCGCCAGUGGGAAGUUUAGAGAAGUCGCGGGAGUGGACGCUGGCUGCGGAAGCACCGAACGCUGAGCCUACGCGUCCAGUGUGUUGUGGUGCUUCGCUCAACUAGGGUUAAGCACCGGACGCUGAGCACCGGAUGUAGGGUAACUCCUGUUCAUGCGUCCGGUGCUAUCUGACUCCUACGAGUGAACCUGACUGAGAGCACCGGACGCUUUGUGUGCGUCCGGUGGUGUGAGUCCGGUGCCCUGAGCGUUUUGCAGAACUCUCUAGGUAAGGGACCGGACGCUCUGAGUGCGUCCGGUGGUGAGAGUCCGGUGCUCUUUUCGUUUGUGGAGCUCUCUGCGUAUAAGUCCAUUGAGGACCAAACGAGUCCGGUGUGGACUCUCUGUGAGUCUAGUGCUACGGCCACAGUGAGACUCACGUUGGUGGCAACGGUUGGAUUUCUAACUGUCAAAAUGUUCUAGGCACCGGACGCGUCCGGUGUAACAUGAAGAGAGCGUCCGGUGGCCCCGUUUUCUGCCCAGUGAAAGAGCCAACAGCUCUAUUUGCUUGAGGGGCUUAUAAAUAGUUGUUGGUCGGCUUAGGCCUCACUCUAUUGGCAUUCUAGCAUACUUGACAUCCUUGUGAGCCUAGCAAACACCUCCCACUCAUCUCUUUCAUAGAUUAUUCAUCUUUGUGAGAUUGGGAGUGAUUCCAAGUGCAUUUGCUUGAGUGGUUGCAUCUCGUGGCACUUGGGGAUCAUUCUAGCUGUGGUUUUCUUGUUACUCUUGAUGGUUGCCGCCAUCUAGACUGCUUGGAGCAGCGGAGGAGCAUUGGCACAAGUUGGUGAUUGUUUGUGGCCAUCUCCUGGCGAUUGUGAGGGGUUUGUGCCUACCUCGGCGGAGAGCCAAAGGCAACAUUAGUGGAUUGCUAGUGUCAUUGAGCUACCUCACUUGUGGGUAGGUUCUUGCGGUGUCCUAGUGAGGAUGAGGUUCAUGCUACACCUCUUAGCCGCCGAACCACCAAGUGUUGGUCGACACAACGGGGACGUAGCGUGCCGGCAAGCACGUGAACCUCGGGAGAAAAUUGUGUGUCUCCAUUGUGAUUGUUCAUUUGAUUUCUCUCGGUGAUUGGACUUCAUAUUAUUGACUGGUUCAUCCCCUCUACGCGGCGGUAUAAUGAUCAAACAAUCUCUCUUACUUUCUUGCAAACUAGAGUAGCUUACAUACUUGUAUAGAAACUUUAGGUAGCUCUCUAGUGUAAGUAGAGACAUAGCUCUAGUGUGCCUAGUGAUCAUAUCAACUAGAAUUGUUGGAUAGGUUUCUUGCAAACACUCCAUUAGAGCUAGAGCAAAAAGCUUCACUUUGUUAUUCACUAACCUCUUGCUCUAGUGAGUUUGUAGAAUUUUUUAAAUAGGCUAUUCACCCCCCCUCUAGCCAUAUUAGGACCUUUCAAUAGCCCAGUUAGUCUAUGGUUGUGUCACUAAUUGCUACAACUUUCACUACCACUAAACCAUAGUUGAGGACAAAAAGUGGCUCCUAUGUGGGUUGUGAAAUGACUGUAAAGGGUGCGAAUGUAGUAGUGAAUAUUUUCUUCCUCAUUAGGGGUAGAAACCCCCAUAGCUUCCCUCAUUACUUUCUUUGUCAUUAGGGGCAGAAACUCUCUUCCUUCAUUACCUCAUUACUUUCUUCCUCAUUAGGGCCAUGAACUAUCUUCAUCAUUACUUUCUUCCUCAGUAGGGGCAAAAACUCUUUCUCUCACUACUUUCUUCAUCAUUAGGGACAAAACUCCUCUAAUUACUUUCUUCCUCACUAGGGGUAGAAACACCCUUCCCUCAUUACCUCAUUAGGUUUUUCCUUAUUAUGGGAAGAAACUCCUUCCCUCAUUACUUUCUUCCUCAUUAAUUAGGUGCAGAAACUCUCUUCUCUCAUUACCUCAUUACUUUCUUCCUCAUUAGGGGCAUAUCUUCUUCCCUCUUUACUUUCUUCCUCAUUAGGGGAAGAAACAUGUGAGCUCCCUUAUUAACUUCCCUCAUUAGAGGUAGAAACUCCCAUAAUUUCCCUUAUUGCUUUCUUCCCCAUUACGAGCAAAAACUCCUUCCCUCAUUACUUUCUUCCUCGUUUGGGGCAAAAAAUUCUUCCCUCAUUACUUUCUUCCUCAUCAAGGGCAGUAACUCCUUCCCUCAUUACUUUCUUCCUCAUUAGGGGUAGAAACUCUCUUCCCUCAUUACUUUCUUCCUCAUUAGGGGAAGAAGCUCUAGUGGAUGGUGUUUUAAUCCUCUCAUUCAUUGUCCCAUCCCACGUAACAUAAUUCUAACCCUGUUUGCGUGCCUAGUAGUGGUAGAGAGGUAGGUCUAGCUAGCCAAGUGAGGCCACACUACUAUGAUGGCGGCCAACGGCAAGGCAACACUGAUCCUAGAUCUUCUACUAUUGUGCAUGCUACGCCAUGGAGUGGCGCAACAGUACAAUGCCAUCUGGAGCUUCGGCGACUCCAUCUCUGACACCGGGAACCUCUGCGUGGGUGGGUGCCCGGCCUGGCUCACCAUGGGUCAGCCACCCUAUGGGGAGACCUUCUUCCACCGCCCCACUGGACGUUGCUCUGAUGGCCGAGUCAUCGUCGACUUCUUGGGUAUGUGACUCAGUGGUAGCUACACUAGCCUACAUGUGUGUAUACCAACAGGGAUGGAAUGAACUGGUUCUGACCCGCGUCACCCACCAAUGCCCUGUGGGCUCUCGAACUAGACUAAUUGGUACCGUGGUACGUACGUGCAGCCGAGCACUUUGGUCUACCGUUACCACCGGCGUCCAAGGCCGGCGGUGACUUCAAGAAGGGUGCCAACAUGGCCAUCAUCAGUGCCACCACCAUGAACUCGACUUCUUCAACUCCAUUGGCCUCAGAGAUAAGAUUUGGAACAAUGGGCCGCUCGAUACCCAAAUCCAGUGGUUCCGCCAGCUCCUCCCCUCCGUCUGUGGGAAUGGUACAUAAAUCAUAAAUUGCGCGUGAAAGAAGAAAAUCGCAUUCGCACGUUGCAUCGUACUUUUUUAUUUAUGAUUUCCAGAUUGCAUGAAGCAGAUUGCAAGAACUACCUGUCCAAGUCAUUAUUCGUGGUUGGCGAGUUCGGGGGCAAUGACUACAACGUUGGGCUCUUAUUCUCCCGGCGCUCCAUGGCAGAGGUGCGAGGCUAUGUGCCCAAGGUCGUCACCAAGCUCAUCGGCGGCCUAGAGACAAUCAUCAAGAGUGGAGCGGUGGACGUGGUGGGCCCGGGUUGCUGCCCAUCGGCUGCCUCCCCACCUACCUCACCCUCUUUGGCACCUCCAACGCCGCUGACUACGACCACGACGGGUGCCUCAGGAAUUACAACGACCUCUCCAGCUACCACAACGCUCUGUUGAAGCGGAGCCUCUCUAACCUGCGGAGGACGUACCCGCACACCCGGAUCAUGUACGCCG
RNAcentral lists this long non-coding RNA (110426 nucleotides) under Sorghum bicolor (sorghum). Its description in RNAcentral is "long non-coding RNA (SBIC_LNC015594)". The stretch from base 93516 to 93622 matches the Rfam family "Plant small nucleolar RNA R71". Lineage: Eukaryota; Viridiplantae; Streptophyta; Magnoliopsida; Poales; Poaceae. The record is from RNAcentral.